GUGCGGGCGCCGAAAUCCACGUGUGUUUCCUUGAUAAAUCCCAAUCAGCGUGGAAUUGAGCGCAGAUGUCGGAGUGACUGGGCCCGUCCCCGUUACGCCCUCCUAUAAAUAUGCAGAUUUAUUUAAAUAGGGUCUCCCUGUCCUCGCACGCAGACAAAAUGACAAGAAAAACUAAAUUUACGGCGUGCGAGGUGGAGGUGCUGGUGGCGGAGGUGGAGGAGCGACGGCGUGUUUUGUUUGGCAGCCUGUCCAGUGGCGUCAGUGCAAAACGAAAACGCUUGGAGUGGGAGAAAGUUUGCGAGAGGGUGAAUGCGGUGGGUUCCGAGACACGCAACCCCGCGAAGAUUAAAAAAAAGUGGUCGGACCUCAAGGUGGAGGUCAAGCGGCGUACAGCUGCCCUCCGGAGGAGUACCGGCCAGACAGGUGGGGGUCCGGGGAGGAGACCCUCACGACGUUUGAGCAGCGGGUGGUGGCGAUUAUUAUUAUAGGGUAAGUGGCGUGUCACACAAAUGUCCACAUGCUUUGCCAUCCCACUGAGCAAAAGACGUAUAUUAGACGUCUAGUCUAAGUUUAUACUUCAUUUCAACGUCGGGAUUCAGUCUAUUUUUAGACGGGAUUUAUACUUCGCCCUCAACUUCAUUUUUGAUAACUUUUUAUGCAAUAAACAACCGUAAUGUGCAUAACUGAACUCGAAAUACUGGAUUACAUUACCUAUGAUACCGUGGAGAGAGAUGUAAACGCAACAGAUACACAGAAGCAGGAAUUGAAAUGAACAAAUAUUUUUAUUGUGUCACAGAAAUCAAUGUGUCGGCCGUGUCGCCGGCUUGCGGAACCCCGGCCCGCGGCAGCCCGUCCGCCGGCUCGGAGUCGUCGGCCAGGACCAGCGGCAUUCGGGCCACCCCGGCCCCCGGCCCCAGCACCAGCACCAGCACCAGCAUCAGCACCAGCGCGCCGAAAAGCGGUGGAGCAUCCACCAGCCGCAGCGCUUCCGCUGGACCACCCGGACGCGGGUGGUCCUCGCGGAGGGGGUCCUGCAAUCACAGGAAGAAAUCAUCAGGGGGAUCGCGGGAAUCAACGAGCGGCUGGACCGGCUCGUAAAUGUACUCGAGCGUCUGGUGGAGAAAAUAAAUUAAUUUGGCUCAUUGAACUGUGUAUUCACUUCUUACCCAUUCACACUGUGGCGAUGAGAUUCUCCCGUGCGAGGACGGCGGCCCGGCAGGGAUCAGCUCGCAUCCCUCCGUCUGCUGCUGGUUCGUCAUGUGGGGCGAUGUGCUGCUCGGCCACGGGGAUGUGGUGCACGCUUGUCACAUAGUGAGUCACCAAACACCGCCACACAGCGUCGCCAAAGUGCGAAUCACAGUCAACGCAAGUGUCUGCUCAACGCCAAUUUCUACACCACCUCCUGACUUUGCGUUGAUUAGCGCUGGAACCGACGCUCGUUUCGCGAUGAUAAAUCUGGACGUGUGCGCCGAUUUUGGCGUACGCAAGGUUUUCUUGCGCCGCAAGCGUUGAUACAUGAGGCCCCUGGUCUCUUCCUACAACACUGCUCUCACCCUUAGCCUGGACUCUCUCGCCCCCAUCAAAACACUGACAGUUUCAUUCAACCGACUGGCUCCCUGGUUCACUCCCGUGCUCCGGGCCAUGAAGUCCACUGGCCGACGGCUGGAGAGGCUCUACAAAAAAUCUGGCCUCACCGUCCACCUUCUGGCCUUCCACGACCACAUAAAAAACUACAAGGACACUCUCUCACAAUCCAUAACCCAGUACUACUCCACCCUUAUUGGGUCUCAGGAGAACCACCCCAGAAAGCUGUUUUCCACAGUGAACAAGCGUCUCAGCCCCCUCCCACCCAUUCCAGCCUCUGGUGAUUCCGACCUCUGCCAUAGAUUCCUGAACUUCUUCCAGGACAAGGUGGAUACCAUCCAUCGGCAGCUCCAGACAUCCACCACCUGUCUGCAUACACCUCAGCUGCAGGACACUGCCCCCUCUGCCACGUGUCCCCCGUUCACCUCCUUCACUCCAGUGGAUGAAUCCCUUACCACCGAACUGGUCACCAAAGCCAAGGCCUCCAGUUGCUCCCUGGACCCUAUGCCCACCACGCUGGUAAAGGCCUGUCUACCGACCCUGGUUCCCAUCAUUACUAACAUCAUCAACUCCUCUCUGCUAUCCGGCACGAUUCCCACCAGUUUCAAAACCGCAUCUGUCACCCCCAUACUGAAAAAGCCUGGUCUGGACCCCGACGACCUUACCAACUACCAGCCGAUUUCUAAUCUCCCGUUCCUCAGCAAGACCCUGGAAAGAGUAGUCGCCGCACAGCUCCAGCAGCACAUGUCCGACCACAAACUCUCCGAACCCUUCCAGUCUGCCUACAGAGCGCACCACAGCACCGAGACUGCCUUGGUCAAAAUCAUCAACGACCUCCUCAUCGCGGUUGACUCCGGCAACAUCAGCAUCCUCAUCCUGUUGGACCUCUCUGCAGCCUUUGACACAGUCUCUCACUCCAUCCUCCUCAACCGCCUCUCUACGCACCUCAACAUCACUGGAUCCGCGCUCUCCUGGUUUCACUCCUAUCUGUCCAACCGCCUGCAGUUUGUCUCCAUGCAUGGUUCCAACUCCCACCCAGCCCCAGUUCAACACGGAGUCCCACAGGGUUCCGUACUUGGUCCACUCCUCUUCACCAUAUACAUGCUCCCGCUCGGCCAGAUCAUCUGUAAGCACGGCCUUGAUUUCCACUGUUACGCCGAUGAUACACAGAUAUAUCUCAGCACCACACCCACCACUCUGCUCCCUCCACUCCCCAUUGUCAACUGCCUACAAGAAAUAAAAACCUGGCUGAUCACCAACCUACUCCAACUCAACGCCAAGAAAACAGAGCUCUUGCUCAUGGUUCCCAAGGCACUGCUUUGCAGAGUGGGUGAUUUCCUCCUCCAUACUGACGGCUGCUCCAUCUCCCCAUCCUCCGAGGUGCGCAACCUGGGCGUCAUCUUGGACUCUGCCCUUUCAUUCAAAACCCACAUUAAAUCCGUAACUAAGUCAGCCUUUUUCCACCUUAAGACCAUUUCCAGACUCUGCUCGUCACUCUCAGACUCUGUCGCAGAAACCCUCAUCCAUGCCUUUGUAUCCUCCCGCUUAGACUACUGCAACGGUGUCCUGUUCGGACUUCCUAAAAAAGACCUAGAUCGUCUACAGUAUGUCCAAAACUCAGCUGCCAGAGUGCUCACCUGGACCAAACCUUGGCAGCACAUCACCCCCACCCUCAAACGCCUCCACUGGCUUCCCAUCAAAUAUCGCAUCAUCUACAAACUCCUCCUGCUCACCUACAAAGCUCUCCAUGCCCUAGCCCCACACCAUCUGUCUGACCUCCUCAAGGACUACAUCCCGGCGCAUACUCUGCGGUCUGUGGACCUUGGGCUCCUCACUGUCCGUUAUGGGAAAAGGCGAUCCCUCUGUGACAGAGCCUUCAGUGUGGCCGCCCCUCCUCUCUGGAACUCUCUCCCCUCUGAGAUUCGCCAAUCACAGACUCUUGACUCUUUCAAGUCUGCUCUGACGCGACACUUGUUUAUUCAGGCUUUUGGUAUCUAUCUAGCGCUUUGGGUAUCUUGAAAGGUGCUAUACAAAUUUAAGAUAUUAUUAUUAUUAUUACAAGGCAGACUAAUCUCCAUCCGAAAUCCAUCCGAAGUCCGAUGAGGGUGGUGUCAUCCGCAAACUUGAUGAGCUUAACAGAAUCAUGGCUGGAGGUGCAGCAGUUGGUGUACAGGGAGAAGAGCAGAGGGGAAAGUACACAGCCGUGUGGAGAUCCUGUGCUGAGAGCCAGAGUGUCUGAGACAUUCUUCUCCACACACUGCCUCUGGUCCGUCAGGAAGUCUAUGAUGCACCUGCAGGUGGAGUCAGGCACAUGGAGCAGGGAAAGCUUGUUCUGGAGCAAAGCCGGUAGGAUGGUGUUGAAUGCAGAGCUGAGGUCCACAAACAGGAUCCUAGCGUAGGAUCCUGGGAAGUCCAGGUGCUGCAGGAUGAAAUGCAGGGCCAGGUUUAUGGCGUCGUCUACAGACCUGUUGGCUCUGUAGGCAAACUGCAGAGGGUCCAGGAGGGGGUCGGUGAUGGACUUCAGGUGGGAUAAAACCAGGCGUUCAAAGGUCUUCAUGACUACAGACGUAAGAGCCACCUGCCUGUAGUCAUUAAGUCCAGUUACAUGAGGUUUCUUGGGGACGGGAACAAUGAUGGAGGAUUUGAAACAGACUGGAACAUGGCAUGACUCCAGGGAGGUGUUGAAGAACCCCGUGAAGACUGGAGCUAGCUCAUCAGCGCAGUGUCUCAGGGUGGCAGGAGAGACACAGUCCGGGCCAGCAGCCUUGUGUGGACUCAGCCGCUUAAACAGUCUGUUUACUUCCUCUUCAUGGACCGAGAGGGCAGCGGGGGGACGUCCAGAGUGGUUGAAUUUCCAGUUAUGUGGGGGUGAGAGGAUGUGAGUCCGUGACUUCGAAGCGUGAAUAGAAGUCAUUCAGGUCGUUAGCUAGUUUCAAGUCGUCAGUUGAAUGAGGUGCUUUGGGCUUGUAGUUCAAGAAGAAAGGAUUCCAACAGAUCUUUAAGGUACAGUUUGAAAUAAAAUGGCCCUUCCUUUAAUAUUUAUCCCCAUGCACAAGACACAUUGAGGAGCCAAUGAAAAGCCAUGAAUGAACAUACUCAUAUCUGCUUGUCUUUUAUAGUCUAACUUUUAAACUUACAAACCACAACAUAUUAGGCACUGUUGGCAGGAUCUGUCUUUAAACGAGGCAUAAAAAGGACACAACAGCAAGACAACAAAUCUGUUUGUCCAACAGACAGGGUUCAAUGAAACACAGCUAAAGGUUGGAACACAACAAGGCAGUCAGAUCAGGCAGAAGUAUCCAAAACAUGAGGCAAAAAGGCAAGGUCCGAAAAGGCAGGCAAAGGUAAACAACGGCUAGACUAUGACUGUAAAAAAGCUGAAACGAGAUUCAAGGUACAAUGAACUGGCGACGAGACAGUGACGCCCGUUUAUACAUACCCAGUUAUUUUUUAGAACAGAGACAUUAACUACCAUUUGCAUCCUUCGUUUAGAAGCAAACAGAGAAUUUGCCUAUGAAAAUGAUGCUUUUUAAAAUCUCUGGCCAGAAUGGAGAUUUUGGAAAACUCCAUUUGCAUGUUUGCAUGUAAACAGAAAAAAACUAAGAUUUGGGUAGCUGACGGCAAAUGGUGUGCCGGAAACUGGGUUAAAUGUGAUGUUUACAAUCUGCAGUCUAUGUUUACAAUCCAUGGUGAUCAUGGAUGCAGAAUAGCAGUCGCAUUUAUGCUAGUGCAAUAGCCUACCUAUGUAUUUGUUCGCAUUUGCAAAUACAAGUGCUGUACUAUGUGGAGGAGCAGAAAUAAUUGAGUGUUAGUGUAAACAAAAGCUUUUCUAAAAAAGUAGUGGUGCGCAUGCAGUUUUUUUUUUUUUUUUUUUUUUUAAGGGAGAGGGUGUAUUGUCCGUUUAUGGAAAUAGCCGGGCAUGUGUAAACAAAGUCUGAGACACACAAGGUUAAAUAAAAGAUGUAAUGAGGGUAAUGGGAAACAGGUGGGGAGACACAAUCGGGUAGCAGGUGUGACAAGACGGGGGACAGAGACAGUAGUGAACUACAAAAUAGGACAGGAAAUGCAUGACAUGAACAAAACAUAAAACUUAACUGAUUAAUUAACAGAAGUAUGGGAAAAUCAACAGACAUGACAGGAUCAGCCUGUAAACUCCCACUGAGUUACAAAUCCAUCCCUCUCACAAACUCAAGGCCAUUUAAUUCCAUUUUCAUUUGUGUUUCAGAUCCGUCUGCCCAGCAUCAACUUCACUCUGCCAAUGUCCCAUACUCAGCAUGCCCUGUGUCCCCACUUUUGACCCUCCUUGGGUUCCCCAGAACAAAGGCAGUGUACAGGAUCUUUUCUUUUCGUUUUUUUUUCUUCAUGUGAGCAGUCCAAUUGGUAUGUUCUAAAAAAGAGCAGAGAGGUUAAUGGAGAGUGGAACACACGGAGAUGCCAUCGAUGCAUAUAUUUGUGUAAUUACUGCUUAAUAAAACAUGGACCACUUGGUAUUUAUCAGACCCUAUGCAAAUAUUAUGAUUGUUUGUUUAAAUUAUUAUGCAUUACUUUUGGUAAUAAUUCAAGCUGUGCUUAAUUUGAUUUAAAAGUUUACUCACGCAUGUGAAUUUGCGCUCAUGCAACGUUUUCUAUUUCGUAUUAAUGGAGGCACUAUUGUUUAAUCUUGCAGCAUACUUGGAGAUAUAAGUGUUCACUCAUUUAAAUUUUCAGGUUUCAAAUAAUGUUUCAGUGUUGGCUAGUAGUUGUAAAAUAAUCAUGUUUAUUUAUACUGUAUAUAAAUCUGUUCAACUUCAUAGUUAAUCGUAAGAUAAAUUGACUAGUCUGUUAUUCAGAGGAGAGACUGUUACCUUUUUUGUAAGUCUUUUUUGAGUAAUAUUCCUCGGACUACAGCGGGGUGAUGAAGCUCAAGGAGCAGCCACCACAAGGCUAAGCCUAACCAGCAGCAGCCACCACCAGGCUCGGCCUAACAACUUUUCUGAGGGGAAUGGACCGGUUUCAGCCGAACCAAGCCAACGGGUCCGGGUCAGGGCUCUGUCUGUGGAGAGAUCCGCUCUGAUCUGAGCCGGUUUGAAAUGCGGCUAUCAGCUAACAACUAAUGGCUAACAGGUACCUCCUGUCCAACCAUCCCCCCACUCACCUCACCAUCCAGAUGUGAUCGCUGCCUCCAGCUGAGCCAAACUAUUUCUGACCUGGAGGAUAGCAUCUUCAAUCUCUACCAACUCCGCGAUGAAGAAAAGUUCUUGGAAUCUUUCAUUCUUACGACGGGAGCGACUGGUGCCACUGCUGAAGCUAAGCUUGACGACACCAUCCCGGUCCCCCGAGCCAUCCCUCACUCCAUGGGACAUCCCCGGCCCCCCCACCGCUCCCUCCGUUCAACCUGAGGCUGAUCUCCAUCCUAACAUCCCGGCGACUCAGCAUCCGACUAGAGGCGCUGAAGCCCAUUGGCUGCAGGAGGGUGCUAAGCCCAAGGCGCCUCAUGGUUAUUUUACUCCCAACCCAAAAUUGUGUAACUCCACUCCUGGUCCAUGGAUCCAGGUAAAAAGCAACACCAGGCUAAAGAAGUAAUCCCCUCCACGCCGUCGUUCCAUUGGAAUUCUUCUUUCCAAUAGCUUCAGCCCUCUGGAUGAGCAGGACUUACCCCGCUCACCACACCGGAGCGGCGGGCGCCAUCACUUUCACCUCAGCAGACAGGUGUACCUCGAUGCACUCCUCCUCCGCUCCCUUUGCCGCAGCGGCAUUCAGGUGAGUCUUGGCACACCCCUUCAUCUUCGCCACCGACAUCCUCAAUGGCUGCGUCACAUUUUGCACAUCGUCGAGGAAAGCACAUGGCUCAUUCUCGUCCGACCAAACCCAUUCCUCCACCUCCUUCUGUACUUGUGGUCAGCACUUCAACGGUACAUAACAUCACUCUGCCCGCAACUGUAAUCAGCUGCAACCCAGGUGUCAGUGUCAAGGCCAUCGACUCCAAAAUCCCAGAGUUACUGGAACAAUACCCCUCUGCCUCAUCACUCUGCAUCCAUGUAGGGGGAAAAUGAGCUCCGCUUUAAACAGUCAAAUUACUGAAAAAUGAUUUUAGGAACCUCAUUGAUAGCCUCUCUGUCAGACCGCAGUUUUGUGAUUUCUGGUCCUCUGCCCUGUCCCUGCUCUGGUGACGUGAAGUUCAGCCGUGUACGACAGUUACAUGUGUGGCUAAAAGCUUACUGCUCUUCACUAAGUAUUCCAUUCAUGGACAAUUUCACCACCUUCCUCCACUGCCCUUACCUUUUCAGACUUGAUGGACUUCAUCCAAACUUUCAUGGAACACGUGUCAUCUCGAGCAACAUGCAUCUGGCCCUUUUAUCAGUUAACAUGGACCUUACCCUCCGCUCCUGUACCACACCCACCUCCUGACAAACUGUCAACACAUGCACACACACGCCCACCACCCCUCACCCCCCUGCACUCCCUCACACCUCACACACCUCAUCAGCAACACCCCCACCACUCACAAUAGAAAAACAGGACACUCACACCAUCAAAACCAUCAUUUCAUACAGACAGCUUGAGGCUUCCCCCACAAAUUUUAACUUUUUAUUUUCUACGCGGGAGGGGAAGACAGGAGGAGGAACUGCAUCAAUAAUAUGAUCCACACUGUCCCCUUCUGCAGUUCCUUUUAGCAGCUACUCAUCAUUUGAAUAUCACGCCUUUGUUGUUAGCAGCCUUCCUAUCCUCUGCAUCAAUGUGUACAGACCCCCCCCCCCCCCCCCCCGCCAGUCAGACAGUGAGGAAAUGUUACCUAAUUUCUGAAGUGGCUGCAAAUUUUAUUCAGAUCCUACAGAACACCUCUUUUACCAGCACCCUGUGAUUUUAUCGUUGACAAUUCUAACAACAAUCUAAGGUCAACACUGGACUCUGUUGCUCCACUUUAAUUAAAACAAUCAAGAAAAAAGCAAGACCUACAUGGAGAAACGCGCAUAUCAAAGAGCUCAAAUGAAACUGCAGGAGUGCUGAAAGAAGAUGGAGAAAAUCAAAAUUAACAGUCCACCUUGAAAUUUUUAAACACCACUUCAAAACCUUCAAUAGCACAGUCAAACAGGCAAGAACUUCCCACAAACUGAUCGCUGACAAUAAACAUAACUCCAGAUUUCUUUUUACAACAGUUGAUCUUUUAACGAACAAUAAUUUUAACAGAACCCCUGGGUCAUCCUCUGAUAUCCUCUGUGAGGAAUUUGCAGACCACUUCAGAAGUAAAAUCGACAACAUCAGAUCCAGUCUUCUAUCUCAACAGAUUUUAACUGCCAACACACCUGGAUCACUGCUUUUACCCAAGGAAACACUGGAGAGUUUUGCACUGCUUGAUGCACAGACACUUGGUUGAGUUUUCUCCCAAGUAAACCCCACAACCUGCCUUUUAGAUCCAAUUCCCACACGUUUUUUUAAACCAGUUUAUGGAUUCUUUAAGGAACAGCUUUUAAACAAACAACGUGUGUGAAUAUGCCAAAACCAUGUCGGACUCCGUAGUUUUCUCUGGUCCCCUGCCCGAUCAGACAACUGAUGAGAUGUGUCUCAUCAUUCAACCGCUGGCUGUUGAGGUGGUGUCUGCAAAACGGCAUGGGCUUCAUUGAUAAUUGGAAGUCAUUUUGGGGCAAGCCUGGUCUGAUUAGUCGGGACGGCAUUCAUCCCAGUCGAGAUGGAGCGGCCCGUUUAUCCAGACAUCUGUCGGAUUUUAUUAGUCCGAACCACUGACCAUUCAGAGCAGAGAUCAGGGAGCAGAGCCGCAGUCCUACACGCCCCUCUUCGCCUCCUUUAGAGCAGCUUCCCAGCCACUAUUACUUAUAUACAGAGACUAGGGCGCAGAGCCGCAGUCUUACACGCACCGCUGCACUCCACUCAGAGCAGCUUCCUAGCUACUAUCAGUUUGAUAUGGAGCUCAGGGAGCAUAGCCGCACUUCUACAUGUUCCUCUGCACUUUUGUUAGAGCAGCCUCCAAGCUACUAUCACUUAAAUAUAGAGACUGUGUCCGACCCUCGUCCUCGGCUCUUUAAUUCUAACCAAUCGAUUAACAAAGGCGCAAAUAACAAGAACCUUACUAGAAUUAUGACUGCUAACAUAGCUGGACAGAGUGGUAGUAAGAUAAAAUGUGGUCUACUGAACAUAAGGGGCUCUAUUUUCGUGUACGCCGGUGAGGCGGCGGAGGGUGGCGGACCUGGCGCAGUUGUAUUUUCGUCUGGUGGAGCCCGGUGUACAGCCAGUUUGUUUUUUUCGUGGACUGAGGCGCACGUGUGCUGUGCUGUGACUGUGCUCAUAUGAGAGAGUGUGGAGGACACCCAAUGCAGCGUUUACAGUGACACUUGUUUAGGAGCUGCUUUAUGUCGCCAUCUUGUGGCAUUACUGUCUUCAGACAUCUCUUGAUCUCUUUGACUACUUCACAAAAAUAGUAAUACGCCUCGCCGGUGGCGGAUUUAAAGGCAAGGAGAGGAGCUUAUGUGAUUGGUGAAAACAGGUCUCGGCUGUGUUAAAUCCACUCCACGCCCUCUCUCCUCCCUCGCUACGACUUAUGCCGAUGGGAGGAGCUGAGUUAGGGAGGGGGAAACUUACGCCUGGCUGCGCUGCUCACCAAAAUACCAAAUCAUGCUUGGGAACGCCUUGUCGGCACCUGUCGACUUACGCCGCACCUGCGGCACGUCUCCGGCGAGGCACGAAAAUAGAGCCCCAGGUCUCUCAGUUCCAAAUCUGUGUUAAUAAAUGAACUAAUCUCUGAUCAUCACAUCAAUUUACUCUCCCUAACCGAAACUUGUCUGCGUCAGGAUGAAUAUGUCAGUUUAAAUGAAUCCACUCCUCCUAGCCACCUAAGCUUACACAUUCCUCGGGACCCUGGCCGAGGUGGUGGAGUUGCAGCUAUUUAAAGUUCCAGUCUUCGAAUUAACCCAAGACCAAAACUGGAUUAUAACUCUUUUGAAAGUCUUGUUCUCAGUCUUCCGCAUCCAGCCUCAAAGACCAUGAGACCACUGGUAUUUGCUAUAGGUUAUCGCCCUCCCAGCCCAUUCUCUGAGUUUUUGUCAGAAUUCUCAGAGUUUUUAUCUGAUCUAGUCCUUAGUACAGACAAAGUCAUUGUUGUUGGUGACUUUAAUGUUCAUGUGGAUGUGGAAAAUGAUAGCCUAAGCAUUUCUUUCUUGUCCUUGCUAGACUCCAUUGGGUUUACACAGUGUGUACAUGGACCUAUGCACUGCUUUAACCACACCCUCGAUCUUGUCCUGGCUUAUGGCCUUGAAGCUGAAGCCUUUUCAGUCAGCUCAUUAAAUCCUCUUUUAUCGGAUCACUUUCUAGUAACUUUUGAAUUUGUGCUUUCAGGCUACUCUCCUCAUAACAAAACCGUGCUAACUAGAGGGUUGUCUGAAAAUGCUAUGACUAAGUUCAAAGAGGCAAUUCCGUCUGCUCUUAACUCUGUGCUUGAGAAGAACUUCACUGAUAGCUCAUACUUGAACAUCAGUUCCUUGCAACUUGAUCAGUUUGUCGAUGAUACCUCAGGCACAUUGCGAUCAAUUCUUGACUCAGUUGCUCUUCUUCGACAGAAAACUUUUACACGCGAGAGGCUGGCUCCGUGGUAUAAUGCUGAAACACGUGAGCUGAAACAGUUAUUAAGAAGACGAGAAAGGAUUUGGCGCUCUUCCAAAACAGCUGAAGCUCGUUUUCUCUGGCAGGAAUGUCUUGACAAAUAUAAGAAGGCCUUACGACAUGCUCGGACAACUUACUACUCGUCUCUUAUUGAAGAAAAUAAGAAUAACCCCAGGUAUCUCUUCAGCACUAUAGCCAGGCUGACGGACUGUCAGAGCACCGCUGAACCGUGUAUCCCAUUAGCCCUCAGCAGCGACGACUUCUUGAGCUUCUUCAAUGAAAAAAAUCUUAAAAAUAAGGGGUAAAAUUAGUAACCUCUUGCCUUCAUCAGGUGUCUUUUUCUUAGAUAACCCUAAAAUUGUUGAGGAGCCCCUAAGGCCUCUGGUGCACCUUAGUAACUUUGCACCUUUUGACCUUCCUGAGUUAAAGUCAGUGGUGCUGGCAGCCAAACCAUCUACGUGUCUUUUAGACCCAAUUCCAUCUGAACUGCUGAAGGAAACGCUUCCUUUGAUCAGUACAUCCUUGCGUCUUUAUUAACAGGAUUUGUUCCCCGGUUUUUUAAGACUGCAUUGAUUAAACCUCUCCUUAGAAAACUUACUCUUGACUCAGACACCCUACCUAACUAUAGACCAAUAUCCAACCUUCCUUAUAUUUAUAUAAGUCCUAGAGAAAGUUGUUGCGAAUCAACUUUGUGAUUUUCUUUAUAACAACGGUUUAUUGGAGGAUUUCCAGUCUGGGUUUAGAACCCAUCACAGCACAGAGACUGCUCUGCUGAAGGUGACAAAUGACCUACUCAUGGCUUCGGACAGUGGUCUUCUCUCUGUUCUUGUCCUGUUGGAUCUUAGUGCUGCGUUUGACACGAUUGACCACCGCAUCCUGCUUCAGAGACUGGAACAAUCUAUCGGCAUAGCAGGAUCCGCUCUUUCCUGGUUUGAAUCUUUUCAAACAGAUUGAUUCCAGUUUGUCCAUGUUAAUAAUGAAUCCUCUGCGCUCACCAAGGUCUGCUAUGGAGUCCCGCAAGGGUCAGUGCUUGGACCGAUCCUCUUUACCUUGUACAUGCUUCCUCUGGGUAAAAUUAUGAGAAAAUACUUAAUUUCCACUUUUAUGCAGAUGACACCCAGUUAUACUUAUCCAUGAAGCCAGAAGAAACAAAUCAGGUUACCAAAUUAGAAGCUUGUCUCAAAGAUGUAAAAUCCCGGAUGUUGUUUUAGUGUUCUUUUGAUGAGUUUGGCUUGUUGUUAUGAAAAGUGUUUGUUUUGGCGAGUUUGAACGUUUUUGAGCAUGUGUAAUGGCAUGAAUGCGUUAAGCUGUUGUUUUAGUGUUCUUUUGAUGAGUUUGGCUUGUUGUUAUGAAAAGUGUUUGUUUUGGCGAGUUUGAACGUUUUUGAGCAUGUGUAAUGGCAUGAAUGCGUUAAGCUGUUGUUUUAGUGUUCUUUUGAUGAGUUUGGCUUGUUGUUAUGAAAAGUGUUUGUUUUGGCGAGUUUGAAGGUUUUUGAGCAUGGGUAAUGGCAUGAAUGUGUUGAAUUAGUAAUCCCUUGUGUUAAGCUGUUGUUUUAGUGUUCUUUUGAUGAGUUUGGCUUGUUGUUAUGAAAAGUGUUUGUUGUGGCGAGUUUGAACGUUUUUGAGCAUGUGUAAUGACAUGAAUGCGUUAAGCUGUUGUUUUAGUGUUCUUUUGAUGAGUUUGGCUUGUUGUUAUGAAAAGUGUUUGUUUUGGCGAGUUUGAAGGUUUUUGAGCAUGUGUAAUGGCAUGAAUGCGUUAAGCUGUUGUUUUAAUGUUCUUUUGAUGAGUUUGGCUUGUUGUUAAGAACAUUGUUCGUUUUGGCGAGUUUGAAGGUUUUUGAGCAUGUGUAAUGGAAUGAAUGUGCUGAAUUAGUAAUCCCUUGUGUUAAGCUGUUGUUGUAGUGUUCUUUUGAUGAGUUUGGCUUUUUGUUAUGAAAAGUGUUUGUUUUGGCGAGUUUGAACGUUUUUGAGCAUGUGUAAUGGCAUGAAUGUGUUGAAUUAGUAAUCCCUUAUGUUAAGCUGUUGUUUUAGUGUUCUUUUGAUGAGUUUGGCUUGUUGUUAUGAAAAGUGUUUGUUUUGGCGAGUUUGAAUGUUUUUGAGCAUGUGUAAUGGCAUGAAUGCGUUAAGCUGUUGUUUUAGUGUUCUUUUGAUGAGUUUGGCUUGUUGUUAUGAAAAGUGUUUGUUUUGGCGAGUUUGAACGUUUUUGAGCAUGGGUAAUGGCAUGAAUGUGUUGAAUUAGUAAUCCCUUGUGUUAAGCUGUUGUUUUUGUGUUCUUUUGAUGAGUUUGGCUUGUUGUUAUGAAAAGUGUUUGUUUUGGCGAGUUUGAACGUUUUUGAGCAUGUGUAAUGACAUGAAUGCGUUAAGCUGUUGUUUUAGUGUUCUUUUGAUGAGUUUGGCUUGUUGUUAUGAAAAGUGUUUGUUUUGCGAGCUUGAAGGUUUUUGAGCAUGUGUAAUGGCAUAAAUGCGUUAAGCUGUUGUUUUAGUGUUCUUUUGAUGAGUUUGGCUUGUUGUUAAGAACAUUGUUCGUUUUGGCGAGUUUGAACGUUUUUGAGCAUGUGUAAUGGAAUGAAUGUGUUGAAUUAGUAAUCCCUUGUGUUAAGCUGUUGUUUUAGUGUUCUUUUGAUGAGUUUGGCUUGUUGUUAUGAAAAGUGUUUGUUUUGGCGAGUUUGAACGUUUUUGAGCAUGUGUAAUGGCAUGAAUGUGUUGAAUUAGUAAUCCCUUAUGUUAAGCUGUUGUUUUAGUGUUCUUUUGAUGAGUUUGGCUUGUUGUUAUGAAAAGUGUUUGUUUUGGCGAGUUUGAAUGUUUUUGAGCAUGUGUAAUGGCAUGAAUGCGUUAAGCUGUUGUUUUAGUGUUCUUUUGAUGAGUUUGGCUUGUUGUUGUGAAAAGUGUUUGUUUUGGCGAGUUUGAACAUUUUUGAGCAUGUGUAAUGGCAUGAAUGCGCUAAGCUGUUGUUUUAGUGUUCUUUUGAUGAGUUUGGCUUGUUAUGAAAAGUGUUUCUUUUGGCGAGUUUGAAGGUUUUUGAGCAUGUGUAAUUGCAUGAAUGUGUUGAAAUAGUAAUCCCUUGUGUUAACCUGUUGUUUUAGUGUUCUUUUGAUGAGUUUAGCUUGUUGUUAUGAAAAGUCUUUGUUUUGGCGAGUUUGAACUUUUUGAGCAUAUGUAAUGGCAUGAAUGCGUUAAGCUGUUGUUUUAGUGUUCUUUUGAUGAGUUUGGCUUGUUGUUAUGAAAAGUGUUUGUUUUGGCGAGUUUGAAGGUUUUUGAGCAUGUGUAAUGGCAUGAAUGCGUUAAGCUGUUGUUUUAGUGUUCUUUUGAUGAGAUUGGCUUGUUGUUAUGAAAAGUGUUUGUUUUGGCGAGUUUGAACGUUUUUGAGCAUGUGUAAUGGCAUGAAUGCGUUAAGCUGUUGUUUUUGUGUUCUUUUGAUGAGUUUGGCUUGUUGUUAUGAAAAGUGUUUGUUUUGGCGAGUUUGAAGGUUUUUGAGCAUGUGUAAUGGCAUGAAUGCGUUAAGCUGUUGUUUUAGUGUUCUUUUGAUGAGUUUGGCUUGUUGAUAUGAAAAGUGUUUGUUUUGGCGAGUUUGAACGUUUUUGAGCAUGUGUAAUGGCAUGAAUGCGUUAAGCUGUUGUUUUAGUGUUCUUUUGAUGAGUUUGGCUUGUUGUUAUGAAAAGUGUUUGUUUUGGCGAGUUUGAACGUUUUUGAGCAUGUGUAAUGGCAUGAAUGUGUUGAAUUAGUAAUCGCUUGUGUUAAGCUGUUGUUUUAGUGUUCUUUUGAUGAGUUUGGCUUGUUGUUAUGAAAAGUGUUUGUUUUGGUGAGUUUGAACGUUUUUGAGCAUGUGUAAUGGCAUGAAUGCGUUAAGCUGUUGUUUUAGUGUUCUUUUGAUGAGUUUGGCUUGUUGUUAUGAAAAGUGUUUGUUUUGGCGAGUUUGAACGUUUUUGAGCAUGGGUAAUGGCAUGAAUGUGUUGAAUUAGUAAUCCCUUGUGUUAAGCUGUUGUUUUAGUGUUCUUUUGAUGAGUUUGGCUUGUUGUUAUGAAAAGUGUUUGUUUUGGCGAGUUUGAAGGUUUUUGAGCAUGUGUAAUGGCAUGAAUGCGUUAAGCUGUUGUUUUAGUGUUCUUUUGAUGAGUUUGGCAUGUUGAUAUGAAAAGUGUUUGUUUUGGCGAGUUUGAACGUUUUUGAGCAUGUGUAAUGGCAUGAAUGCGUUAAGCUGUUGUUUUAGUGUUCUUUUGAUGAGUUUGGCUUGUUGUUAUGAAAAGUGUUUGUUUUGGCGAGUUUGAACGUUUUUGAGCAUGUGUAAUGGCAUGAAUGUGUUGAAAUAGUAAUCCCUUAUGUUAAGCUGUUGUUUUAGUUUUCUUUUGAUGAGUUUGGCUUGUUGUUAUGAAAAAUGUUUGUUUUGGCGAGUUUGAACGUUUUUGAGCAUGUGUAAUGGCAUGAAUGUGUUGAAAUAGUAAUCCCUUGUGUUAACCUGUUGUUUCAGUGUUCUUUUGAUGAGUUUAGCUUGUUGUUAUGAAAAGUCUUUGUUUUGGCGAGUUUGAACGUUUUUGAGCAUGUGUAAUGGCAUGAAUGCGUUAAGCUGUUGUUUUAGUGUUCUUUUGAUGAGUUUGGCUUGUUGUUAUGAAAAGUGUUUGUUUUGGCGAGUUUGAACGUUUUCGAGCAUGUGUAAUGGCAUGAAUGUGUUGAAUUAGUAAUCCCUUGUGUUAAGCUGUUGUUUUAGUGUUCUUUUGAUGAGUUUUGCUUGUUGUUAUGAAAAGUGUUUGAUUUGGUGAGUUUGAACGUUUUUGAGCAUGUGUAAUGGCAUGAAUGCGUUAAGCUGUUGUUUUAGUGUUCUUUUGAUGAGUUUGGCUUGUUGUUAUGAAAAGUGUUUGUUUUGGCGAGUUUGAACGUUUUUGAGGAUGUGUAAUGGCAUGAAUGUGUUGAAUUGGUAAUCCCUUGUGUUAAGCUGUUGUUUUAGUGUUCUUUUGAUGAGUUUGGCUUGUAGUUAUGAAAAGUGUUUUUUUUGGCGAGUUUGAAGGUUUUUGAGCAUGUGUAAUGGCAUGAAUGCGUUAAGCUGUUGUUUUAGCGUUCUUUUGAUGAGUUUGGCUUGUUGUUAUGAAAAGUGUUUGUUUUGGCGAGUUUGAACGUUUUUGAGCAUGUGUAAUGGCAUGAAUGCGUUAAGCUGUUGUUUUAGUGUUCUUUUGAUGAGUUUGGCUUGUUGUUAUGAAAAGUGUUUGUUUUGGCGAGUUUGAACGUUUUUGAGCAUGUGUAAUGGCAUGAAUGUGUUGAAAUAGUAAUCCCUUGUGUUAACCUGUUGUUUCAGUGUUCUUUUGAUGAGUUUAGCUUGUUGUUAUGAAAAGUCUUUGUUUUGGCGAGUUUGAACUUUUUGAGCAUAUGUAAUGGCAUGAAUGCGUUAAGCUGUUGUUUUAGUGUUCUUUUGAUGAGUUUGGCUUGUUGUUAUGAAAAGUGUUUGUUUUGGCGAGUUUGAAGGUUUUUGAGCAUGUGUAAUGGCAUGAAUGCGUUAAGCUGUUGUUUUAGUGUUCUUUUGAUGAGUUUGGCUUGUUGUUAUGAAAAGUGUUUGUUUUGGCGAGUUUGAAGGUUUUUGAGCAUGUGUAAUGGCAUGAAUGCGUUAAGCUGUUGUUUUAGUGUUCUUUUGAUGAGUUUGGCAUGUUGAUAUGAAAAGUGUUUGUUUUGGCGAGUUUGAACGUUUUUGAGCAUGUGUAAUGGCAUGAAUGCGUUAAGCUGUUGUUUUAGUGUUCUUUUGAUGAGUUUGGCUUGUUGUUAUGAAAAGUGUUUGUUUUGGCGAGUUUGAACGUUUUUGAGCAUGUGUAAUGGCAUGAAUGUGUUGAAUUAGUAAUCCCUUGUGUUAAGCUGUUGUUUUAGUGUUCUUUUGAUGAGUUUGGCUUGUUGUUAUGAAAAGUGUUUGUUUUGGUGAGUUUGAACGUUUUUGAGCAUGUGUAAUGGCAUGAAUGCGUUAAGCUGUUGUUUUAGUGUUCUUUUGAUGAGUUUGGCUUGUUGUUAUGAAAAGUGUUUGUUUUGGCGAGUUUGAACGUUUUUGAGGAUGUGUAAUGGCAUGAAUGUGUUGAAUUGGUAAUCCCUUGUGUUAAGCUGUUGUUUUAGUGUUCUUUUGAUGAGUUUGGCUUGUUGUUAUGAAAAGUGUUUGUUUUGGCGAGUUUGAAGGUUUUUGAGCAUGUGUAAUGGCAUGAAUGCGUUAAGCUGUUGUUUUAGUGUUCUUUUGAUGAGUUUGGCUUGUUGUUAUGAAAAGUGUUUGUUUUGGCGAGUUUGAACGUUUUUGAGCAUGUGUAAUGGCAUGAAUGCGUUAAGCUGUUGUUUUAGUGUUCUUUUGAUGAGUUUGGCUUGUUGUUAUGAAAAGUGUUUGUUUUGGAGAGUUUGAAGGUUUUUGAGCAUGUGUAAUGGCAUGAAUGCGUUAAGCUGUUGUUUUAGUGUUCUUUUGAUGAGUUUGGCAUGUUGAUAUGAAAAGUGUUUGUUUUGGCGAGUUUGAACGUUUUUGAGCAUGUGUAAUGGCAUGAAUGCGUUAAGCUGUUGUUUUAGUGUUCUUUUGAUGAGUUUGGCUUGUUGUUAUGAAAAGUGUUUGUUUUGGCGAGUUUGAACGUUUUUGAGCAUGUGUAAUGGCAUGAAUGUGUUGAAAUAGUAAUCCCUUAUGUUAAGCUGUUGUUUUAGUUUUCUUUUGAUGAGUUUGGCUUGUUGUUAUGAAAAGUGUUUGUUUUGGCGAGUUUGAACGUUUUUGAGCAUGUGUAAUGGCAUGAAUGUGUUGAAAUAGUAAUCCCUUGUGUUAACCUGUUGUUUCAGUGUUCUUUUGAUGAGUUUAGCUUGUUGUUAUGAAAAGUCUUUGUUUUGGCGAGUUUGAACUUUUUGAGCAUAUGUAAUGGCAUGAAUGCGUUAAGCUGUUGUUUUAGUGUUCUUUUGAUGAGUUUGGCUUGUUGUUAUGAAAAGUGUUUGUUUUGGCGAGUUUGAAGGUUUUUGAGCAUGUGUAAUGGCAUGAAUGCGUUAAGCUGUUGUUUUAGUGUUCUUUUGAUGAGUUUGGCUUGUUGUUAUGAAAAGUGUUUGUUUUGGCGAGUUUGAAGGUUUUUGAGCAUGUGUAAUGGCAUGAAUGCGUUAAGCUGUUGUUUUAGUGUUCUUUUGAUGAGUUUGGCAUGUUGAUAUGAAAAGUGUUUGUUUUGGCGAGUUUGAAGGUUUUUGAGCAUGUGUAAUGGCAUGAAUGCGUUAAGCUGUUGUUUUAGUGUUCUUUUGAUGAGUUUGGCUUGUUGUUAUGAAAAGUGUUUGUUUUGGCGAGUUUGAACGUUUUUGAGCAUGUGUAAUGGCAUGAAUGUGUUGAAUUAGUAAUCCCUUGUGUUAAGCUGUUGUUUUAGUGUUCUUUUGAUGAGUUUGGCUUGUUGUUAUGAAAAGUGUUUGUUUUGGUGAGUUUGAACGUUUUUGAGCAUGUGUAAUGGCAUGAAUGCGUUAAGCUGUUGUUUUAGUGUUCUUUUGAUGAGUUUGGCUUGUUGUUAUGAAAAGUGUUUGUUUUGGCGAGUUUGAACGUUUUUGAGGAUGUGUAAUGGCAUGAAUGUGUUGAAUUGGUAAUCCCUUGUGUUAAGCUGUUGUUUUAGUGUUCUUUUGAUGAGUUUGGCUUGUUGUUAUGAAAAGUGUUUUUUUGGCGAGUUUGAAGGUUUUUGAGCAUGUGUAAUGGCAUGAAUGCGUUAAGCUGUUGUUUUAGUGUUCUUUUGAUGAGUUUGGCUUGUUGUUAUGAAAAGUGUUUGUUUUGGCGAGUUUGAACGUUUUUGAGCAUGUGUAAUGGCAUGAAUGCGUUAAGCUGUUGUUUUAGUGUUCUUUUGAUGAGUUUAGCUUGUUGUUAUGAAAAGUCUUUGUUUUGGCGAGUUUGAACUUUUUGAGCAUAUGUAAUGGCAUGAAUGCGUUAAGCUGUUGUUUUAGUGUUCUUUUGAUGAGUUUGGCUUGUUGUUAUGAAAAGUGUUUGUUUUGGCGAGUUUGAAGGUUUUUGAGCAUGUGUAAUGGCAUGAAUGUGUUGAAUUAGUAAUCCCUUGUCUUAAGCUGUUGUUUUAGUGUUCUUUUGAUGAGUUUGGCUUGUUGUUAUGAAAAGUGUUUGUUUUGGCGAGUUUGAAGGUUUUUGAGCAUGUGUAAUGGCAUGAAUGUGUUAAGCUGUUGUUUUAGUGUUCUUUUGAUGAGUUUGGCAUGUUGAUAUGAAAAGUGUUUGUUUUGGCGAGUUUGAACGUUUUUGAGCAUGUGUAAUGGCAUGAAUGUGUUGAAUUAGUAAUCCCUUGUGUUAAGCUGUUGUUCUAGUGUUCUUUUGAUGAGUUUGGCCCUUUGUUAUGAAAAGUGUUUGUUUUGGUGAGUUUGAACGUUUUUGAGCAUGUGUAAUGGCAUGAAUGCGUUAAGCUGUUGUUUUAGUGUUCUUUUGAUGAGUUUGGCUUGUUGUUAUGGAAAGUUUUUGUUUUGUCGAGUUUGAACGUUUUUGAGGAUGUGUAAUGGCAUGAAUGUGUUGAAUUAGUAAUCCCUUGUGUUAAGCUGUUGUUUUAGUGUUCUUUUGAUGAGUUUGGCUUGUUGUUAUGAAAAGUGUUUGUUUUGGCGAGUUUGAACGUUUUUGAGCAUGUGUAAUGGCAUGAAUGUGUUGAAUUAGUAAUCCCUUGUGUUAAGCUGUUGUUUUAGUGUUCUUUUGAUGAGUUUGGCUUGUUGUUAUGAAAAGUGUUUGUUUUGGCGAGUUUGAACGUUUUUGAGCAUGUGUAAUGGCAUGAAUACGUUAAGCUGUUGUUUUAGUGUUCUUUUGAUGAGUUUGGCUUGUUGUUAUGAAAAGUGUUUGUUUUGGCGAGUUUGAACGUUUUUGAGCAUGUGUAAUGGCAUGAAUGCGUUAAGCUGUUGUUUUAGUGUUCUUUUGAUGAGUUUGGCUUGUUGUUAUGAAAAGUGUUUGUUUUGGCGAGUUUGAAGGUUUUUGAGCAUGUGUAAUGGCAUGAAUGCGUUAAGCUGUUGUUUUAGUGUUCUUUUGAUGUGUUUGGCUUGUUGUUAUGAAAAGUGUUUGUUUUGGCGAGUUUGAACUUCUUUGAGCAUGUGUAAUGGCAUGAAUGCGUUAAAAGCUGUUGUUUUAGUGUUCUUUUGAUAAGUUUGGCUUGUUGUUAUGAAAAGUGUUUGUUUUGGCGAGUUUGAACGUUUUUGAGCAUGUGUAAUGGCAUGAAUGUGUUGAAUUAGUAAUCCCUUGUGUUAAGCUGUUGUUUUAGUGUUCUUUUGAUGAGUUUGGCUUGUUGUUAUGAAAAGUGUUUGUUUUGGCGAGUUUGAACGUUUUUGAGCAUGUGUAAUGGCAUGAAUUUGUUGAAUUAGUAAUCCCUUGUGUUAAGCUGUUGUUUUAGUGUUCUUUUGAUGAGUUUGGCUUGUUGUUAUGAAAAGUGUUUGUUUUGGCGAGUUUGAAGGUUUUUGAGCAUGUGUAAUGGCAUGAAUGCGUUAAGCUGUUGUUUUAGUGUUCUUUUGAUGAGUUUGGCUUGUUGUUAUGAAAAGUGUUUGUUUUGGCGAGUUUGAACGUUUUUGAGGAUGUGUAAUGGCAUGAAUGUGUUGAAUUAGUAAUCCCUUGUGUUAAGCUGUUGUUUUAGUGUUCUUUUGAUGAGUUUGGCUUGUUGUUAUGAAAAGUGUUUGUUUUGGCGAGUUUGAACUUCUUUGAGCAUGUGUAAUGGCAUGAAUAAGUUAAGCUGUUGUUUUAGUGUUCUUUUGAUGAGUUAGGCUUGUUGUUAUGAAAAGUGUUUGUUUUGGCGAGUUUGAAGGUUUUUGAGCAUGUGUAAUGGCAUGAAUGCGUUAAGCUGUUGUUUUAGUGUUCUUUUGAUGAGUUUGGCUUGUUGUUAUGAAAAGUGUUUGUUUUGGCGAGUUUGAAUGUUUUUGAGCAUGUGUAAUGACAUGAAUGCGUUAAGCUGUUGUUUUAGUGUUCUUUUGAUGAGUUUGGCUUGUUGUUAUGAAAAGUGUUUGUUUUGGCGAGUUUGAACGUUUUUGAGCAUGGGUAAUGGCAUGAAUGUGUUGAAUUAGGUAUCCCUUGUGUUAAGCUGUUGUUUUUGUGUUCUUUUGAUGAGUUUGGCUUGUUGUUAUGAAAAGUGUUUGUUGUGGCGAGUUUGAACGUUUUUGAGCAUGUGUAAUGACAUGAAUGCGUUAAGCUGUUGUUUUAGUGUUCUUUUGAUGAGUUUGGCUUGUUGUUAUGAAAAGUGUUUGUUUUGGCGAGUUUGAAGGUUUUUGAGCAUGUGUAAUGGCAUGAAUGCGUUAAGCUGUUGUUUUAGUGUUCUUUUGAUGAGUUUGGCUUGUUGUUAAGAACAUUGUUCGUUUUGGCGAGUUUGAAGGUUUUUGAGCAUGUGUAAUGGCAUGAAUGCGUUAAGCUGUUGUUUUAGUGUUCUUUUGAUGAGUUUGGCUUGUUGUUAUGAAAAGUGUUUGUUUUGGCGAGUUUGAAGGUUUUUGAGCAUGUGUAAUGGCAUGAAUGCGUUAAGCUGUUGUUUUAGUGUUCUUUUGAUGAGUUUGGCAUGUUGAUAUGAAAAGUGUUUGUUUUGGCGAGUUUGAACGUUUUUGAGCAUGUGUAAUGGCAUGAAUGCGUUAAGCUGUUGUUUUAGUGUUCUUUUGAUGAGUUUGGCUUGUUGUUAUGAAAAGUGUUUGUUUUGGCGAGUUUGAACGUUUUUGAGCAUGUGUAAUGGCAUGAAUGUGUUGAAUUAGUAAUCCCUUGUGUUAAGCUGUUGUUUUAGUGUUCUUUUGAUGAGUUUGGCUUGUUGUUAUGAAAAGUGUUUGAUUUGGUGAGUUUGAACGUUUUUGAGCAUGUGUAAUGGCAUGAAUGCGUUAAGCUGUUGUUUUAGUGUUCUUUUGAUGAGUUUGGCUUGUUGUUAUGAAAAGUGUUUGUUUUGGCGAGUUUGAACGUUUUUGAGGAUGUGUAAUGGCAUGAAUGUGUUGAAUUGGUAAUCCCUUGUGUUAAGCUGUUGUUUUAGUGUUCUUUUGAUGAGUUUGGCUUGUUGUUAUGAAAAGUGUUUUUUUUGGCGAGUUUGAAGGUUUUUGAGCAUGUGUAAUGGCAUGAAUGCGUUAAGCUGUUGUUUUAGUGUUCUUUUGAUGAGUUUGGCUUGUUGUUAUGAAAAGUGUUUGUUUUGGCGAGUUUGAACGUUUUUGAGCAUGUGUAAUGGCAUGAAUGCGUUAAGCUGUUGUUUUAGUGUUCUUUUGAUGAGUUUAGCUCGUUGUUAUGAAAAGUCUUUGUUUUGGCGAGUUUGAACUUUUUGAGCAUAUGUAAUGGCAUGAAUGCGUUAAGCUGUUGUUUUAGUGUUCUUUUGAUGAGUUUGGCUUGUUGUUAUGAAAAGUGUUUGUUUUGGCGAGUUUGAACGUUUUUGAGCAUGUGUAAUGGCAUGAAUGUGUUGAAUUAGUAAUCCCUUGUCUUAAGCUGUUGUUUUAGUGUUCUUUUGAUGAGUUUGGCUUGUUGUUAUGAAAAGUGUUUGUUUUGGCGAGUUUGAAGGUUUUUGAGCAUGUGUAAUGGCAUGAAUGUGUUAAGCUGUUGUUUUAGUGUUCUUUUGAUGAGUUUGGCAUGUUGAUAUGAAAAGUGUUUGUUUUGGCGAGUUUGAACGUUUUUGAGCAUGUGUAAUGGCAUGAAUGUGUUGAAUUAGUAAUCCCUUGUGUUAAGCUGUUGUUCUAGUGUUCUUUUGAUGAGUUUGGCUUGUUGUUAUGAAAAGUGUUUGUUUUGGUGAGUUUGAACGUUUUUGAGCAUGUGUAAUGGCAUGAAUGCGUUAAGCUGUUGUUUUAGUGUUCUUUUGAUGAGUUUGGCUUGUUGUUAUGUAAAGUUUUUGUUUUGUCGAGUUUGAACGUUUUUGAGGAUGUGUAAUGGCAUGAAUGUGUUGAAUUAGUAAUCCCUUGUGUUAAGCUGUUGUUUUAGUGUUCUUUUGAUGAGUUUGGCUUGUUGUUAUGAAAAGUGUUUGUUUUGGCGAGUUUGAACGUUUUUGAGCAUGUGUAAUGGCAUGAAUGUGUUGAAUUAGUAAUCCCUUGUGUUAAGCUGUUGUUUUAGUGUUCUUUUGAUGAGUUUGGCUUGUUGUUAUGAAAAGUGUUUGUUUUGGCGAGUUUGAACGUUUUUGAGCAUGUGUAAUGGCAUGAAUACGUUAAGCUGUUGUUUUAGUUUUCUUUUGAUGAGUUUGGCUUGUUGUUAUGAAAAGUGUUUGUUUUGGCGAGUUUGAACGUUUUUGAGCAUGUGUAAUGGCAUGAAUGCGUUAAGCUGUUGUUUUAGUGUUCUUUUGAUGAGUUUGGCUUGUUGUUAUGAAAAGUGUUUGUUUUGGCGAGUUUGAAGGUUUUUGAGCAUGUGUAAUGGCAUGAAUGCGUUAAGCUGUUGUUUUAGUGUUCUUUUGAUGUGUUUGGCUUGUUGUUAUGAAAAGUGUUUGUUUUGGCGAGUUUGAACUUCUUUGAGCAUGUGUAAUGGCAUGAAUGCGUUAAAAGCUGUUGUUUUAGUGUUCUUUUGAUAAGUUUGGCUUGUUGUUAUGAAAAGUGUUUGUUUUGGCGAGUUUGAACGUUUUUGAGCAUGUGUAAUGGCAUGAAUGUGUUGAAUUAGUAAUCCCUUGUGUUAAGCUGUUGUUUUAGUGUUCUUUUGAUGAGUUUGGCUUGUUGUUAUGAAAAGUGUUUGUUUUGGCGAGUUUGAACGUUUUUGAGCAUGUGUAAUGGCAUGAAUUUGUUGAAUUAGUAAUCCCUUGUGUUAAGCUGUUGUUUUAGUGUUCUUUUGAUGAGUUUGGCUUGUUGUUAUGAAAAGUGUUUGUUUUGGCGAGUUUGAACGUUUUUGAGCAUGUGUAAUGGCAUGAAUGCGUUAAGCUGUUGUUUUAGUGUUCUUUUGAUGAGUUUGGCUUGUUGUUAUGAAAAGUGUUUGUUUUGGCGAGUUUGAACGUUUUUGAGGAUGUGUAAUGGCAUGAAUGUGUUGAAUUAGUAAUCCCUUGUGUUAAGCUGUUGUUUUAGUGUUCUUUUGAUGAGUUUGGCUUGUUGUUAUGAAAAGUGUUUGUUUUGGCGAGUUUGAACUUCUUUGAGCAUGUGUAAUGGCAUGAAUAAGUUAAGCUGUUGUUUUAGUGUUCUUUUGAUGAGUUAGGCUUGUUGUUAUUAAAAGUGUUUGUUUUGGCGAGUUUGAAGGUUUUUGAGCAUGUGUAAUGGCAUGAAUGCGUUAAGCUGUUGUUUUAGUGUUCUUUUGAUGAGUUUGGCUUGUCGUUAUGAAAAGUGUUUGUUUUGGCGAGUUUGAAUGUUUUUGAGCAUGUGUAAUGACAUGAAUGCGUUAAGCUGUUGUUUUAGUGUUCUUUUGAUGAGUUUGGCUUGUUGUUAUGAAAAGUGUUUGUUUUGGCGAGUUUGAACGUUUUUGAGCAUGGGUAAUGGCAUGAAUGUGUUGAAUUAGGUAUCCCUUGUGUUAAGCUGUUGUUUUUGUGUUCUUUUGAUGAGUUUGGCUUGUUGUUAUGAAAAGUGUUUGUUGUGGCGAGUUUGAACGUUUUUGAGCAUGUGUAAUGACAUGAAUGCGUUAAGCUGUUGUUUUAGUGUUCUUUUGAUGAGUUUGGCUUGUUGUUAUGAAAAGUGUUUGUUUUGGCGAGUUUGAAGGUUUUUGAGCAUGUGUAAUGGCAUGAAUGCGUUAAGCUGUUGUUUUAGUGUUCUUUUGAUGAGUUUGGCUUGUUGUUAAGAACAUUGUUCGUUUUGGCGAGUUUGAAGGUUUUUGAGCAUGUGUAAUGGAAUGAAUGUGUUGAAUUAGUAAUCCCUUGUGUUAAGCUGUUGUUUUAGUGUUCUUUUGAUGAGUUUGGCUUUUUGUUAUGAAAAGUGUUUGUUUUGGCGAGUUUGAACGUUUUUGAGCAUGUGUAAUGGCAUGAAUGUGUUGAAUUAGUAAUCCCUUAUGUUAAGCUGUUGUUUUAGUGUUCUUUUGAUGAGUUUGGCUUGUUGUUAUGAAAAGUGUUUGUUUUGGCGAGUUUGAAUGUUUUUGAGCAUGUGUAAUGGCAUGAAUGCGUUAAGCUGUUGUUUUAGUGUUCUUUUGAUGAGUUUGGCUUGUUGUUGUGAAAAGUGUUUGUUUUGGCGAGUUUGAACGUUUUUGAGCAUGUGUAAUGGCAUGAAUGCGUUAAGCUGUUGUUUUAGUGUUCUUUUGAUGAGUUUGGCUUGUUUUUAUAAAAAGUGUUUGUUUUGGCGAGUUUGAAGGUUUUUGAGCAUGUGUAAUGGCAUGAAUGUGUUGAAAUAGUAAUCCCUUGUGUUAACCUGUUGUUUUAGUGUUCUUUUGAUGAGUUUAGCUUGUUGUUAUGAAAAGUCUUUGUUUUGGCGAGUUUGAACUUUUUGAGCAUAUGUAAUGGCAUGAAUGCGUUAAGCUGUUGUUUUAGUGUUCUUUUGAUGAGUUUGGCUUGUUGUUAUGAAAAGUGUUUGUUUUGGCGAGUUUGAAGGUUUUUGAGCAUGUGUAAUGGCAUGAAUGCGUUAAGCUGUUGUUUUAGGGUUCUUUUGAUGAGUUUGGCUUGUUGUUAAGAACAUUGUUCGUUUUGGCGAGUUUGAAGGUUUUUGAGCAUGUGUAAUGGAAUGAAUGUGUUGAAUUAGUAAUCCCUUGUGUUAAGCUGUUGUUUUAGUGUUCUUUUGAUGAGUUUGGCUUUUUGUUAUGAAAAGUGUUUGUUUUGGCGAGUUUGAACGUUUUUGAGCAUGUGUAAUGGCAUGAAUGUGUUGAAUCAGUAAUCCCUUAUGUUAAGCUGUUGUUUCAGUGUUCUUUUGAUGAGUUUGGCUUGUUGUUAUGAAAAGUGUUUGUUUUGGCGAGUUUGAACGUUUUUGAGCAUGUGUAAUGGCAUGAAUGUGUUGAAAUAGUAAUCCCUUGUGUUAACCUGUUGUUUCAGUGUUCUUUUGAUGAGUUUAGCUUGUUGUUAUGAAAAGUCUUUGUUUUGGCGAGUUUGAACUUUUUGAGCAUAUGUAAUGGCAUGAAUGCGUUAAGCUGUUGUUUUAGUGUUCUUUUGAUGAGUUUGGCUUGUUGUUAUGAAAAGUGUUUGUUUUGGCGAGUUUGAACGUUUUUGAGCAUGUGUAAUGGCAUGAAUGCGUUAAGCUGUUGUUUUAGUGUUCUUUUGAUGAGUUUAGCUUGUUGUUAUGAAAAGUCUUUGUUUUGGCGAGUUUGAACUUUUUGAGCAUAUGUAAUGGCAUGAAUGCGUUAAGCUGUUGUUUUAGUGUUCUUUUGAUGAGUUUGGCUUGUUGUUAUGAAAAGUGUUUGUUUUGGCGAGUUUGAACGUUUUUGAGCAUGUGUAAUGGCAUGAAUGUGUUGAAUUAGUAAUCCCUUGUCUUAAGCUGUUGUUUUAGUGUUCUUUUGAUGAGUUUGGCUUGUUGUUAUGAAAAGUGUUUGUUUUGGCGAGUUUGAAGGUUUUUGAGCAUGUGUAAUGGCAUGAAUGUGUUAAGCUGUUGUUUUAGUGUUCUUUUGAUGAGUUUGGCAUGUUGAUAUGAAAAGUGUUUGUUUUGGCGAGUUUGAACGUUUUUGAGCAUGUGUAAUGGCAUGAAUGUGUUGAAUUAGUAAUCCCUUGUGUUAAGCUGUUGUUCUAGUGUUCUUUUGAUGAGUUUGGCUUGUUGUUAUGAAAAGUGUUUGUUUUGGUGAGUUUGAACGUUUUUGAGCAUGUGUAAUGGCAUGAAUGCGUUAAGCUGUUGUUUUAGUGUUCUUUUGAUGAGUUUGGCUUGUUGUUAUGGAAAGUUUUUGUUUUGUCGAGUUUGAACGUUUUUGAGGAUGUGUAAUGGCAUGAAUGUGUUGAAUUAGUAAUCCCUUGUGUUAAGCUGUUGUUUUAGUGUUCUUUUGAUGAGUUUGGCUUGUUGUUAUGAAAAGUGUUUGUUUUGGCGAGUUUGAACGUUUUUGAGCAUGUGUAAUGGCAUGAAUGUGUUGAAUUAGUAAUCCCUUGUGUUAAGCUGUUGUUUUAGUGUUCUUUUGAUGAGUUUGGCUUGUUGUUAUGAAAAGUGUUUGUUUUGGCGAGUUUGAACGUUUUUGAGCAUGUGUAAUGGCAUGAAUACGUUAAGCUGUUGUUUUAGUGUUCUUUUGAUGAGUUUGGCUUGUUGUUAUGAAAAGUGUUUGUUUUGGCGAGUUUGAACGUUUUUGAGCAUGUGUAAUGGCAUGAAUGCGUUAAGCUGUUGUUUUAGUGUUCUUUUGAUGAGUUUGGCUUGUUGUUAUGAAAAGUGUUUGUUUUGGCGAGUUUGAAGGUUUUUGAGCAUGUGUAAUGGCAUGAAUGCGUUAAGCUGUUGUUUUAGUGUUCUUUUGAUGUGUUUGGCUUGUUGUUAUGAAAAGUGUUUGUUUUGGCGAGUUUGAACUUCUUUGAGCAUGUGUAAUGGCAUGAAUGCGUUAAAAGCUGUUGUUUUAGUGUUCUUUUGAUAAGUUUGGCUUGUUGUUAUGAAAAGUGUUUGUUUUGGCGAGUUUGAACGUUUUUGAGCAUGUGUAAUGGCAUGAAUGUGUUGAAUUAGUAAUCCCUUGUGUUAAGCUGUUGUUUUAGUGUUCUUUUGAUGAGUUUGGCUUGUUGUUAUGAAAAGUGUUUGUUUUGGCGAGUUUGAACGUUUUUGAGCAUGUGUAAUGGCAUGAAUUUGUUGAAUUAGUAAUCCCUUGUGUUAAGCUGUUGUUUUAGUGUUCUUUUGAUGAGUUUGGCUUGUUGUUAUGAAAAGUGUUUGUUUUGGCGAGUUUGAACGUUUUUGAGCAUGUGUAAUGGCAUGAAUGCGUUAAGCUGUUGUUUUAGUGUUCUUUUGAUGAGUUUGGCUUGUUGUUAUGAAAAGUGUUUGUUUUGGCGAGUUUGAACGUUUUUGAGGAUGUGUAAUGGCAUGAAUGUGUUGAAUUAGUAAUCCCUUGUGUUAAGCUGUUGUUUUAGUGUUCUUUUGAUGAGUUUGGCUUGUUGUUAUGAAAAGUGUUUGUUUUGGCGAGUUUGAACUUCUUUGAGCAUGUGUAAUGGCAUGAAUAAGUUAAGCUGUUGUUUUAGUGUUCUUUUGAUGAGUUAGGCUUGUUGUUAUGAAAAGUGUUUGUUUUGGCGAGUUUGAAGGUUUUUGAGCAUGUGUAAUGGCAUGAAUGCGUUAAGCUGUUGUUUUAGUGUUCUUUUGAUGAGUUUGGCUUGUUGUUAUGAAAAGUGUUUGUUUUGGCGAGUUUGAAUGUUUUUGAGCAUGUGUAAUGACAUGAAUGCGUUAAGCUGUUGUUUUAGUGUUCUUUUGAUGAGUUUGGCUUGUUGUUAUGAAAAGUGUUUGUUUUGGCGAGUUUGAACGUUUUUGAGCAUGGGUAAUGGCAUGAAUGUGUUGAAUUAGGUAUCCCUUGUGUUAAGCUGUUGUUUUUGUGUUCUUUUGAUGAGUUUGGCUUGUUGUUAUGAAAAGUGUUUGUUGUGGCGAGUUUGAACGUUUUUGAGCAUGUGUAAUGACAUGAAUGCGUUAAGCUGUUGUUUUAGUGUUCUUUUGAUGAGUUUGGCUUGUUGUUAUGAAAAGUGUUUGUUUUGGCGAGUUUGAAGGUUUUUGAGCAUGUGUAAUGGCAUGAAUGCGUUAAGCUGUUGUUUUAGUGUUCUUUUGAUGAGUUUGGCUUGUUGUUAAGAACAUUGUUCGUUUUGGCGAGUUUGAAGGUUUUUGAGCAUGUGUAAUGGAAUGAAUGUGUUGAAUUAGUAAUCCCUUGUGUUAAGCUGUUGUUUUAGUGUUCUUUUGAUGAGUUUGGCUUGUUGUUAUGAAAAGUGUUUGUUUUGGCGAGUUUGAACGUUUUUGAGCAUGUGUAAUGGCAUGAAUGUGUUGAAUUAGUAAUCCCUUAUGUUAAGCUGUUGUUUUAGUGUUCUUUUGAUGAGUUUGGCUUGUUGUUAUGAAAAGUGUUUGUUUUGGCGAGUUUGAAUGUUUUUGAGCAUGUGUAAUGGCAUGAAUGCGUUAAGCUGUUGUUUUAGUGUUCUUUUGAUGAGUUUGGCUUGUUGUUGUGAAAAGUGUUUGUUUUGGCGAGUUUGAACGUUUUUGAGCAUGUGUAAUGGCAUGAAUGCGUUAAGCUGUUGUUUUAGUGUUCUUUUGAUGAGUUUGGCUUGUUUUUAUAAAAAGUGUUUGUUUUGGCGAGUUUGAAGGUUUUUGAGCAUGUGUAAUGGCAUGAAUGUGUUGAAAUAGUAAUCCCUUGUGUUAACCUGUUGUUUUAGUGUUCUUUUGAUGAGUUUAGCUUGUUGUUAUGAAAAGUCUUUGUUUUGGCGAGUUUGAACUUUUUGAGCAUAUGUAAUGGCAUGAAUGCGUUAAGCUGUUGUUUUAGUGUUCUUUUGAUGAGUUUGGCUUGUUGUUAUGAAAAGUGUUUGUUUUGGCGAGUUUGAAGGUUUUUGAGCAUGUGUAAUGGCAUGAAUGCGUUAAGCUGUUGUUUUAGGGUUCUUUUGAUGAGUUUGGCUUGUUGUUAAGAACAUUGUUCGUUUUGGCGAGUUUGAAGGUUUUUGAGCAUGUGUAAUGGAAUGAAUGUGUUGAAUUAGUAAUCCCUUGUGUUAAGCUGUUGUUUUAGUGUUCUUUUGAUGAGUUUGGCUUUUUGUUAUGAAAAGUGUUUGUUUUGGCGAGUUUGAACGUUUUUGAGCAUGUGUAAUGGCAUGAAUGUGUUGAAUUAGUAAUCCCUUAUGUUAAGCUGUUGUUUCAGUGUUCUUUUGAUGAGUUUGGCUUGUUGUUAUGAAAAGUGUUUGUUUUGGCGAGUUUGAACGUUUUUGAGCAUGUGUAAUGGCAUGAAUGUGUUGAAAUAGUAAUCCCUUGUGUUAACCUGUUGUUUCAGUGUUCUUUUGAUGAGUUUAGCUUGUUGUUAUGAAAAGUCUUUGUUUUGGCGAGUUUGAACUUUUUGAGCAUAUGUAAUGGCAUGAAUGCGUUAAGCUGUUGUUUUAGUGUUCUUUUGAUGAGUUUGGCUUGUUGUUAUGAAAAGUGUUUGUUUUGGCGAGUUUGAAGGUUUUUGAGCAUGUGUAAUGGCAUGAAUGCGUUAAGCUGUUGUUUUAGUGUUCUUUUGAUGAGUUUGGCUUGUUGUUAUGAAAAGUGUUUGUUUUGGCGAGUUUGAACGUUUUUGAGCAUGUGUAAUGGCAUGAAUGCGUUAAGCUGUUGUUUCAGUGUUCUUUUGAUGAGUUUGGCUUGUUGUUAUGAAAAGUGUUUGUUUUGGCGAGUUUGAACGUUUUUGAGCAUGUGUAAUGGCAUGAAUGUGUUGAAAUAGUAAUCCCUUGUGUUAACCUGUUGUUUCAGUGUUCUUUUGAUGAGUUUAGCUUGUUGUUAUGAAAAGUCUUUGUUUUGGCGAGUUUGAACUUUUUGAGCAUAUGUAAUGGCAUGAAUGCGUUAAGCUGUUGUUUUAGUGUUCUUUUGAUGAGUUUGGCUUGUUGUUAUGAAAAGUGUUUGUUUUGGCGAGUUUGAAGGUUUUUGAGCAUGUGUAAUGGCAUGAAUGCGUUAAGCUGUUGUUUUAGUGUUCUUUUGAUGAGUUUGGCUUGUUGUUAUGAAAAGUGUUUGUUUUGGCGAGUUUGAACGUUUUUGAGCAUGUGUAAUGGCAUGAAUGCGUUAAGCUGUUGUUUUAGUGUUCUUUUGAUGAGUUUGGCUUGUUGUUAUGAAAAGUGUUUGUUUUGGCGAGUUUGAAGGUUUUUGAGCAUGUGUAAUGGCAUGAAUGCGUUAAGCUGUUGUUUUAGUGUUCUUUUGAUGAGUUUGGCAUGUUGAUAUGAAAAGUGUUUGUUUUGGCGAGUUUGAACGUUUUUGAGCAUGUGUAAUGGCAUGAAUGCGUUAAGCUGUUGUUUUAGUGUUCUUUUGAUGAGUUUGGCUUGUUGUUAUGAAAAGUGUUUGUUUUGGCGAGUUUGAACGUUUUUGAGCAUGUGUAAUGGCAUGAAUGUGUUGAAAUAGUAAUCCCUUAUGUUAAGCUGUUGUUUUAGUGUUCUUUUGAUGAGUUUGGCUUGUUGUUAUGAAAAGUGUUUGUUUUGGCGAGUUUGAACGUUUUUGAGCAUGUGUAAUGGCAUGAAUGUGUUGAAAUAGUAAUCCCUUGUGUUAACCUGUUGUUUCAGUGUUCUUUUGAUGAGUUUAGCUUGUUGUUAUGAAAAGUCUUUGUUUUGGCGAGUUUGAACGUUUUUGAGCAUGUGUAAUGGCAUGAAUGUGUUGAAAUAGUAAUCCCUUAUGUUAAGCUGUUGUUUUAGUGUUCUUUUGAUGAGUUUGGCUUGUUGUUAUGAAAAGUGUUUGUUUUGGCGAGUUUGAACGUUUUUGAGCAUAUGUAAUGGCAUGAAUGCGUUAAGCUGUUGUUUUAGUGUUCUUUUGAUGAGUUUGGCUUGUUGUUAUGAAAAGUGUUUGUUUUGGCGAGUUUGAAGGUUUUUGAGCAUGUGUAAUGGCAUGAAUGCGUUAAGCUGUUGUUUUAGUGUUCUUUUGAUGAGUUUGGCUUGUUGUUAUGAAAAGUGUUUGUUUUGGCGAGUUUGAAGGUUUUUGAGCAUGUGUAAUGGCAUGAAUGCGUUAAGCUGUUGUUUUAGUGUUCUUUUGAUGAGUUUGGCAUGUUGAUAUGAAAAGUGUUUGUUUUGGCGAGUUUGAACGUUUUUGAGCAUGUGUAAUGGCAUGAAUGCGUUAAGCUGUUGUUUUAGUGUUCUUUUGAUGAGUUUGGCUUGUUGUUAUGAAAAGUGUUUGUUUUGGCGAGUUUGAACGUUUUUGAGCAUGUGUAAUGGCAUGAAUGUGUUGAAUUAGUAAUCCCUUGUGUUAAGCUGUUGUUUUAGUGUUCUUUUGAUGAGUUUGGCUUGUUGUUAUGAAAAGUGUUUGUUUUGGUGAGUUUGAACGUUUUUGAGCAUGUGUAAUGGCAUGAAUGCGUUAAGCUGUUGUUUUAGUGUUCUUUUGAUGAGUUUGGCUUGUUAUUAUGAAAAGUGUUUGUUUUGGCGAGUUUGAACGUUUUUGAGGAUGUGUAAUGGCAUGAAUGUGUUGAAUUGGUAAUCCCUUGUGUUAAGCUGUUGUUUUAGUGUUCUUUUGAUGAGUUUGGCUUGUUGUUAUGAAAAGUGUUUUUUUUGGCGAGUUUGAAGGUUUUUGAGCAUGUGUAAUGGCAUGAAUGCGUUAAGCUGUUGUUUUAGUGUUCUUUUGAUGAGUUUGGCUUGUUGUUAUGAAAAGUGUUUGUUUUGGCGAGUUUGAACGUUUUUGAGCAUGUGUAAUGGCAUGAAUGCGUUAAGCUGUUGUUUUAGUGUUCUUUUGAUGAGUUUAGCUUGUUGUUAUGAAAAGUCUUUGUUUUGGCGAGUUUGAACUUUUUGAGCAUAUGUAAUGGCAUGAAUGCGUUAAGCUGUUGUUUUAGUGUUCUUUUGAUGAGUUUGGCUUGUUGUUAUGAAAAGUGUUUGUUUUGGCGAGUUUGAACGUUUUUGAGCAUGUGUAAUGGCAUGAAUGUGUUGAAUUAGUAAUCCCUUGUGUUAAGCUGUUGUUUUAGUGUUCUUUUGAUGAGUUUGGCUUGUUGUUAUGAAAAGUGUUUGUUUUGGCGAGUUUGAAGGUUUUUGAGCAUGUGUAAUGGCAUGAAUGCGUUAAGCUGUUGUUUUAGUGUUCUUUUGAUGAGUUUGGCAUGUUGAUAUGAAAAGUGUUUGUUUUGGCGAGUUUGAACGUUUUUGAGCAUGUGUAAUGGCAUGAAUGUGUUGAAUUAGUAAUCCCUUGUGUUAAGCUGUUGUUUUAGUGUUCUUUUGAUGAGUUUGGCUUGUUGUUAUGAAAAGUGUUUGUUUUGGUGAGUUUGAACGUUUUUGAGCAUGUGUAAUGGCAUGAAUGCGUUAAGCUGUUGUUUUAGUGUUCUUUUGAUGAGUUUGGCUUGUUGUUAUGGAAAGUUUUUGUUUUGUCGAGUUUGAACGUUUUUGAGGAUGUGUAAUGGCAUGAAUGUGUUGAAUUAGUAAUCCCUUGUGUUAAGCUGUUGUUUUAGUGUUCUUUUGAUGAGUUUGGCUUGUUGUUAUGAAAAGUGUUUGUUUUGGCGAGUUUGAACGUUUUUGAGCAUGUGUAAUGGCAUGAAUGCGUUAAGCUGUUGUUUUAGUGUUCUUUUGAUGAGUUUGGCUUGUUGUGAAAAGUGUUUGUUUUGGCGAGUUUGAACGUUUUUGAGCAUGUGUAAUGGCAUGAAUGCGUUAAGCUGUUGUUUUAGUGUUCUUUUGGUGAGUUUGGCUUGUUGUUAUGAAAAGUGUUUGUUUUGGCGAGUUUGAACGUUUUUGAGCAUGUGUAAUGGCAUGAAUGUGUUGAAUUAGUAAUCCCUUGUGUUAAGCUUUUGUUUUAGUGUUCUUUUGAUGAGUUUGGCUUGUUGUUAUGAAAAGUGUUUGUUUUGGCGAGUUUGAACGUUUUUGAGCAUGUGUAAUGGCAUGAAUGUGUUGAAUUAGUAAUCCCUUGUGUUAAGCUGUUGUUUUAGUGUUCUUUUGAUGAGUUUGGCUUGUUGUUAUGAAAAGUGUUUGUUUUGGCGAGUUUGAACGUUUUUGAGCAUGUGUAAUGGCAUGAAUGCGUAAAGCUGUUGUUUUAGUGUUCUUUUGAUGAGUUUGGCUUGUUGUUAUGAAAAGUGUUUGUUUUGGCGAGUUUGAACGUUUUUGAGGAUGUGUAAUGGCAUGAAUGUGUUGAAUUAGUAAUCCCUUGUGUUAAGCUGUUGUUUUAGUGUUCUUUUGAUGAGUUUGGCUUGUUGUUAUGAAAAGUGUUUGUUUUGGCGAGUUUGAACUUCUUUGAGCAUGUGUAAUGGCAUGAAUGCGUUAAGCUGUUGUUUUAGUGUUCUUUUGAUGAGUUAGGCUUGUUGUUAUGAAAAGUGUUUGUUUUGGCGAGUUUGAACGUUUUUGAGCAUGUGUAAUGGCAUGAAUGCGUAAAGCUGUUGUUUUAGUGUUCUUUUGAUGAGUUUGGCUUGUUGUUAUGAAAAGUGUUUGUUUUGGCGAGUUUGAACGUUUUUGAGCAUGUGUAAUGGCAUGAAUGCUUUAAGCUGUUGUUUUAGUGUUCUUUUGAUGAGUUUGGCUUGUUGUUAUGAAAAGAGUUUGUUUUGGCGACUUUGAAUGUUUUUGAGCAUGUGUAAUGACAUGAAUGCGUUAAGCUGUUGUUUUAGUGUUCUUUUGUUGAGUUUGGCUUGUUGUUAUGAAAAGUGUUUGUUUUGGCGAGUUUGAACGUUUUUGAGCAUGGGUAAUGGCAUGAAUGUGUUGAAUUAGUAAUCCCUUGUGUUAAGCUGUUGUUUUUGUGUUCUUUUGAUGAGUUUGGCUUGUUGUUAUGAAAAGUGUUUGUUGUGGCGAGUUUGAACGUUUUUGAGCAUGUGUAAUGCCAUGAAUGUGUUGAAUUAGUAAUCCCUUGUGUUAAGCUGUUGUUUUAGUGUUCUUUUGAUGAGUUUGGCUUGUUGUUAUGAAAAGUGUUUGUUUUGGCGAGUUUGAACGUUUUUGAGCAUGUGUAAUGGCAUGAAUGCGUAAAGCUGUUGUUUUAGUGUUCUUUUGAUGAGUUUGGCUUGUUGUUAUGAAAAGUGUUUGUUUUGGCGAGUUUGAACGUUUUUGAGGAUGUGUAAUGGCAUGAAUGUGUUGAAUUAGUAAUCCCUUGUGUUAAGCUGUUGUUUUAGUGUUCUUUUGAUGAGUUUGGCUUGUUGUUAUGAAAAGUGUUUGUUUUGGCGAGUUUGAACUUCUUUGAGCAUGUGUAAUGGCAUGAAUGCGUUAAGCUGUUGUUUUAGUGUUCUUUUGAUGAGUUAGGCUUGUUGUUAUGAAAAGUGUUUGUUUUGGCGAGUUUGAACGUUUUUGAGCAUGUGUAAUGGCAUGAAUGCGUAAAGCUGUUGUUUUAGUGUUCUUUUGAUGAGUUUGGCUUGUUGUUAUGAAAAGUGUUUGUUUUGGCGAGUUUGAACGUUUUUGAGCAUGUGUAAUGGCAUGAAUGCGUUAAGCUGUUGUUUUAGUGUUCUUUUGAUGAGUUUGGCUUUUUGUUAUGAAAAGAGUUUGUUUUGGCGACUUUGAAUGUUUUUGAGCAUGUGUAAUGACAUGAAUGCGUUAAGCUGUUGUUUUAGUGUUCUUUUGUUGAGUUUGGCUUGUUGUUAUGAAAAGUGUUUGUUUUGGCGAGUUUGAACGUUUUUGAGCAUGGGUAAUGGCAUGAAUGUGUUGAAUUAGUAAUCCCUUGUGUUAAGCUGUUGUUUUUGUGUUCUUUUGAUGAGUUUGGCUUGUUGUUAUAAAAAGUGUUUGUUGUGGCGAGUUUGAACGUUUUUGAGCAUGUGUAAUGGCAUGAAUGUGUUGAAUUAGUAAUCCCUUGUGUUAAGCUGUUGUUUUAGUGUUCUUUUGAUGAGUUUGGCUUGUUGUUAUGAAAAGUGUUUGUUUUGGCGAGUUUGAACGUUUUUGAGCAUGUGUAAUGGCAUGAAUGCGUAAAGCUGUUGUUUUAGUGUUCUUUUGAUGAGUUUGGCUUGUUGUUAUGAAAAGUGUUUGUUUUGGCGAGUUUGAACGUUUUUGAGGAUGUGUAAUGGCAUGAAUGUGUUGAAUUAGUAAUCCCUUGUGUUAAGCUGUUGUUUUAGUGUUCUUUUGAUGAGUUUGGCUUGUUGUUAUGAAAAGUGUUUGUUUUGGCGAGUUUGAACUUCUUUGAGCAUGUGUAAUGGCAUGAAUGCGUUAAGCUGUUGUUUUAGUGUUCUUUUGAUGAGUUAGGCUUGUUGUUAUGAAAAGUGUUUGUUUUGGCGAGUUUGAACGUUUUUGAGCAUGUGUAAUGGCAUGAAUGCGUAAAGCUGUUGUUUUAGUGUUCUUUUGAUGAGUUUGGCUUGUUGUUAUGAAAAGUGUUUGUUUUGGCGAGUUUGAACGUUUUUGAGCAUGUGUAAUGGCAUGAAUGCGUUAAGCUGUUGUUUUAGUGUUCUUUUGAUGAGUUUGGCUUGUUGUUAUGAAAAGAGUUUGUUUUGGCGACUUUGAAUGUUUUUGAGCAUGUGUAAUGACAUGAAUGCGUUAAGCUGUUGUUUUAGUGUUCUUUUGUUGAGUUUGGCUUGUUGUUAUGAAAAGUGUUUGUUUUGGCGAGUUUGAACGUUUUUGAGCAUGGGUAAUGGCAUGAAUGUGUUGAAUUAGUAAUCCCUUGUGUUAAGCUGUUGUUUUUGUGUUCUUUUGAUGAGUUUGGCUUGUUGUUAUGAAAAGUGUUUGUUGUGGCGAGUUUGAACGUUUUUGAGCAUGUGUAAUGGCAUGAAUGUGUUGAAUUAGUAAUCCCUUGUGUUAAGCUGUUGUUUUAGUGUUCUUUUGAUGAGUUUGGCUUGUUGUUAUGAAAAGUGUUUGUUUUGGCGAGUUUGAACGUUUUUGAGCAUGUGUAAUGGCAUGAAUGCGUAAAGCUGUUGUUUUAGUGUUCUUUUGAUGAGUUUGGCUUGUUGUUAUGAAAAGUGUUUGUUUUGGCGAGUUUGAACGUUUUUGAGGAUGUGUAAUGGCAUGAAUGUGUUGAAUUAGUAAUCCCUUGUGUUAAGCUGUUGUUUUAGUGUUCUUUUGAUGAGUUUGGCUUGUUGUUAUGAAAAGUGUUUGUUUUGGCGAGUUUGAACUUCUUUGAGCAUGUGUAAUGGCAUGAAUGCGUUAAGCUGUUGUUUUAGUGUUCUUUUGAUGAGUUAGGCUUGUUGUUAUGAAAAGUGUUUGUUUUGGCGAGUUUGAACGUUUUUGAGCAUGUGUAAUGGCAUGAAUGCGUAAAGCUGUUGUUUUAGUGUUCUUUUGAUGAGUUUGGCUUGUUGUUAUGAAAAGUGUUUGUUUUGGCGAGUUUGAACGUUUUUGAGCAUGUGUAAUGGCAUGAAUGCGUUAAGCUGUUGUUUUAGUGUUCUUUUGAUGAGUUUGGCUUGUUGUUAUGAAAAGAGUUUGUUUUGGCGACUUUGAAUGUUUUUGAGCAUGUGUAAUGACAUGAAUGCGUUAAGCUGUUGUUUUAGUGUUCUUUUGUUGAGUUUGGCUUGUUGUUAUGAAAAGUGUUUGUUUUGGCGAGUUUGAACGUUUUUGAGCAUGGGUAAUGGCAUGAAUGUGUUGAAUUAGUAAUCCCUUGUGUUAAGCUGUUGUUUUUGUGUUCUUUUGAUGAGUUUGGCUUGUUGUUAUGAAAAGUGUUUGUUGUGGCGAGUUUGAACGUUUUUGAGCAUGUGUAAUGACAUGAAUGCGUUAAGCUGUUGUUUUAGUGUUCUUUUGAUGAGUUUGGCUUGUUGUUAUGAAAAGUGUUUGUUUUGGCGAGUUUGAAGGUUUUUGAGCAUGUGUAAUGGCAUGAAUGCGUUAAGCUGUUGUUUUAGUGUUCUUUUGAUGAGUUUGGCUUGUUGUUAAGAACAUUGUUCGUUUUGCCAUGUUGAAGGUUUUUGAGCAUGUGUAAUGGAAUGAAUGUGUUGAAUUAGUAAUCCCUUGUGUUAAGCUGUUGUUUUAGUGUUCUUUUGAUGAGUUUGGCUUUUUGUUAUGAAAAGUGUUUGUUUUGGCGAGUUUGAACGUUUUUUGAGCAUGUGUAAUGUCAUGAAUGUGUUGAAUUAGUAAUCCCUUAUGUUAAGCUGUUGUUUUAGUGUUCUUUUGAUGAGUUUGGCUUGUUGUUAUGAAAAGUGUUUGUUUUGGCGAGUUUGAACGUUUUUGAGCAUGUGUAAUGGCAUGAAUGCGUAAAGCUGUUGUUUUAGUGUUCUUUUGAUGAGUUUGGCUUGUUGUUAUGAAAAGUGUUUGUUUUGGCGAGUUUGAACGUUUUUGAGGAUGUGUAAUGGCAUGAAUGUGUUGAAUUAGUAAUCCCUUGUGUUAAGCUGUUGUUUUAGUGUUCUUUUGAUGAGUUUGGCUUGUUGUUAUGAAAAGUGUUUGUUUUGGCGAGUUUGAACUUCUUUGAGCAUGUGUAAUGGCAUGAAUGCGUUAAGCUGUUGUUUUAGUGUUCUUUUGAUGAGUUAGGCUUGUUGUUAUGAAAAGUGUUUGUUUUGGCGAGUUUGAACGUUUUUGAGCAUGUGUAAUGGCAUGAAUGCGUAAAGCUGUUGUUUUAGUGUUCUUUUGAUGAGUUUGGCUUGUUGUUAUGAAAAGUGUUUGUUUUGGCGAGUUUGAACGUUUUUGAGCAUGUGUAAUGGCAUGAAUGCGUUAAGCUGUUGUUUUAGUGUUCUUUUGAUGAGUUUGGCUUGUUGUUAUGAAAAGUGUUUGUUUUGGCGAGUUUGAACGUUUUUGAGCAUGUGUAAUGGCAUGAAUGCGUUAAGCUGUUGUUUUAGUGUUCUUUUGAUGAGUUUAGCUUGUUGUUAUGAAAAGUCUUUGUUUUGGCGAGUUUGAACUUUUUGAGCAUAUGUAAUGGCAUGAAUGCGUUAAGCUGUUGUUUUAGUGUUCUUUUGAUGAGUUUGGCUUGUUGUUAUGAAAAGUGUUUGUUUUGGCGAGUUUGAACGUUUUUGAGCAUGUGUAAUGGCAUGAAUGUGUUGAAUUAGUAAUCCCUUGUGUUAAGCCGUUGUUUUAGUGUUCUUUUAAUGAGUUUGGCUUGUUGUUAUGAAAAGUGUUUGUUUUGGCGAGUUUGAAGGUUUUUGAGCAUGUGUAAUGGCAUGAAUGCGUUAAGCUGUUGUUUUAGUGUUCUUUUGAUGAGUUUGGCAUGUUGAUAUGAAAAGUGUUUGUUUUGGCGAGUUUGAACGUUUUUGAGCAUGUGUAAUGGCAUGAAUGUGUUGAAUUAGUAAUCCCUUGUGUUAAGCUGUUGUUUUAGUGUUCUUUUGAUGAGUUUGGCUUGUUGUUAUGAAAAGUGUUUGUUUUGGCGAGUUUGAACGUUUUUGAGCAUGUGUAAUGGCAUGAAUGCGUUAAGCUGUUGUUUUAGUGUUCUUUUGAUGAGUUUGGCUUGUUGUUAUGAAAAGUGUUUUUUUUUGGCGAGUUUGAAGGUUUUUGAGCAUGUGUAAUGGCAUGAAUGCGUUAAGCUGUUGUUUGAGUGUUCUUUUGAUGAGUUUGGCAUGUUGAUAUGAAAAGUGUUUGUUUUGGCGAGUUUGAAUGUUUUUGAGCAUGUGUAAUGGCAUGAAUGCGUUAAGCUGUUGUUUUAGUGUUCUUUUGAUGAGUUUGGCUUGUUGUUAUGAAAAGUGUUUGUUUUGGCGAGUUUGAAGGUUUUUGAGCAUGUGUAAUGGCAUGAAUGUGUGGAAUUAGUAAUCCCUUGUGUUAAGCUGUUGUUUUAGUGUUCUUUUGAUGAGUUUGGCUUGUUGUUAUGAAAAGUGUUUGUUUUGGCGAGUUUGAACGUUUUUGAGCAUGUGUAAUGGCAUGAAUACGUUAAGCUGUUGUUUUAGUGUUCUUUUGAUGAGUUUGGCUUGUUAUGAAAAGUGUUUGUUUUGGCGAGUUUGAACGUUUUUGAGCAUGUGUAAUGGCAUGAAUGCGUUAAGCUGUUGUUUUAGUGUCCUUUUGAUGAGUUUGGCUUGUUGUUAUGAACAUUGUUCGUUUUGGCGAGUUUGAAGGUUUUUGAGCAUGUGUAAUGGCAUGAAUGUGUUGAAUUAGUAAUCCCUUGUGUUAAGAUGUUGUUUUAGUGUUCUUUUGAUGAGUUUGGCUUGUUGUUAUGAAAAGUGUUUGUUUUGGCCAGUUUGAACGUUUUUGAGCAUGUGUAAUGGCAUGAAUGUGUUGAAUUAGUAAUCCCUUGUGUUAAGCUGUUGUUUUAGUGUUCUUUUGAUGAGUUUGGCUUGUUGUUAUGAAAAGUGUUUGUUUUGGCGAGUUUGAACGUUUUUGAGCAUGUGUAAUGGCAUGAAUGCGUUAAGCUGUUGUUUUAGUGUUCUUUUGAUGAGUUUGGCUUGUUGUUAUGAAAAGUGUUUGUUUUGGCGAGUUUGAACGUUUUUGAGGAUGUGUAAUGGCAUGAAUGUGUUGAAUUAGUAAUCCCUUGUGUUAAGCUGUUGUUUUAGUGUUCUUUUGAUGAGUUUGGCUUGUUGUUAUGAAAAGUGUUUGUUUUGGCGAGUUUGAACGUUUUUGAGCAUGUGUAAUGGCAUGAAUGCGUAAAGCUGUUGUUUUAGUGUUCUUUUGAUGAGUUUGGCUUGUUGUUAUGAAAAGAGUUUGUUUUGGCGAGUUUGAACGUUUUUGAGCAUGUGUAAUGGCAUGAAUGCGUUAAGCUGUUGUUUUAGUGUUCUUUUGAUGAGUUUGGCUUGUUGUUAUGAAAAGAGUUUGUUUUGGCGACUUUGAAUGUUUUUGAGCAUGUGUAAUGCAUGAAUGCGUUAAGCUGUUGUUUUAGUGUUCUUUUGUUGAGUCUGGCUUGUUGUUAUGAAAAGUGUUUGUUUUGGCGAGUUUGAACGUUUUUGAGCAUGGGUAAUGGCAUGAAUGUGUUGAAUUAGUAAUCCCUUGUGUUAAGCUGUUGUUUUUGUGUUCUUUUGAUGAGUUUGGCUUGUUGUUAUGAAAAGUGUUUGUUGUGGCGAGUUUGAACGUUUUUGAGCAUGUGUAAUGGCAUGAAUGUGUUGAAUUAGUAAUCCCUUGUGUUAAGCUGUUGUUUUAGUGUUCUUUUGAUGAGUUUGGCUUGUUGUUAUGAAAAGUGUUUGUUUUGGCGAGUUUGAACGUUUUUGAGCAUGUGUAAUGGCAUGAAUGCGUAAAGCUGUUGUUUUAGUGUUCUUUUGAUGAGUUUGGCUUGUUGUUAUGAAAAGUGUUUGUUUUGGCGAGUUUGAACGUUUUUGAGGAUGUGUAAUGGCAUGAAUGUGUUGAAUUAGUAAUCCCUUGUGUUAAGCUGUUGUUUUAGUGUUCUUUUGAUGAGUUUGGCUUGUUGUUAUGAAAAGUGUUUGUUUUGGCGAGUUUGAACUUUUUGAGCAUGUGUAAUGGCAUGAAUGCGUUAAGCUGUUGUUUUAGUGUUCUUUUGAUGAGUUAGGCUUGUUGUUAUGAAAAGUGUUUGUUUUGGCGAGUUUGAACGUUUUUGAGCAUGUGUAAUGGCAUGAAUGCGUAAAGCUGUUGUUUUAGUGUUCUUUUGAUGAGUUUGGCUUGUUGUUAUGAAAAGUGUUUGUUUUGGCGAGUUUGAACGUUUUUGAGCAUGUGUAAUGGCAUGAAUGCGUUAAGCUGUUGUUUUAGUGUUCUUUUGAUGAGUUUGGCUUGUUGUUAUGAAAAGAGUUUGUUUUGGCGACUUUGAAUGUUUUUGAGCAUGUGUAAUGACAUGAAUGCGUUAAGCUGUUGUUUUAGUGUUCUUUUGUUGAGUUUGGCUUGUUGUUAUGAAAAGUGUUUGUUUUGGCGAGUUUGAACGUUUUUGAGCAUGGGUAAUGGCAUGAAUGUGUUGAAUUAGUAAUCCCUUGUGUUAAGCUGUUGUUUUUGUGUUCUUUUGAUGAGUUUGGCUUGUUGUUAUGAAAAGUGUUUGUUGUGGCGAGUUUGAACGUUUUUGAGCAUGUGUAAUGACAUGAAUGCGUUAAGCUGUUGUUUUAGUGUUCUUUUGAUGAGUUUGGCUUGUUGUUAUGAAAAGUGUUUGUUUUGGCGAGUUUGAAGGUUUUUGAGCAUGUGUAAUGGCAUGAAUGCGUUAAGCUGUUGUUUUAGUGUUCUUUUGAUGAGUUUGGCUUGUUGUUAAGAACAUUGUUCGUUUUGCCAUGUUGAAGGUUUUUGAGCAUGUGUAAUGGAAUGAAUGUGUUGAAUUAGUAAUCCCUUGUGUUAAGCUGUUGUUUUAGUGUUCUUUUGAUGAGUUUGGCUUUUUGUUAUGAAAAGUGUUUGUUUUGGCGAGUUUGAACGUUUUUUGAGCAUGUGUAAUGUCAUGAAUGUGUUGAAUUAGUAAUCCCUUAUGUUAAGCUGUUGUUUUAGUGUUCUUUUGAUGAGUUUGGCUUGUUGUUAUGAAAAGUGUUUGUUUUGGCGAGUUUGAACGUUUUUGAGCAUGUGUAAUGGCAUGAAUGCGUAAAGCUGUUGUUUUAGUGUUCUUUUGAUGAGUUUGGCUUGUUGUUAUGAAAAGUGUUUGUUUUGGCGAGUUUGAACGUUUUUGAGCAUGUGUAAUGGCAUGAAUGCGUAAAGCUGUUGUUUUAGUGUUCUUUUGAUGAGUUUGGCUUGUUGUUAUGAAAAGUGUUUGUUUUGGCGAGUUUGAACGUUUUUGAGGAUGUGUAAUGGCAUGAAUGUGAUGAAUUAGUAAUCCCUUGUGUUAAGCUGUUGUUUUAGUGUUCUUUUGAUGAGUUUGGCUUGUUGUUAUGAAAAGUGUUUGUUUUGGCGAGUUUGAACUUUUUGAGCAUGUGUAAUGGCAUGAAUGCGUUAAGCUGUUGUUUUAGUGUUCUUUUGAUGAGUUAGGCUUGUUGUUAUGAAAAGUGUUUGUUUUGGCGAGUUUGAACGUUUUUGAGCAUGUGUAAUGGCAUGAAUGCGUAAAGCUGUUGUUUUAGUGUUCUUUUGAUGAGUUUGGCUUGUUGUUAUGAAAAGUGUUUGUUUUGGCGAGUUUGAACGUUUUUGAGCAUGUGUAAUGGCAUGAAUGCGUUAAGCUGUUGAUUUAGUGUUCUUUUGAUGAGUUUGGCUUGUUGUUAUGAAAAGUGUUUGUUUUGGCGAGUUUGAACGUUUUUGAGCAUGUGUAAUGGCAUGAAUGCGUUAAGCUGUUGUUUUAGUGUUCUUUUGAUGAGUUUAGCUUGUUGUUAUGAAAAGUCUUUGUUUUGGCGAGUUUGAACUUUUUGAGCAUAUGUAAUGGCAUGAAUGCGUUAAGCUGUUGUUUUAGUGUUCUUUUGAUGAGUUUGGCUUGUUGUUAUGAAAAGUGUUUGUUUUGGCGAGUUUGAACGUUUUUGAGCAUGUGUAAUGGCAUGAAUGUGUUGAAUUAGUAAUCCCUUGUGUUAAGCUGUUGUUUUAGUGUUCUUUUAAUGAGUUUGGCUUGUUGUUAUGAAAAGUGUUUGUUUUGGCGAGUUUGAAGGUUUUUGAGCAUGUGUAAUGGCAUGAAUGCGUUAAGCUGUUGUUUUAGUGUUCUUUUGAUGAGUUUGGCAUGUUGAUAUGAAAAGUGUUUGUUUUGGCGAGUUUGAACGUUUUUGAGCAUGUGUAAUGGCAUGAAUGUGUUGAAUUAGUAAUCCCUUGUGUAAAGCUGUUGUUUUAGUGUUCUUUUGAUGAGUUUGGCUUGUUGUUAUGAAAAGUGUUUGUUUUGGUGAGUUUGAACGUUUUUGAGCAUGUGUAAUGGCAUGAAUGCGUUAAGCUGUUGUUUUAGUGUUCUUUUGAUGAGUUUGGCUUGUUGUUAUGAAAAGUGUUUUUUUUUGGCGAGUUUGAAGGUUUUUGAGCAUGUGUAAUGGCAUGAAUGCGUUAAGCUGUUGUUUGAGUGUUCUUUUGAUGAGUUUGGCAUGUUGAUAUGAAAAGUGUUUGUUUUGGCGAGUUUGAAUGUUUUUGAGCAUGUGUAAUGGCAUGAAUGCGUUAAGCUGUUGUUUUAGUGUUCUUUUGAUGAGUUUGGCUUGUUGUUAUGAAAAGUGUUUGUUUUGGCGAGUUUGAAGGUUUUUGAGCAUGUGUAAUGGCAUGAAUGUGUGGAAUUAGUAAUCCCUUGUGUUAAGCUGUUGUUUUAGUGUUCUUUUGAUGAGUUUUGCUUGUUGUUAUGAAAAGUGUUUGUUUUGGCGAGUUUGAACGUUUUUGAGCAUGUGUAAUGGCAUGAAUACGUUAAGCUGUUGUUUAAGUGUUCUUUUGAUGAGUUUGGCUUGUUAUGAAAAGUGUUUGUUUUGGCGAGUUUGAACGUUUUUGAGCAUGUGUAAUGGCAUGAAUGCGUUAAGCUGUUGUUUUAGUGUCCUUUUGAUGAGUUUGGCUUGUUGUUAUGAACAUUGUUCGUUUUGGCGAGUUUGAAGGUUUUUGAGCAUGUGUAAUGGCAUGAAUGUGUUGAAUUAGUAAUCCCUUGUGUUAAGCUGUUGUUUUAGUGUUCUUUUGAUGAGUUUGGCUUGUUGUUAUGAAAAGUGUUUGUUUUGGCGAGUUUGAACGUUUUUGAGCAUGUGUAAUGGCAUGAAUGUGUUGAAUUAGUAAUCCCUUGUGUUAAGCUGUUGUUUUAGUGUUCUUUUGAUGAGUUUGGCUUGUUGUUAUGAAAAGUGUUUGUUUUGGCGAGUUUGAACGUUUUUGAGCAUGUGUAAUGGCAUGAAUGCGUAAAGCUGUUGUUUUAGUGUUCUUUUGAUGAGUUUAGCUUGUUGUUAUGAAAAGUCUUUGUUUUGGCGAGUUUGAACUUUUUGAGCAUAUGUAAUGGCAUGAAUGCGUUAAGCUGUUGUUUUAGUGUUCUUUUGAUGAGUUUGGCUUGUUGUUAUGAAAAGUGUUUGUUUUGGCGAGUUUGAACGUUUUUGAGCAUGUGUAAUGGCAUGAAUGUGUUGAAUUAGUAAUCCCUUGUGUUAAGCUGUUGUUUUAGUGUUCUUUUAAUGAGUUUGGCUUGUUGUUAUGAAAAGUGUUUGUUUUGGCGAGUUUGAAGGUUUUUGAGCAUGUGUAAUGGCAUGAAUGCGUUAAGCUGUUGUUUUAGUGUUCUUUUGAUGAGUUUGGCAUGUUGAUAUGAAAAGUGUUUGUUUUGGCGAGUUUGAACGUUUUUGAGCAUGUGUAAUGGCAUGAAUGUGUUGAAUUAGUAAUCCCUUGUGUUAAGCUGUUGUUUUAGUGUUCUUUUGAUGAGUUUGGCUUGUUGUUAUGAAAAGUGUUUGUUUUGGUGAGUUUGAACGUUUUUGAGCAUGUGUAAUGGCAUGAAUGCGUUAAGCUGUUGUUUUAGUGUUCUUUUGAUGAGUUUGGCUUGUUGUUAUGAAAAGUGUUUUUUUUUUGGCGAGUUUGAAGGUUUUUGAGCAUGUGUAAUGGCAUGAAUGCGUUAAGCUGUUGUUUGAGUGUUCUUUUGAUGAGUUUGGCAUGUUGAUAUGAAAAGUGUUUGUUUUGGCGAGUUUGAAUGUUUUUGAGCAUGUGUAAUGGCAUGAAUGCGUUAAGCUGUUGUUUUAGUGUUCUUUUGAUGAGUUUGGCUUGUUGUUAUGAAAAGUGUUUGUUUUGGCGAGUUUGAAGGUUUUUGAGCAUGUGUAAUGGCAUGAAUGUGUGGAAUUAGUAAUCCCUUGUGUUAAGCUGUUGUUUUAGUGUUCUUUUGAUGAGUUUGGCUUGUUGUUAUGAAAAGUGUUUGUUUUGGCGAGUUUGAACGUUUUUGAGCAUGUGUAAUGGCAUGAAUACGUUAAGCUGUUGUUUUAGUGUUCUUUUGAUGAGUUUGGCUUGUUAUGAAAAGUGUUUGUUUUGGCGAGUUUGAACGUUUUUGAGCAUGUGUAAUGGCAUGAAUGCGUUAAGCUGUUGUUUUAGUGUCCUUUUGAUGAGUUUGGCUUGUUGUUAUGAACAUUGUUCGUUUUGGCGAGUUUGAAGGUUUUUGAGCAUGUGUAAUGGCAUGAAUGUGUUGAAUUAGUAAUCCCUUGUGUUAAGCUGUUGUUUUAGUGUUCUUUUGAUGAGUUUGGCUUGUUGUUAUGAAAAGUGUUUGUUUUGGCCAGUUUGAACGUUUUUGAGCAUGUGUAAUGGCAUGAAUGUGUUGAAUUAGUAAUCCCUUGUGUUAAGCUGUUGUUUUAGUGUUCUUUUGAUGAGUUUGGCUUGUUGUUAUGAAAAGUGUUUGUUUUGGCGAGUUUGAACGUUUUUGAGCAUGUGUAAUGGCAUGAAUGCGUAAAGCUGUUGUUUUAGUGUUCUUUUGAUGAGUUUGGCUUGUUGUUAUGAAAAGUGUUUGUUUUGGCGAGUUUGAACGUUUUUGAGGAUGUGUAAUGGCAUGAAUGUGUUGAAUUAGUAAUCCCUUGUGUUAAGCUGUUGUUUUAGUGUUCUUUUGAUGAGUUUGGCUUGUUGUUAUGAAAAGUGUUUGUUUUGGCGAGUUUGAACGUUUUUGAGCAUGUGUAAUGGCAUGAAUGCGUAAAGCUGUUGUUUUAGUGUUCUUUUGAUGAGUUUGGCUUGUUGUUAUGAAAAGAGUUUGUUUUGGCGAGUUUGAACGUUUUUGAGCAUGUGUAAUGGCAUGAAUGCGUUAAGCUGUUGUUUUAGUGUUCUUUUGAUGAGUUUGGCUUGUUGUUAUGAAAAGAGUUUGUUUUGGCGACUUUGAAUGUUUUUGAGCAUGUGUAAUGACAUGAAUGCGUUAAGCUGUUGUUUUAGUGUUCUUUUGUUGAGUCUGGCUUGUUGUUAUGAAAAGUGUUUGUUUUGGCGAGUUUGAACGUUUUUGAGCAUGGGUAAUGGCAUGAAUGUGUUGAAUUAGUAAUCCCUUGUGUUAAGCUGUUGUUUUUGUGUUCUUUUGAUGAGUUUGGCUUGUUGUUAUGAAAAGUGUUUGUUGUGGCGAGUUUGAACGUUUUUGAGCAUGUGUAAUGGCAUGAAUGUGUUGAAUUAGUAAUCCCUUGUGUUAAGCUGUUGUUUUAGUGUUCUUUUGAUGAGUUUGGCUUGUUGUUAUGAAAAGUGUUUGUUUUGGCGAGUUUGAACGUUUUUGAGCAUGUGUAAUGGCAUGAAUGCGUAAAGCUGUUGUUUUAGUGUUCUUUUGAUGAGUUUGGCUUGUUGUUAUGAAAAGUGUUUGUUUUGGCGAGUUUGAACGUUUUUGAGGAUGUGUAAUGGCAUGAAUGUGUUGAAUUAGUAAUCCCUUGUGUUAAGCUGUUGUUUUAGUGUUCUUUUGAUGAGUUUGGCUUGUUGUUAUGAAAAGUGUUUGUUUUGGCGAGUUUGAACUUCUUUGAGCAUGUGUAAUGGCAUGAAUGCGUUAAGCUGUUGUUUUAGUGUUCUUUUGAUGAGUUAGGCUUGUUGUUAUGAAAAGUGUUUGUUUUGGCGAGUUUGAACGUUUUUGAGCAUGUGUAAUGGCAUGAAUGCGUAAAGCUGUUGUUUUAGUGUUCUUUUGAUGAGUUUGGCUUGUUGUUAUGAAAAGUGUUUGUUUUGGCGAGUUUGAACGUUUUUGAGCAUGUGUAAUGGCAUGAAUGCGUUAAGCUGUUGUUUUAGUGUUCUUUUGAUGAGUUUGGCUUGUUGUUAUGAAAAGAGUUUGUUUUGGCGACUUUGAAUGUUUUUGAGCAUGUGUAAUGACAUGAAUGCGUUAAGCUGUUGUUUUAGUGUUCUUUUGUUGAGUUUGGCUUGUUGUUAUGAAAAGUGUUUGUUUUGGCGAGUUUGAACGUUUUUGAGCAUGGGUAAUGGCAUGAAUGUGUUGAAUUAGUAAUCCCUUGUGUUAAGCUGUUGUUUUUGUGUUCUUUUGAUGAGUUUGGCUUGUUGUUAUGAAAAGUGUUUGUUGUGGCGAGUUUGAACGUUUUUGAGCAUGUGUAAUGACAUGAAUGCGUUAAGCUGUUGUUUUAGUGUUCUUUUGAUGAGUUUGGCUUGUUGUUAUGAAAAGUGUUUGUUUUGGCGAGUUUGAAGGUUUUUGAGCAUGUGUAAUGGCAUGAAUGCGUUAAGCUGUUGUUUUAGUGUUCUUUUGAUGAGUUUGGCUUGUUGUUAAGAACAUUGUUCGUUUUGCCAUGUUGAAGGUUUUUGAGCAUGUGUAAUGGAAUGAAUGUGUUGAAUUAGUAAUCCCUUGUGUUAAGCUGUUGUUUUAGUGUUCUUUUGAUGAGUUUGGCUUUUUGUUAUGAAAAGUGUUUGUUUUGGCGAGUUUGAACGUUUUUUGAGCAUGUGUAAUGUCAUGAAUGUGUUGAAUUAGUAAUCCCUUAUGUUAAGCUGUUGUUUUAGUGUUCUUUUGAUGAGUUUGGCUUGUUGUUAUGAAAAGUGUUUGUUUUGGCGAGUUUGAACGUUUUUGAGCAUGUGUAAUGGCAUGAAUGCGUAAAGCUGUUGUUUUAGUGUUCUUUUGAUGAGUUUGGCUUGUUGUUAUGAAAAGUGUUUGUUUUGGCGAGUUUGAACGUUUUUGAGCAUGUGUAAUGGCAUGAAUGCGUAAAGCUGUUGUUUUAGUGUUCUUUUGAUGAGUUUGGCUUGUUGUUAUGAAAAGUGUUUGUUUUGGCGAGUUUGAACGUUUUUGAGGAUGUGUAAUGGCAUGAAUGUGAUGAAUUAGUAAUCCCUUGUGUUAAGCUGUUGUUUUAGUGUUCUUUUGAUGAGUUUGGCUUGUUGUUAUGAAAAGUGUUUGUUUUGGCGAGUUUGAACUUCUUUGAGCAUGUGUAAUGGCAUGAAUGCGUUAAGCUGUUGUUUUAGUGUUCUUUUGAUGAGUUAGGCUUGUUGUUAUGAAAAGUGUUUGUUUUGGCGAGUUUGAACGUUUUUGAGCAUGUGUAAUGGCAUGAAUGCGUAAAGCUGUUGUUUUAGUGUUCUUUUGAUGAGUUUGGCUUGUUGUUAUGAAAAGUGUUUGUUUUGGCGAGUUUGAACGUUUUUGAGCAUGUGUAAUGGCAUGAAUGCGUUAAGCUGUUGUUUUAGUGUUCUUUUGAUGAGUUUGGCUUGUUGUUAUGAAAAGUGUUUGUUUUGGCGAGUUUGAACGUUUUUGAGCAUGUGUAAUGGCAUGAAUGCGUUAAGCUGUUGUUUUAGUGUUCUUUUGAUGAGUUUAGCUUGUUGUUAUGAAAAGUCUUUGUUUUGGCGAGUUUGAACUUUUUGAGCAUAUGUAAUGGCAUGAAUGCGUUAAGCUGUUGUUUUAGUGUUCUUUUGAUGAGUUUGGCUUGUUGUUAUGAAAAGUGUUUGUUUUGGCGAGUUUGAACGUUUUUGAGCAUGUGUAAUGGCAUGAAUGUGUUGAAUUAGUAAUCCCUUGUGUUAAGCUGUUGUUUUAGUGUUCUUUUAAUGAGUUUGGCUUGUUGUUAUGAAAAGUGUUUGUUUUGGCGAGUUUGAAGGUUUUUGAGCAUGUGUAAUGGCAUGAAUGCGUUAAGCUGUUGUUUUAGUGUUCUUUUGAUGAGUUUGGCAUGUUGAUAUGAAAAGUGUUUGUUUUGGCGAGUUUGAACGUUUUUGAGCAUGUGUAAUGGCAUGAAUGUGUUGAAUUAGUAAUCCCUUGUGUAAAGCUGUUGUUUUAGUGUUCUUUUGAUGAGUUUGGCUUGUUGUUAUGAAAAGUGUUUGUUUUGGUGAGUUUGAACGUUUUUGAGCAUGUGUAAUGGCAUGAAUGCGUUAAGCUGUUGUUUUAGUGUUCUUUUGAUGAGUUUGGCUUGUUGUUAUGAAAAGUGUUUUUUUUUGGCGAGUUUGAAGGUUUUUGAGCAUGUGUAAUGGCAUGAAUGCGUUAAGCUGUUGUUUGAGUGUUCUUUUGAUGAGUUUGGCAUGUUGAUAUGAAAAGUGUUUGUUUUGGCGAGUUUGAAUGUUUUUGAGCAUGUGUAAUGGCAUGAAUGCGUUAAGCUGUUGUUUUAGUGUUCUUUUGAUGAGUUUGGCUUGUUGUUAUGAAAAGUGUUUGUUUUGGCGAGUUUGAAGGUUUUUGAGCAUGUGUAAUGGCAUGAAUGUGUGGAAUUAGUAAUCCCUUGUGUUAAGCUGUUGUUUUAGUGUUCUUUUGAUGAGUUUUGCUUGUUGUUAUGAAAAGUGUUUGUUUUGGCGAGUUUGAACGUUUUUGAGCAUGUGUAAUGGCAUGAAUACGUUAAGCUGUUGUUUAAGUGUUCUUUUGAUGAGUUUGGCUUGUUAUGAAAAGUGUUUGUUUUGGCGAGUUUGAACGUUUUUGAGCAUGUGUAAUGGCAUGAAUGCGUUAAGCUGUUGUUUUAGUGUCCUUUUGAUGAGUUUGGCUUGUUGUUAUGAACAUUGUUCGUUUUGGCGAGUUUGAAGGUUUUUGAGCAUGUGUAAUGGCAUGAAUGUGUUGAAUUAGUAAUCCCUUGUGUUAAGCUGUUGUUUUAGUGUUCUUUUGAUGAGUUUGGCUUGUUGUUAUGAAAAGUGUUUGUUUUGGCGAGUUUGAACGUUUUUGAGCAUGUGUAAUGGCAUGAAUGUGUUGAAUUAGUAAUCCCUUGUGUUAAGCUGUUGUUUUAGUGUUCUUUUGAUGAGUUUGGCUUGUUGUUAUGAAAAGUGUUUGUUUUGGCGAGUUUGAACGUUUUUGAGCAUGUGUAAUGGCAUGAAUGCGUAAAGCUGUUGUUUUAGUGUUCUUUUGAUGAGUUUGGCUUGUUGUUAUGAAAAGUGUUUGUUUUGGCGAGUUUGAACGUUUUUGAGGAUGUGUAAUGGCAUGAAUGUGUUGAAUUAGUAAUCCCUUGUGUUAAGCUGUUGUUUUAGUGUUCUUUUGAUGAGUUUGGCUUGUUGUUAUGAAAAGUGUUUGUUUUGGCGAGUUUGAACUUCUUUGAGCAUGUGUAAUGGCAUGAAUGCGUUAAGCUGUUGUUUUAGUGUUCUUUUGAUGAGUUAGGCUUGUUGUUAUGAAAAGUGUUUGUUUUGGCGAGUUUGAACGUUUUUGAGCAUGUGUAAUGGCAUGAAUGCGUAAAGCUGUUGUUUUAGUGUUCUUUUGAUGAGUUUGGCUUGUUGUUAUGAAAAGUGUUUGUUUUGGCGAGUUUGAACGUUUUUGAGCAUGUGUAAUGGCAUGAAUGCGUUAAGCUGUUGUUUUAGUGUUCUUUUGAUGAGUUUGGCUUGUUGUUAUGAAAAGAGUUUGUUUUGGCGACUUUGAAUGUUUUUGAGCAUGUGUAAUGACAUGAAUGCGUUAAGCUGUUGUUUUAGUGUUCUUUUGUUGAGUCUGGCUUGUUGUUAUGAAAAGUGUUUGUUUUGGCGAGUUUGAACGUUUUUGAGCAUGGGUAAUGGCAUGAAUGUGUUGAAUUAGUAAUCCCUUGUGUUAAGCUGUUGUUUUUGUGUUCUUUUGAUGAGUUUGGCUUGUUGUUAUGAAAAGUGUUUGUUGUGGCGAGUUUGAACGUUUUUGAGCAUGUGUAAUGGCAUGAAUGUGUUGAAUUAGUAAUCCCUUGUGUUAAGCUGUUGUUUUAGUGUUCUUUUGAUGAGUUUGGCUUGUUGUUAUGAAAAGUGUUUGUUUUGGCGAGUUUGAACGUUUUUGAGCAUGUGUAAUGGCAUGAAUGCGUAAAGCUGUUGUUUUAGUGUUCUUUUGAUGAGUUUGGCUUGUUGUUAUGAAAAGUGUUUGUUUUGGCGAGUUUGAACGUUUUUGAGGAUGUGUAAUGGCAUGAAUGUGUUGAAUUAGUAAUCCCUUGUGUUAAGCUGUUGUUUUAGUGUUCUUUUGAUGAGUUUGGCUUGUUGUUAUGAAAAGUGUUUGUUUUGGCGAGUUUGAACUUCUUUGAGCAUGUGUAAUGGCAUGAAUGCGUUAAGCUGUUGUUUUAGUGUUCUUUUGAUGAGUUAGGCUUGUUGUUAUGAAAAGUGUUUGUUUUGGCGAGUUUGAACGUUUUUGAGCAUGUGUAAUGGCAUGAAUGCGUAAAGCUGUUGUUUUAGUGUUCUUUUGAUGAGUUUGGCUUGUUGUUAUGAAAAGUGUUUGUUUUGGCGAGUUUGAACGUUUUUGAGCAUGUGUAAUGGCAUGAAUGCGUUAAGCUGUUGUUUUAGUGUUCUUUUGAUGAGUUUGGCUUGUUGUUAUGAAAAGAGUUUGUUUUGGCGACUUUGAAUGUUUUUGAGCAUGUGUAAUGACAUGAAUGCGUUAAGCUGUUGUUUUAGUGUUCUUUUGUUGAGUUUGGCUUGUUGUUAUGAAAAGUGUUUGUUUUGGCGAGUUUGAACGUUUUUGAGCAUGGGUAAUGGCAUGAAUGUGUUGAAUUAGUAAUCCCUUGUGUUAAGCUGUUGUUUUUGUGUUCUUUUGAUGAGUUUGGCUUGUUGUUAUGAAAAGUGUUUGUUGUGGCGAGUUUGAACGUUUUUGAGCAUGUGUAAUGACAUGAAUGCGUUAAGCUGUUGUUUUAGUGUUCUUUUGAUGAGUUUGGCUUGUUGUUAUGAAAAGUGUUUGUUUUGGCGAGUUUGAAGGUUUUUGAGCAUGUGUAAUGGCAUGAAUGCGUUAAGCUGUUGUUUUAGUGUUCUUUUGAUGAGUUUGGCUUGUUGUUAAGAACAUUGUUCGUUUUGCCAUGUUGAAGGUUUUUGAGCAUGUGUAAUGGAAUGAAUGUGUUGAAUUAGUAAUCCCUUAUGUUAAGCUGUUGUUUUAGUGUUCUUUUGAUGAGUUUGGCUUUUUGUUAUGAAAAGUGUUUGUUUUGGCGAGUUUGAACGUUUUUUGAGCAUGUGUAAUGUCAUGAAUGUGUUGAAUUAGUAAUCCCUUAUGUUAAGCUGUUGUUUUAGUGUUCUUAUGAUGAGUUUGGCUUGUUGUUAUGAAAAGUGUUUGUUUUGGCGAGUUUGAACGUUUUUGAGCAUGUGUAAUGGCAUGAAUGCGUAAAGCUGUUGUUUUAGUGUUCUUUUGAUGAGUUUGGCUUGUUGUUAUGAAAAGUGUUUGUUUUGGCGAGUUUGAACGUUUUUGAGGAUGUGUAAUGGCAUGAAUGUGUUGAAUUAGUAAUCCCUUGUGUUAAGCUGUUGUUUUAGUGUUCUUUUGAUGAGUUUGGCUUGUUGUUAUGAAAAGUGUUUGUUUUGGCGAGUUUGAACUUCUUUGAGCAUGUGUAAUGGCAUGAAUGCGUUAAGCUGUUGUUUUAGUGUUCUUUUGAUGAGUUAGGCUUGUUGUUAUGAAAAGUGUUUGUUUUGGCGAGUUUGAACGUUUUUGAGCAUGUGUAAUGGCAUGAAUGCGUAAAGCUGUUGUUUUAGUGUUCUUUUGAUGAGUUUGGCUUGUUGUUAUGAAAAGUGUUUGUUUUGGCGAGUUUGAACGUUUUUGAGCAUGUGUAAUGGCAUGAAUGCGUUAAGCUGUUGUUUUAGUGUUCUUUUGAUGAGUUUGGCUUGUUGUUAUGAAAAGAGUUUGUUUUGGCGACUUUGAAUGUUUUUGAGCAUGUGUAAUGACAUGAAUGCGUUAAGCUGUUGUUUUAGUGUUCUUUUGUUGAGUUUGGCUUGUUGUUAUGAAAAGUGUUUGUUUUGGCGAGUUUGAACGUUUUUGAGCAUGGGUAAUGGCAUGAAUGUGUUGAAUUAGUAAUCCCUUGUGUUAAGCUGUUGUUUUUGUGUUCUUUUGAUGAGUUUGGCUUGUUGUUAUGAAAAGUGUUUGUUGUGGCGAGUUUGAACGUUUUUGAGCAUGUGUAAUGACAUGAAUGCGUUAAGCUGUUGUUUUAGUGUUCUUUUGAUGAGUUUGGCUUGUUGUUAUGAAAAGUGUUUGUUUUGGCGAGUUUGAAGGUUUUUGAGCAUGUGUAAUGGCAUGAAUGCGUUAAGCUGUUGUUUUAGUGUUCUUUUGAUGAGUUUGGCUUGUUGUUAAUAACAUUGUUCGUUUUGCCAUGUUGAAGGUUUUUGAGCAUGUGUAAUGGAAUGAAUGUGUUGAAUUAGUAAUCCCUUGUGUUAAGCUGUUGUUUUAGUGUUCUUUUGAUGAGUUUGGCUUUUUGUUAUGAAAAGUGUUUGUUUUGGCGAGUUUGAACGUUUUUUGAGCAUGUGUAAUGUCAUGAAUGUGUUGAAUUAGUAAUCCCUUGUGUUAAGCUGUUGUUUUAGUGUUCUUUUGAUGAGUUUGGCUUGUUGUUAUGAAAAGUGUUUGUUUUGGCGAGUUUGAACGUUUUUGAGCAUGUGUAAUGGCAUGAAUGCGUAAAGCUGUUGUUUUAGUGUUCUUUUGAUGAGUUUGGCUUGUUGUUUUGAAAAGUGUUUGUUUUGGCGAGUUUGAACGUUUUUGAGGAUGUGUAAUGGCAUGAAUGUGUUGAAUUGGUAAUCCCUUGUGUUAAGCUGUUGUUUUAGUGUUCUUUUGAUGAGUUUGGCUUGUUGUUAUGAAAAGUGUUUGUUUUGGCGAGUUUGAACUUCUUUGAGCAUGUGUAAUGGCAUGAAUGCGUUAAGCUGUUGUUUUAGUGUUCUUUUGAUGAGUUAGGCUUGUUGUUAUGAAAAGUGUUUGUUUUGGCGAGUUUGAACGUUUUUGAGCAUGUGUAAUGGCAUGAAUGCGUAAAGCUGUUGUUUUAGUGUUCUUUUGAUGAGUUUGGCUUGUUGUUAUGAAAAGUGUUUGUUUUGGCGAGUUUGAACGUUUUUGAGCAUGUGUAAUGGCAUGAAUGCGUUAAGCUGUUGUUUUAGUGUUCUUUUGAUGAGUUUGGCUUGUUGUUAUGAAAAGAGUUUGUUUUGGCGACUUUGAAUGUUUUUGAGCAUGUGUAAUGACAUGAAUGCGUUAAGCUGUUGUUUUAGUGUUCUUUUGUUGAGUUUGGCUUGUUGUUAUGAAAAGUGUUUGUUUUGGCGAGUUUGAACGUUUUUGAGCAUGGGUAAUGGCAUGAAUGUGUUGAAUUAGUAAUCCCUUGUGUUAAGCUGUUGUUUUUGUGUUCUUUUGAUGAGUUUGGCUUGUUGUUAUGAAAAGUGUUUGUUGUGGCGAGUUUGAACGUUUUUGAGCAUGUGUAAUGGCAUGAAUGUGUUGAAUUAGUAAUCCCUUGUGUUAAGCUGUUGUUUUAGUGUUCUUUUGAUGAGUUUGGCUUGUUGUUAUGAAAAGUGUUUGUUUUGGCGAGUUUGAACGUUUUUGAGCAUGUGUAAUGGCAUGAAUGCGUAAAGCUGUUGUUUUAGUGUUCUUUUGAUGAGUUUGGCUUGUUGUUAUGAAAAGUGUUUGUUUUGGCGAGUUUGAACGUUUUUGAGGAUGUGUAAUGGCAUGAAUGUGUUGAAUUAGUAAUCCCUUGUGUUAAGCUGUUGUUUUAGUGUUCUUUUGAUGAGUUUGGCUUGUUGUUAUGAAAAGUGUUUGUUUUGGCGAGUUUGAACUUCUUUGAGCAUGUGUAAUGGCAUGAAUGCGUUAAGCUGUUGUUUUAGUGUUCUUUUGAUGAGUUAGGCUUGUUGUUAUGAAAAGUGUUUGUUUUGGCGAGUUUGAACGUUUUUGAGGAUGUGUAAUGGCAUGAAUGUGUUGAAUUAGUAAUCCCUUGUGUUAAGCUGUUGUUUUAGUGUUCUUUUGAUGAGUUUGGCUUGUUGUUAUGAAAAGUGUUUGUUUUGGCGAGUUUGAACUUCUUUGAGCAUGUGUAAUGGCAUGAAUGCGUUAAGCUGUUGUUUUAGUGUUCUUUUGAUGAGUUAGGCUUGUUGUUAUGAAAAGUGUUUGUUUUGGCGAGUUUGAACGUUUUUGAGCAUGUGUAAUGGCAUGAAUGCGUAAAGCUGUUGUUUUAGUGUUCUUUUGAUGAGUUUGGCUUGUUGUUAUGAAAAGUGUUUGUUUUGGCGAGUUUGAACGUUUUUGAGCAUGUGUAAUGGCAUGAAUGCGUUAAGCUGUUGUUUUAGUGUUCUUUUGAUGAGUUUGGCUUGUUGUUAUGAAAAGAGUUUGUUUUGGCGACUUUGAAUGUUUUUGAGCAUGUGUAAUGACAUGAAUGCGUUAAGCUGUUGUUUUAGUGUUCUUUUGUUGAGUUUGGCUUGUUGUUAUGAAAAGUGUUUGUUUUGGCGAGUUUGAACGUUUUUGAGCAUGGGUAAUGGCAUGAAUGUGUUGAAUUAGUAAUCCCUUGUGUUAAGCUGUUGUUUUUGUGUUCUUUUGAUGAGUUUGGCUUGUUGUUAUGAAAAGUGUUUGUUGUGGCGAGUUUGAACGUUUUUGAGCAUGUGUAAUGACAUGAAUGCGUUAAGCUGUUGUUUUAGUGUUCUUUUGAUGAGUUUGGCUUGUUGUUAUGAAAAGUGUUUGUUUUGGCGAGUUUGAAGGUUUUUGAGCAUGUGUAAUGGCAUGAAUGCGUUAAGCUGUUGUUUUAGUGUUCUUUUGAUGAGUUUGGCUUGUUGUUAAGAACAUUGUUCGUUUUGCCAUAUUGAAGGUUUUUGAGCAUGUGUAAUGGAAUGAAUGUGUUGAAUUAGUAAUCCCUUGUGUUAAGCUGUUGUUUUAGUGUUCUUUUGAUGAGUUUGGCUUUUUGUUAUGAAAAGUGUUUGUUUUGGCGAGUUUGAACGUUUUUUGAGCAUGUGUAAUGUCAUGAAUGUGUUGAAUUAGUAAUCCCUUAUGUUAAGCUGUUGUUUUAGUGUUCUUAUGAUGAGUUUGGCUUGUUGUUAUGAAAAGUGUUUGUUUUGGCGAGUUUGAACGUUUUUGAGCAUGUGUAAUGGCAUGAAUGCGUAAAGCUGUUGUUUUAGUGUUCUUUUGAUGAGUUUGGCUUGUUGUUAUGAAAAGUGUUUGUUUUGGCGAGUUUGAACGUUUUUGAGGAUGUGUAAUGGCAUGAAUGUGUUGAAUUAGUAAUCCCUUGUGUUAAGCUGUUGUUUUAGUGUUCUUUUGAUGAGUUUGGCUUGUUGUUAUGAAAAGUGUUUGUUUUGGCGAGUUUGAACUUCUUUGAGCAUGUGUAAUGGCAUGAAUGCGUUAAGCUGUUGUUUUAGUGUUCUUUUGAUGAGUUAGGCUUGUUGUUAUGAAAAGUGUUUGUUUUGGCGAGUUUGAACGUUUUUGAGCAUGUGUAAUGGCAUGAAUGCGUAAAGCUGUUGUUUUAGUGUUCUUUUGAUGAGUUUGGCUUGUUGUUAUGAAAAGUGUUUGUUUUGGCGAGUUUGAACGUUUUUGAGCAUGUGUAAUGGCAUGAAUGCGUUAAGCUGUUGUUUUAGUGUUCUUUUGAUGAGUUUGGCUUGUUGUUAUGAAAAGAGUUUGUUUUGGCGACUUUGAAUGUUUUUGAGCAUGUGUAAUGACAUGAAUGCGUUAAGCUGUUGUUUUAGUGUUCUUUUGUUGAGUUUGGCUUGUUGUUAUGAAAAGUGUUUGUUUUGGCGAGUUUGAACGUUUUUGAGCAUGGGUAAUGGCAUGAAUGUGUUGAAUUAGUAAUCCCUUGUGUUAAGCUGUUGUUUUUGUGUUCUUUUGAUGAGUUUGGCUUGUUGUUAUGAAAAGUGUUUGUUGUGGCGAGUUUGAACGUUUUUGAGCAUGUGUAAUGACAUGAAUGCGUUAAGCUGUUGUUUUAGUGUUCUUUUGAUGAGUUUGGCUUGUUGUUAUGAAAAGUGUUUGUUUUGGCGAGUUUGAAGGUUUUUGAGCAUGUGUAAUGGCAUGAAUGCGUUAAGCUGUUGUUUUAGUGUUCUUUUGAUGAGUUUGGCUUGUUGUUAAGAACAUUGUUCGUUUUGCCAUGUUGAAGGUUUUUGAGCAUGUGUAAUGGAAUGAAUGUGUUGAAUUAGUAAUCCCUUGUGUUAAGCUGUUGUUUUAGUGUUCUUUUGAUGAGUUUGGCUUUUUGUUAUGAAAAGUGUUUGUUUUGGCGAGUUUGAACGUUUUUUGAGCAUGUGUAAUGUCAUGAAUGUGUUGAAUUAGUAAUCCCUUAUGUUAAGCUGUUGUUUUAGUGUUCUUUUGAUGAGUUUGGCUUGUUGUUAUGAAAAGUGUUUGUUUUGGCGAGUUUGAAUGUUUUUGAGCAUGUGUAAUGGCAUGAAUGCGUUAAGCUGUUGUUUUAGUGUUCUUUUGAUGAGUUUGGCUUGUUGUUGUGAAAAGUGUUUGUUUUGGCGAGUUUGAACGUUUUUGAGCAUGUGUAAUGGCAUGAAUGCGUUAAGCUGUUGUUUUAGUGUUCUUUUGAUGAGUUUGGCUUGUUGUUAUGAAAAGUGUUUGUUUUGGCGAGUUUGAACGUUUUUGAGCAUGUGUAAUGGCAUGAAUGUGUUGAAUUAGUAAUCCCUUGUGUUAAGCUGUUGUUUUAGUGUUCUUUUGAUGAGUUUGGCUUGUUGUUAUGAAAAGUGUUUGUUUUGGCGAGUUUGAACGUUUUUGAGCAUGUGUAAUGGCAUGAAUGCGUUAAGCUGUUGUUUUAGUGUUCUUUUGAUGAGUUUGGCUUGUUGUUAUGAAAAGUGUUUGUUUUGGCGAGUUUGAACGUUUUUGAGCAUGUGUAAUGGCAUGAAUGCGUAAAGCUGUUGUUUUAGUGUUCUUUUGAUGAGUUUGGCUUGUUGUUAUGAAAAGUGUUUGUUUUGGCGAGUUUGAACGUUUUUGAGCAUGUGUAAUGGCAUGAAUGCGUAAAGCUGUUGUUUUAGUGUUCUUUUGAUGAGUCUAGCUUGUUGUUAUGAAAAGUCUUUGUUUUGGCGAGUUUGAACUUUUUGAGCAUAUGUAAUGGCAUGAAUGCGUUAAGCUGUUGUUUUAGUGUUCUUUUGAUGAGUUUGGCUUGUUGUUAUGAAAAGUGUUUGUUUUGGCGAGUUUGAACGUUUUUGAGCAUGUGUAAUGGCAUGAAUGCGUAAAGCUGUUGUUUUAGUGUUCUUUUGAUGAGUUUGGCUUGUUGUUAUGAAAAGUGUUUGUUUUGGCGAGUUUGAACGUUUUUGAGCAUGUGUAAUGGCAUGAAUGCGUAAAGCUGUUGUUUUAGUGUUCUUUUGAUGAGUCUAGCUUGUUGUUAUGAAAAGUCUUUGUUUUGCCGAGUUUGAACUUUUUGAGCAUAUGUAAUGGCAUGAAUGCGUUAAGCUGUUGUUUUAGUGUUCUUUUGAUGAGUUUGGCUUGUUGUUAUGAAAAGUGUUUGUUUUGGUGAGUUUGAACGUUUUUGAGCAUGUGUAAUGGCAUGAAUGCGUUAAGCUGUUGUUUUAGUGUUCUUUUGAUGAGUUUGGCUUGUUGUUAUGAAAAGUGUUUGUUUUGGCGAGUUUGAACGUUUUUGAGCAUGUGUAAUGGCAUGAAUGCGUUAAGCUGUUGUUUUAGUGUUCUUUUGAUGAGUUUGGCUUGUUGUUAUGAAAAGUGUUUGUUUUGGCAAGUUUGACGGUUUUUGAGCAUGUGUAAUGGCAUGAAUGCGUUAAGCUGUUGUUUUAGUGUUCUUUUGAUGAGUUUGGCAUGUUGAUAUGAAAAGUGUUUGUUUUGGCGAGUUUGAACGUUUUUGAGCAUGUGUAAUGGCAUGAAUGCGUUAAGCUGUUGUUUUAGUGUUCUUUUGAUGAGUUUGGCUUGUUGUUAUGAAAAGUGUUUGUUUUGGCGAGUUUGAACGUUUUUGAGCAUGUGUAAUGGCAUGAAUGUGUUGAAUUAGUAAUCCCUUGUGUUAAGCUGUUGUUUUAGUGUUCUUUUGAUGAGUUUGGCUUGUUGUUAUGAAAAGUGUUUGUUUUGGUGAGUUUGAACGUUUUUGAGCAUGUGUAAUGGCAUGAAUGCGUUAAGCUGUUGUUUUAGUGUUCUUUUGAUGAGUUUGGCUUGUUGUUAUGAAAAGUGUUUGUUUUGGCGAGUUUGAACGUUUUUGAGGAUGUGUAAUGGCAUGAAUGUGUUGAAUUAGUAAUCCCUUGUGUUAAGCUGUUGUUUUAGUGUUCUUUUGAUGAGUUUGGCUUGUUGUUAUGAAAAGUGUUUGUUUUGGCGAGUUUGAACGUUUUUGAGCAUGUGUAAUGGCAUGAAAGCGUUAAGCUGUUGUUUUAGUGUUCUUUUGAUGAGUUUGGCUUGUUAUGAAAAGUGUUUGUUUUGGCGAGUUUGAACGUUUUUGAGCAUGUGUAAUGGCAUGAAUGCGUUAAGCUGUUGUUUUAGUGUUCUUUUGAUGAGUUUGGCUUGUUGUUAUGAAAAGUGUUUGUUUUGGCGAGUUUGAACGUUUUUGAGGAUGUGUAAUGGCAUGAAUGUGUUGAAUUAGUAAUCCCUUGUGUUAAGCUUUUGUUUUAGUGUUCUUUUGAUGAGUUUGGCUUGUUGUUAUGAAAAGUGUUUGUUUUGGCGAGUUUGAAGGUUUUUGAGCAUGUGUCAUGGCAUGAAUGCGUUAAGCUGUUGUUUUAGUGUUCUUUUGAUGAGUUUGGCUUGUUGUUAUGAAAAGUGUUUGUUUUGGCGAGUUUGAACGUUUUUGAGCAUGUGUAAUGGCAUGAAUGCGUUAAGCUGUUGUUUUAGUGUCCUUUUGAUGAGUUUGGCUUGUUGUUAUGAACAUUGUUCGUUUUGGCGAGUUUGAAGGUUUUUGAGCAUGUGUAAUGGCAUGAAUGUGUUGAAUUAGUAAUCCCUUGUGUUAAGCUGUUGUUUUAGUGUUCUUUUGAUGAGUUUGGCUUGUUGUUAUGAAAAGUUUUUGUUUUGGCGAGUUUGAACGUUUUUGAGCAUGUGUAAUGGCAUGAAUGCGUUAAGCUGUUGUUUUAGUGUUCUUUUGAUGAGUUUGGCUUGUUGUUAUGAACAUUGUUCGUUUUGGCGAGUUUGAACGUUUUUGAGCAUUUGUAAUGGCAUGAAUGUGUUGAAUUAGUAAUCCCUUGUGUAAAGCUGUUGUUUUAGUGUUCUUUUGAUGAGUUUGGCUUGUUGUUAUGAAAAGUGUUUUUUUUUGGCGAGUUUGAAGGUUUUUGAGCAUGUGUAAUGGCAUGAAUGCGUUAAGCUGUUGUUUUAGUGUUCUUUUGAUGAGUUUGGCAUGUUGAUAUGAAAAGUGUUUGUUUUGGCGAGUUUGAACGUUUUUGAGCAUGUGUAAUGGCAUGAAUGCGUUAAGCUGUUGUUUUAGUGUUCUUUUGAUGAGUUUGGCUUGUUGUUAUGAAAAGUGUUUGUUUUGGCGAGUUUGAACGUUUUUUAGCAUGUGUAAUGGCAUGAAUGUGUUGAAUUAGUAAUCCCUUGUGUUAAGCUGUUGUUUUAGUGUUCUUUUGAUGAGUUUGGCUUGUUGUUAUGAAAAGUGUUUGUUUUGGCGAGUUUGAACGUUUUUGAGCAUGUGUAAUGGCAUGAAUGCGUUAAGCUGUUGUUUUAGUGUUCUUUUGAUGAGUUUGGCUUGUUAUGAAAAGUGUUUGUUUUGGCGAGUUUGAAGGUUUUUGAGCAUGUGUAAUGGCAUGAAUGCGUUAAGCUGUUGUUUUAGUGUUCUUUUGAUGAGUUUGGCUUGUUGUUAUGAAAAGUGUUUGUUUUGGCGAGUUUGAACGUUUUUGAGCAUGUGUAAUGGCAUGAAUGCGUUAAGCUGUUGUUUUAGUGUUCUUUUGAUGAGUUUGGCUUGUUGUUAUGAAAAGUGUUUGUUUUGGCGAGUUUGAACGUUUUUGAGGAUGUGUAAUGGCAUGAAUGUGUUGAAUUAGUAAUCCCUUGUGUUAAGCUGUUGUUUUAGUGUUCUUUUGAUGAGUUUGGCUUGUUGUUAUGAAAAGUGUUUGUUUUGGCGAGUUUGAACUUCUUUGAGCAUGUGUAAUGGCAUGAAUGCGUUAAGCUGUUGUUUUAGUGUUCUUUUGAUGAGUUAGGCUUGUUGUUAUGAAAAGUGUUUGUUUUGGCAAGUUUGAACAUUAUUGAGCAUGUGUAAUGGCAUGAAUGCGUUAAGCUGUUGUUUUAGUGUUCUUUUGAUGAGUUUGGCUUGUUGUUAUGAAAAGUGUUUGUUUUGGCGAGUUUGAAUGUUUUUGAGCAUGUGUAAUGACAUGAAUGCGUUAAGCUGUUGUUUUAGUGUUCUUUUGAUGAGUUUGGCUUUUUGUUAUGAAAAGUGUUUGUUUUGGCGAGUUUGAACGUUUUUGAGCAUGUGUAAUGGCAUGAAUGUGUUGAAUUAGUAAUCCCUUGUGUAAAAGCUGUUGUUUUAGUGUUCUUUUGAUGUGUUUGGCUUGUUGUUAUGAAAAGUGUUUGUUUUGGCGAGUUUGAAGGUUUUGAGCAUGUGUAAUGGCAUGAAUGCGUUAAGCUGUUGUUUUAGUGUUCUUUUGAUGAGUUUGGCUUGUUGUUAUGAACAUUGUUCGUUUUGGCGAGUUUGAGCAUGUGUAAUGCAUGAAUGUGUUGAAUUAGUAAUCCCUUGUGUUAAGCUGUUGUUUUAGUGUUCUUUUGAUGAGUUUGGCUUGUUGUUAUGAAAAGCGUUUGUUUUGGCGAGUUUGAACGUUUUUGAGCAUGUGUAAUGGCAUGAAUGUGUUGAAUUAGUAAUCCCUUGUGUUAAAGCUGUUGUUUUAGUGUUCUUUUGAUGAGUUUGGCUUGUUGUUAUGGAAGUGUUUGUUUUGGUGAGUUUGAACGUUUUUGAGCAUGUGUAAUGGCAUGAAUGCGUUAAGCUGUUGUUUUAGUGUUCUUUUGAUGAGUUUGGCUUGUUGUUAUGAACAUUGUUCAUUUUGGCGAGUUUGAACGUUUUUGAGCAUGUGUAAUGGCAUGAGUGCGUUAAGCUGUUGUGUUAGUGUUCUUUUGAUGAGUUUGGCUUGUUGUUAUGAAAAGUGUUUCUUUUGGCGAGUUUUAACGUUUUUGAGCAUGUGUAAUGGCAUGAAUGUGUUGAAUUAGUAAUCCCUUGUGUUCAGCUGUUGUUUUAGUGUUCUUUUGAUGAGUUUGGCUUGUUGUUAUGAAAAGUGUUUGUUUUGGCGAGUUUGAAGGUUUUUGAGCAUGUGUAAUGGCAUGAAUGCGUUAAGCUGUUGUUUUAGUGUUCUUUUGGUGAGUUUGGCUUGUUGUUAUGAACAGUGUUUGUUUUGGCGAGUUUGAAGGUUUUUGAGCAUGUGUAAUGGCAUGAAUGCAUUAAUCUGUUGUUUUAGUGUUCAUUUGAUGAGUUUGGCUUGUUGUUAUGAAAAGUGUUUCUUUUGGCGAGUUUGAACGUUUUUGAGCAUGUGUAAUGGCAUGAAUGUGUUGAAUUAGUAAUCCCUUGUGUUCAGCUGUUGUUUUAGUGUUCUUUUGAUGAGUUUGGUUUGUUGUUAUGAAAAGUGUUUGUUUUGGCGAGUUUGAAGGUUUUUGAGCAUGUGUAAUGGCAUGAAUGCGUUAAGCUGUUGUUUUAGUGUUCUUUUGAUGUGUUUGGCUUGUUGUUAUGAACAUUUUUCGAUUUGGUGAGUUUGAAGGUUUUUGAGCAUGUGUAAUGGCAUGAAUGUGUUGAAUUAGUAAUCUCUUGUGUUAAGCUGUUGUUUUAGUGUUCUUUUGAUGAGUUUGGCUUGUUGUUAUGAAAAGUGUUUGUUUUGGCGAGUUUGAACGUUUUUGAGCAUGUGUAAUGGCAUGAAUGUGUUGAAUUAGUAAUCCCUUGUGUUAAGAUGUUGUUUUAGUGUUCUUUUGAUGAGUUUUGCUUGUUGUUAUGAACAUUGUUCGUUUUGUCGAGCUUGAAGGUUUUUGAGCAUGUGUAAUGGCAUGAAUGCGUUAAGCUGUUGUUUUAGUGUUCUUUUGAUGAGUUUGGCUUGUUGUUAUAAACAGUGUUUGUUUUGGCGAGUUUGAAGGUUUUUGAGCAUAUGUAAUGGCAUGAAUGCGUUAAGCUGUUGUUUUAGUGUUCUUUUGAUGUAUUUGGCUUGUUGUUUUGAACAUUGUUCGUUUUGUCGAGUUUGAAGGUUUUUGAGCAUGUGUAAUGGCAUAAAUGCGUUAAGCUGUUGUUUUAGUGUUCUUUUGAUGAGUUUGGCUUGUUGUUAUAAACAGUGUUUGUUUUGGCGAGUUUGAAGGUUUUUGAGCAUGUGUAAUGGUAUGAAUGUUUUGAAAUAGUAAUCCCUUGUGUUAAGCUGUUGUUUUAGUGUUCUUUUGAUGAGUUUGGCUUGUUGUUAUGAACAUUGUUCGUUUUGGCGAGGUUUGAAGGUUUUUGAGCAUGUGUAAUGGCAUGAGUGCGUUAAGCUGUUGUUUUAGUGUCCUUUUGAUGGGUUUGGCUUGUUUUUAUGAUAAUUGUUUGUUUUGGCGAGUUUGAAGGUUUUUGAGCAUGUGUAAUGGCAUUUAUGUGUUGAAUUAGUCAACCCUUGGGCUAAGCUGUUGUUUUAGUGUUCAUUUGAUGAGUUUGGCUUGUUGAUAUGAUCACUGUUUGUUUUGGCGAGUUUGAAGGUUUGUGAGCAUGUGUUAUGGCACGUAUGUGUUGAAUUGGCUACCUCUUGUGUUAAGCUGUUGUUUUAGUCUUCUUUUGAUGAGUUUGGCUUGUUGUUAUGAACAUUGUUUGUUUUGGCGAGUUUGAAGGUUUGUUAGCAUGUGUAAUGGCAUGUAUGUGUUGAAUUAGUUAACCCUUGUGUUAACCUGUUGUUUUAGUCUUCUUUUGAUGAGUUUGGCUUUUUGUUAUGAUCAUUGUUUGUUUUGGCGAGUUUGAAGGUUUUUGAGCAUGAUCAUAAGAUGAUCAUAACAACAAGCCAAACUCUGUAAAAGAACACUAAAACAACAGCUUAACACAAGGGUUUACUAAUUCAACACAUACAUGCCAUUACACAUGCUCAAAAACCUUCAAACUCGCCAAAACAAACAAUGAUCAUAACAACAAGCCAAACUCUUUAAAAGAACACUUAAAAUACAGCUUAACACAAGGGUCAGGGGCGUCACUAGGUUUUAAGGACAAGGGGGGCUUAGCCCCCAAGAGAUGAACAGGAUGUGCGUGAACGUAGUGAGCGAUCACAAAAUUUCACAAACAGAAAAGACUGAGAAAUUGCUUUUCAGCUUUUUUGGACGGAUUUAACUAAGAUGUAGUCUCAGGCCACCAGGAGUUUUUUUGUUUUAUUUCAGUCUUUUUUUUCUUCAGUUCUUGGAACCACUACUGACCAAACUAUCAUGUUUUAUGUUUUUGCCAAACACUUUACAUGGGCAACAGAAAGCUGUAUUCUAGUUGACUGAAUAUUCUAACCAGUUGUGCUUUUCAAACCAGCUGUAGUGAAACGCUCGCUUCUGUGUACCAAAACUGUCUUGUGGGUAGCUCUUCAGCUUGACCUGUCUGGGCCCUGUGUCUUUGUCACCUAAAUCAAACCCUGUAGUGGAAUGAGUUGCUGCAGCUGCUUCAUUAUUUUCCCUCUCUUGGCCUGUUUGCUGUCCUCUCUCAGCUUCCUCUGCCAUUUGCUGCAGCUCCUCGGCCUUUCCUUCUGCCUGACCCUCCAAGAUACAUUGAAACACAUUGAAUUAAUAACUAAUCCAACAUAGAGGCUAAUGUCAUGACUUAAGCUCACACACCACCCACAGUAAUUUUUUGCUCCCAAAUAUCAAGAUGUUACACAGAUUACAUUUUGGGCCCAUAUGUGACUAAAAUGGUUGCAAUUUAAAGCCCUGAAAAAUAUUACUAAAUUACUUGAAUUAAAGUAAUAUUAAAAUAGAACCCCCAAAAAUAUUUGGGUCAGGCUAAUUUAUCUCUUGGCUCUCUCCACUUUCUAAUCUUGACUCUCUUAAAUAAAAACUCAAGUGAAAUAAGUCUUAUAUGGUGCACCAUGACUGAAAUUUCAUAUUUCAUAUCCAUAUUGAGUUCCAUAAAAUUCUGAUCAGACUGUCUGCAUCACUCCUGUGAAUUCUUUUAGACUCACCUCUUCAGUAGAGGUGUCUCCCCUCUCACUUGCUGUGCUCCUCUAUCCUGACUCCUACAGGUCAGUGGGGAUGGUGGGGUGAGUAUUAUUAGUGCAUUAUUAUUUUCCACUGAUGAUAAUCAUACGUGAAUGAGCUCAGCUCGUCCUUUUCCACAGCUAAAACAAGUGACAGAAAUCAACAUCAUGCUAACAAUUUAACUUGGUGUGAUAGCCAGGUUUUUAUUUCUCAAAAUGGGGAGCACCUGGUUUAUAAAUUACAUGGGACAAUUAGCUGUUAGCUGGAGCUUAUUGUUACUAACAGCAGCUAUAAAGACUUACUUUUUUGAAAAACUUGCAUAUGUCCAUGAUGCUGCUCUCUGCCUGGCUCGUAAUGUGACCGUCUCGCUGUGACUGUGUGCAGGGAGCAUGUAGGUGCUGCUGCUUGCAGCAGUGAAAACGCGGACUGGAUUUUCAGUAAUGUGGGCGUUCUCUAUAUCAACAAGUGGAACGGAUUGAAUAACUAAGCGCUGACGAAGGCUCUCCACCUUACACAGUGAAGUCAUGGGAAACUAAAUGAUUUGUGAUCAUAUUUAAGUGAAUAAUGAAAUUUUAUAUUAUUAUUUAUUUAAACUCGUAUUCCUGCGUCUUUGUAUUGAAUUUGUCUGCACUUUUUUGUAAAAUAAAUAUAUAAAUAUAUAUGUUUAAAAAUAUAUAUAUAUAUAUUUAGGGGGGCUUAAGAAUAUUUUAGGGGGGCUUCAGCCCCCCUAAAAUAGGCCUAACGACGCCAAUGACAAGGGUUAAGCCAAUUAAACACAUACGUGCCAUUACACAUGCUCAAAAACCUUCAAACUCGCCAAAACAAACAAUGAUCAUACCAACAAGCCAAACUCAUCAAAAGAACACUAAAACAACAGCUUAACACAAGGGUUUACCAAUUCAACACAUUCCUGCCAUUACACAUUCUCAAAAACCUUCAAACUCGCCAAAACCAACGAUGAUCAUAACAACAAGCCAAACUCUGUAAAAGAACACUUAAAAUACAUUUUAACACAAGGGUUAACUAAUUCAACACAUACAUGCCAUUACACAUGCUCAAAAACCUUCAAACUCGCCAAAACAAACAAUGAUCAUACCAACAAGCCAAACGCAUCAAAAGAACACUAAAACAACAGCUUAACACAAGGGUUAACCAAUUCAACACAUACAUGCCAUUACACGUGCUCAAAAACCUUCAAACUCGCCAAAACAAACAAUGUUCAUACCAACAAGCCAAACUCAUCAAAAGAACACUUAAACAACAGCUUAACACAAGGGUUAACGAAUUCAACACAUACAUGCCAUUACACAUGCUCAAAAACCUUCAAACUCGCCAAAACAAACAAUGAUCAUACCAAGAAGCCAAUCUCAUCAAAAGAUCACUUAAAAUACAUUUUAACACAAGGGUUAACUAAUUCAACACAUACAUGCCAUUACACAUGCUCAAAAACCUUCAAACUCACCAAAACAAACAAUGAUCAAACCAACAAGCCAAACUCAUCAAAAGAACACUAAAACAACAGCUUAACACAAGGGUUAACUAAUUCAACACAUACAUGCCAUUACACAUGCUCAAAAACCUUCAAACUCGCCAAAACAAACAAUGUUUAUAACAACAAGCCAAACUCAUCAAAAGAACACUAAGACAACAGCUUAACACAAGGGUUAACUAAUUCAACACAUACAUGCCAUUACACAUGCUCAUAAACCUUCAAACUCACCAAAACAAACAAUGAUCAUAACAACAAGCCAAACUCUUUAAAAGAACACUUAAAAUAAAGCUUAACACAAGCGGUAGCCAAUUCAACACAUACGUGCCAUAACACAUGCUCACAAACCUUCAAACUCGCCAAAACAAACAAUGAUCAUACCAACAAGCCAAACUCAUCAAAAGAACACUAAAUCAACAGCUUAACACAAGGGUUAACUAAUUCAACACAUACAUGCCAUUACACAUGCUCAAAAACCUUCAAACUCGCCAAAACAAACAAUGAUCAAACCAACAAGCCUAACUCAUCAAAAGAACACUAAAACAACAGCUUAACACAAGGGUUUACUAAUUCAACACAUACAUGCCAUUACACAUGCUCAAAAACCUUCAAACUCGCCAAAACAAACAAUGUUCAUAACAACAAGCCAAACUCAUCAAAAGAACACUAAAACAACAGCUUAACACAAGGGUUAACUAAUUCAACACAUACAUGCCAUUACACAUGCUCAAAAACCUUCAAACUCACCAAAACAAACAAUGUUUAUAACAACAAGCCAAACUCAUCAAAAGAACACUAAAACAACAGCUUAACACAAGGGUUAACUAAUUCAACACAUACAUGCCAUUACACAUGCUCAAAAACCUUCAAACUCGCCAAAACAAACAAUGAUCAAACCAACAAGCCUAACUCAUCAAAAGAACACUAAAACAACAGCUUAACACAAGGGUUUACUAAUUCAACACAUACAUGUCAUUACACAUGCUCAAAAACCUUCAAACUCGCCAAAACAAACAAUGUUCAUAACAACAAGCCAAACUCAUCAAAAGAACACUAAAAUAACAGCUUAACACAAGGGUUAACUAAUUCAACACAUACAUGCCAUUACACAUGCUCAAAAACCUUCAAACUCGCCAAAACAAACAAUGUUUAUAACAACAAGCCAAACUCAUCAAAAGAACACUAAAACAACAGCUUAACACAAGGGUUAACUAAUUCAACACAUACAUGCCAUUACACAUGCUCAUAAACCUUCAAACUCACCAAAACAAACAAUGAUCAUAACAACAAGCCAAACUCUUUAAAAGAACACUUAAAAUAAAGCUUAACACAAGCGGUAGCCAAUUCAACACAUACGUGCCAUAACACAUGCUCACAAACCUUCAAACUCGCCAAAACAAACAAUGAUCAUACCAACAAGCCAAACUCAUCAAAAGAACACUAAAACAACAGCUUAACACAAGGGUUAACUAAUUCAACACAUACAUGCCAUUACACAUGCUCAAAAACCUUCAAACUCGCCAAAAACAAACGAUGAUCAUAACAACAAGCCAAACUCUUUAAAAGAACACUUAAAAUACAGCUUAACACAAGGGGUAGCCAAUUCAACACAUACGUGUCAUAACACAUGCUCAAAAACCUUCAAACUCGCCAAAACAAACAAUGUUCAUAACAACACACCAAACUCAUCAAAAGAACACUUAAACAACAGCUUAACACAAGGGUUAACUAAUUCAACACACACAUGCCAUUACACAUGCCCACAAACCUUCAAACUCGCCAAAACAAACAAUGUUCAUAACAACAAGCCAAACUCCUUAAAAGAACACUUAAAAUACAGCUUAAGGAAGGAAAGAGAAGUGACAACAACAGACCAGAUGUGGAGAUAGAAUGGCUAAUGAAAGUGACAGACUACAAAAAGAAAAAAAAAAAACUAAUUUGAAGUGAACAUGUGGUACAGAUAUGCAAAAUAUCUAGCAAAAAUGAAGAAUCAGUCUAACUUCUAUGUCUGUACUACGAAUUAGGCAAAACAAACCUGUACGUGUUUUCUGUAGCUGUACCUGAAUGACAGCAGACUGAUAAUAGGGCCUUAGUGACCUUAAUCCUAACUGUUGUAACUUUCCAGACCAGUGUGGCAAAUUUAACUUCUGCAGUUAGUCUUAUUCGUUUGUUGAGCCACUCCAGAGUAAAAAGAAACUAGCAAAUAGAGUCAGACCCGACUAAUAUAGAUAGUUCCUCGUGAGGUACCAGAUGAGUAUAAAGUAGUAAAUCAAGUUGCUGCAGGCUUUGAGUCUCUCAGCUGUCCUAGGUGUACAAUGAACAAAAAUAUAGAUCGAAUCAACUGCAUCCAUUUCAACGUUCAAAAGCUAGGUAAUUGGACUGAGGCUGGUUUUCAGGCCGGUCACUCGCAGUUGUCUGCAACAUCCCGGAUGCCUUUCCAAAACCUUAUAGCCCUUGACAUGCUGCUCGCAGAAAAAGGAGGUGUAUGUGCCAUGUUUGGAGAAACGUGUUGCACGUUCACUCCUAAUAACACUGCUGCCGAUGGCAGCCUCACUCGAGCCAUAGAGGGCCUUAAUGGCAAAAUGAAAGACCACUCAGGAAUAGAUAAAUUCUUUUGGGACGAUUGGAUGAAUGUCUUUGGAAAAUACAGAAAUCUUGUAGAUUCAGUCCUAAUCUCUAUUGCUGUUUUUGCAGCUAUUUUGACCUUGUGUGGAUGUUGUUGUAUUCCCUGUAUUCAUUCUCUUCUUAACCGCCUUAUCACCACAGCGUUGUCCCCUGUGGAGCAUCUGCAGAAGUUGUACCAGCUGCUCCAUCAGCAGGAUGAAGAGGACAGACUUGAUGACACUCAAUGGCCUGACCUGUGCCCCAAUCCUGAUGAUGAGUAUGAUUCUGACUAAAGCAACAUCUUGUACCUCUGUGUGUAAAUUCUUUGUGGUCAUAAACAUGAACUCGCAGCUGAAAAUCUAGAGAAGUGGCUGAACUGGAAGGAUCAUGAGAAUUUGAGCAAAGUAAUGAUAAACAGGAGGGAAAUGUCAGAAUAAUGUGUAUAAAUGUAUAUAGAAGUUAUCAUACUCAAAUUCUUAUGUAAGAGUUUGCUACAAGUAUGGACUGUUUUAACCUCUUGUUACACAUCAUAUGAGAGUGUUUCCUAACUUCUCUCUCCUGUAGCUUUAUUACACAGCACAUGAAUGUUUCUUAACUUCUCUGUGACCUUGUUUCUCCUAUUAGCAGUUGUGUGUGUGUGAUGUAUCCUCCACUGUGAAUCGUGGGAAGUAAUGAGGAGGAUCUGCUCCUAUCAGAAGGAGCUCGUUUAAUGUCAACAAUUAUGCUUUAUGAGAGUGCUAACGUUGCUGCACAUAUUUUUCCCCCAUCCUUUAGUAACAUUGUGUAACCAGGGAUAACCCUAAAUAAAGAGACUGGGCAGAAAUACCUUCAGAAUGGUUUUGAGAUUGCAACGGAAACUAUCUCUGUCCAUUCUCCUCAAGUAAGAAACCAUUGUCUUUCUCUUCUUAAUAUGUUUUAGGUCAAAUGUUGAAGGUUUUAGACCCAACAACCAAAAAAAAAGAAAAAUGAAAAAAAAAAUUGUGGCGGUUUUAGGGCUUCCUUUAGAAAAUACCCCGGUAUUGAGUUACGGGGCUAGGGUAAGGUUUAAAGUUUUUUGGGGUUUGGGUUAAAAUCACUGUCCAAGACCUUUUUAGGAAAAUGUUUCAGACCUUUUGGAGUUAGUUAGACCAAAAACAAAAAUAAAAACUAAAAAUGAAAAAAAAAUGUUUGGGGUGUUAGGGCUUCCUUUAGGUAAUACCCACGUAUUGGGUUACGGGGCUAGGGAAAGGUUUAAGGUUUUUGGGGUUAGGGUUAAAACCACUGGUCCAAUAUUUUUUAGGAACAUAUUUCAGACCUUUUGGAGUUAAUUUGUCAUGACCCGGCUCAAAGGCCAUGAAAAAGAUUGCGAGGCGUACGGGUUUAACUUAAAACGAAAGAUUUAUUAACAACCAAGAUUAAGUAAAUAAUUGAAUACCCAAGAGAAGAACUAAACUAACAAAGCUUCUAAACUAAAACAAAACAUUGUGCCACGAGGAUCACUGCCGUGGUGCGCAGCGGAGGAGGGAGAGAGAGACACUGGUCCUUGAUGAGGGCUUUUACCACCUGGUGGAAUGGCCAGAUCCACGCAGGUGUGGCCAAGCCCACUCAACCUGCCAGGGAGAGAGAAAAGACAGAAAGAACAACAGCAAACCCUGGAGGCCGGAGGCCAUCACAGGCAGGAGGCCGUCACACCCCCCUCCAUAAAAACGGGGCUCCCAUCCCUGGAACCAUAAACAAUCCCUCUGAAAACAAGGUUCACUUGUGACUUACUAGUUGAUUGCAAAACAAGAGAAAAACGUUUAACUUUUUUUUUUUUUUUUUUUUCAUUAUUAUCAAUACUAUGUACUUAACCAUUACUUUACAAAACUUACCCAGGCUCACAAUAUCAUUUUACUCUCUUCAAGAAAACUUACCCAAUGCUCAUUAUUUAUAUCCCCAUCCUGACCUGCAUGACACCCCUCCCACCUCAGCAACCUGGUACCUAGGAGCAAUUUAAGAGGGGGGGAAGCGAGAGAAACAAGUUGUAGAAAGAGUACAAAAAAACAAAAAACAUGGGUAACUCACACGGCUACAACACUACACAGGUGCUCUGGACAAGGCGUCUGCCACCACAUUGUCAGAACCCUUGAUGUGUCUAAUGUCCAGCCAGUGCGACUGGAGAUAAAGUGACCACCGGACUAAUCUUUGAUUUGGACACUGUAACGUAUUUAAAAAAACAAGCGGAUUAUGAUCAGUAUAAACCACGAUAGGCACCAACCCGGACCCCAGAUACACAUCAUAAUGUUUCAGAGCCCACACUAAGGCCAAGGCUUCCUUUUCAAUGGUCGAGUAAUUGAGUUGGUAGGAAUUAAACUUUUUUGAGAAGAAACUCACUGGCUUCUCAAUCCGAAAAUCAUCCUUCUGUAAUAACACCGCCCCCACCCCCACGUGACUCGCGUCAACCUGAAGCGCAAACGGACGGUCAAACCUGGGGGCAGAAAGGAUAGGCGCGUUACACAAUACUGAUUUUGCCCUGUCAAACGCCAGUUGACACACGGGAGACCACACGGGAGACCACACAAAGACCGCGCUUGCCUUUAACAAGUCGGUUAAUGGAGCAACUACCUCCGAGAAGUUUCUGCAGAAACAUCGGUAAUAACCUACAAGACCUAAAAAACGCAUAAGCUCUUUUUUAGUCGAGGGUACCGGAUAACUUGCCACUGCUUUUAUUUUUUCUUCAACAGGACGUACCGUACCCUGCCCCACAACCCUACCAAGAUAAGUCACUGUCGCUUUGGCGAACUCGCAUUUGGCGAGGUUGACGGUGAGACGUGCCUCAGCCAAACGACUAAAUAACUUCUCAAUUCGCUCAACAUGCGAAGACCACGUGUCAGAAACAACCACAACAUCAUCCAGUUAGACUGUGCAGCCCUCCAAAUCUCCUAAGACUCUAAUCAUAAGCCUUUGGAAGGUUGAAGGGGCAUUACGAAGCCCAAAAGGCAUUACCUUAUAUGAAAACAAACCAGUCGGAGUGAUAAAUGCCGAUAACUCACGCGCACGCUUGGACAAAGGGACUUGCCAAUAACCUUUCAAAAGGUCAAACUUGCUCACAUAUUUGGCAUGGCCCACCUGAUCGACACAGUCCUCCAUACGGGGAAGAGGGAAGGAAUCCGGCUUUGUAACAGCGUUUAAUUUUCUAAAAUCAGAACAAAACCUGGGCGUGUUAUCUGAUUUUGGAACCAAAAGGCAAGGCGACGCCCAACUUGAAGAGGAGGGUUCAGCUAUUCCGUUUUCAAUCAUAUAUUUUAUUUCAGCAUCCAUGUAUUUACGUUUUUCGGGGUUCACCCUAUAGAAUCUUUGCCUGAUUGGCUGCGCAUCUCCAACAUCGAUGUCGUGCUCAAUCAAGUGCGUCUGUGUGGGUGCGUCACUGAACAAGCCCGGGAAAGAUUUUAUUACCCGACACAAAUCUGCCUGUUCUGACUCUGCUAAAUGCCCCAAGAGGACGUGUAAAUUCCUCAGGGACUCCGAGUUGUUUAGGCGGCCUUGAAGGACAGCGGUAUCAACACACGGCAAACCAUCCUCCACCUCAGCGGACACCGACUGUGGGGGAUAAACAGUGGACACUCUCCCCACCAAACAAGCGGGAUGCGCACCAGCUGGGACAGGCUCUUGGGAAGCACCUGAAACACGAGCAUAAUAUGGUUUUAACAAAUUCAAAUGGCACAGUUGGACUUUUCGCCUUCGCUCAGGUGUCGAAAUAAGGUAAUUGUUUUCCGAUACUUUUUUCGUCACUUUAUAAGGCCCAGAAUACUUAGCCUGAAGUGGCGAAUUCACCAGCGGCAACAAAGCUAAAACUUGGUCUCCCAUACUAAAAACACGGUGUUCAACACGCCGGUCAUAGAGCCUUUUCAUCUUGUCCUGAGCUGCGGUUAAGUUUUCCUUUGCCAAUUCACCAGCAGCAUACAGUCUAUGACGGAACCCAUUUACAUAGUCGAUAAGAUUUUUCGGUGCAUCUGCAACCUUCCACUCAUCGUAAAGAACCUUCAGUGGACCACGCACAACGUGACCAAACACUAACUCAUUGGGACUGAAACCAGUGCUCUCCUGCGUUACCUCUCUAGCCGCCAGCAUUAACCAUGGUAAUCCUUCCUCCCAAUCUCUAUCAAACUGAACGCAAUAAGAGCGCAGCAAUGAUUUAAAUGAUUGAUGGAAACGCUCCAAAGCUCCCUGACUCUGAGGAUGAUAAGCAGAGGCUUUGUUGUGCUUAAUAUGGAGCUGUUUCAACACUUGAGCAAAGAGAUUGGAGGUAAAAUUUGACCCUUGAUCAGACUGGAUCACUUUUGGAAUGCCGAAAAUGGAAAUGAAUUGUGACAGCGCGCGCACUACUGAACGCGCAGUGAUCGUGCGCAAUGGAUACGCUGCAGGGUAACGGGUGCUUUGGCACAUGACAGUCAACAAAUAUACCGCACCAGAACGAGAGCGAGGGAGUGGCCCGACACAAUCAACGAUGAGGUGAUCAAACGGCUGACUUACUGCAGGAAUCGGGAGCAGAGGAGCAGGUGUAAUUUUCUGAUUCGGUUUUCCCGUGAGUUGACAGGUGUGACAUGUUUUAAUAUAAGACGCUACAUCUGUCUUAAGUCGCGGCCAAAAGAACUGCCUCAGGACCCGGUCGUAUGUUUUUCCCACUCCCUAGUGUCCCGAUUGGUCAUGAGCAAGUUUUAACACCGACUCCCGGAAUUUAUCAGGCACAACGACUUGAAUAACGGGAUCUCCAACGAAAUCUUUCCCAUGAGGCAUCCAUUUCCGGACCAACAGUUCAUUGUGUAAAAAAUAACCCCAGGAAUUAUUUUCUACCUCGUCUUCAGGCAACACCAUGUCAAACAACCCUUUCAAAGAAGAAUCUGCCCGCUGCUCCAACUUCAACUCCUCCUGCGAGACCGAGAGAGGGACAUCAGACAGAGAAAACGGCACAAACUUGGAUUUCUCACCUCUACUCUUUGCAGCCUCCGAGCUUAACUCGGGAGUGUCACGUGUCAUUGAGCGAGUGACUGCACACGCUGUAAAAACUCCAGGAAGACUGCUCUGAUUCUCAUCUGGUUGUCUUUUCACCAGCGGAACAACAGAUACUACUGGUGGCGGCGGAGCUGGAGCAUCAGCCCAGACACGUCCACCUGCUACACCGUUACCCAAAAUCAGGGUGAUGCCCUCAAUUGGAAGUGCAGGUCGCACACCGACCGUUAUCUGCCCCUGAAAGAGAUCGGAAUAAAGCAACAUCUUGUGCAGUGGAACUUUCAUUACAGUCAUUCCCAUUCCCACCACCGGAAUAAAACUCCCAGUGUGACUUUUUUCAGAGAAUGGCAACACAGAAGCCUGAAUGAACGAAUCAAAGGCAGCUGUAUCACGCAAUAUUUUGACAGGAACUUUUUCAUCACUUCCCACCAAAGAGACAUGACCAUUUGAGACAAAAGGCAAGAAUGAUUCGAGCUCUCCAGGUACAGCUUUACCCUUGUCACAGAUUCCCAACUGCCCCGUAAGUAUUCUUGGCUUCGAAACAGCGAGACAUGCCGCUUUAGGCUGCCCCGCAGCUCCACUCUGUUUGUUUUUAGAUUGUAGUGCAAAACAGUCCACUUUAAAAUGUCCUCUUUUGUGACAGUAGUUACAUAUUUUAUCCGACUUGUUCGCCUCAUGGCCUUUAAAGUCUAACUUCCCUACAGGAAGAUUGUAAUUCCCCGCACCGGCAUCCGUGCGCUCACUCAAACUGGACCUGUGAGCGUGCAUCUCUCCAAAAGAGCGUCUGUGCGCUAACACAUACUCAUCAGCGAGCCUAGCGGCUUUAUUUACAUUUUCGACUUCAUGAUCAUUAAUGUGCUGCGCAAUAUUCUCUGGAAGAGAACUUUUAAAUUGCUCCAAAAUUACCAGGUCGCAUAAUUCCUCAAAGCUCUCGAUUUUUAACGCGGAACACCAUCGAGUAAAGUGACAAAUUAAAUCACAAGCAAACUCUAAGUAUGUUUGUUUAUCAUUCUUUUUCCAUGAACGAAAACAUUGGCGAUAGGCUUCAGGGACAAGCUCAUAAACUUUUAAUACAGCAGAUUUUACUAAUUGGUAACUUUGGCUGUCUGACGCGGACAGGGCUGAAUAGGCUUCUUGUGCUCUGCCGGUCAGCGCGCACUGCAACAUUAACGUAAAAACAGAUUCCGGCCACUUUCUGGACUCGGCAACGCGCUCAAAUAACGAAAAAAAUGUCUCCGGUUCUCUCUCAUUAAAUUUUGGCAACAGUCUCAAAUUUCCCAAAACAUCAAAACCAUCAGGAGAACACGAGGAGGCAUCCAAACCCCCAGAACCAUCUCCGACUAACCUACCGCUUUUAAUUAAAUCCAUCUGAUUCUGCUGUAGUUGGAGUUUUGUCUGCUCAGUUUGAAAUCGCAACCUCUCAAUAGCCAACUGCGUAUCCGUUUCCACUUGUUUUAAUUUAUCACGCUCUAAUUGCAACAUCAUCAUUUCUUUUUGCUGCUCAAAGGUGAAAUUCGUCGCUGCAACAGAUGGAGAAUCAACUGCACCGGGAGGAUCGGUCGCCAUAACACCCAUCUCAUCCAAAGUUGCUUUUAAAAUACUUUUAAUUGUGUCCUUUAACCGCCUGUCGGAUAUUUCGAUUUCAAAAUGAUCUGCAAUCUUAAGCAGCUGUUCCUUGGUGCAUUUAUUUAAUAACUCGCUCGAAGGAGCCGAAACGAAGUCAGAAAUAUCCGACAUUUCAAUCACUCGCGGUUUCAAAUCAAAAGAAAUUUACUUACUCAACUACCUCGCGCACAUCAGGUGUUAUCCAACACCACAGAAAUACCUACCGAGCUGCUUACGAAACAAAAAAGGUUGAGACACCCCGAACCCCUAACUACCUACCCCAUAUCUUACUAGGACCUCAUCCUAGUCUUCCGAGCUCGAAACGUCACCAGACCCAAAAUAACACCCCCGACCAUGGCACGGUAGAGCGUGAUAUCCCGAGCCUUGCACGCUCCCUCCUCAGGAUUUGCCAGCAAAAACAACAAACUAAAACAAAAAAGUGACAAGUCCUGCUUGUCCGACGGCUAAACUCAUCAGGGUGCUCAAAACAUACAAACAAAAACAAAACCGACAAAAUACCAACAUAGCAGCUACGGCAAAUAAACAAAAUUAUUAUUAUAAUUUUAAUCGUGAAACAAUUUUUUAAUAACCCCGUAUCACCCCACGUAAAAGUGCCAAACCUGUUUCACAAAGCACAACCUCUGGGUUCCGAAACCUCCGAGUAGUAAGAGCGGUGACGUCACUAAUUCACAACUUACUAAGUUCAUUCACAAAUCGAGUGAAUCAACACCUACCGAGGUGAAAAAACGCAACAAACGGACGAGCCCCCAUUUUGUCAUGACCCGGCUCAAAGGCCAUGAAAAAGAUUGCGAGGCGUACGGGUUUAACUUAAAACGAAAGAUUUAUUAACAACCAAGAUUAAGUAAAUAAUUGAAUACCCAAGAGAAGAACUAAACUAACAAAGCUUCUAAACUAAAACAAAACAUUGUGCCACGAGGAUCACUGCCGUGGUGCGCAGCGGAGGAGGGAGAGAGAGACACUGGUCCUUGAUGAGGGCUUUUACCACCUGGUGGAAUGGCCAGAUCCACGCAGGUGUGGCCAAGCCCACUCAACCUGCCAGGGAGAGAGAAAGGACAGAAAGAACAACAGCAAACCCUGGAGGCCGGAGGCCAUCACAGGCAGGAGGCCGUCACAAAUUAGACCAAAAAAAAUGAAAAAAGGAAGAAAAAAAUGUUUGAGGUUAUUGGGCUUUCUUUUGGUAAUACCCGAGUAUUGGGUUACGGGGCUAGGGUCAGGUUUAAGCUUUUUGGGGUUAGGGUUCAAAUCACUGUCCAAGACCUUUUUAGGAAUAUGUUUCAGACCUAUUGGAGUUAGUUAGCCCAAAAAACACUGAGUAACGAAAAAAAUAUUUUAAGGGUUGUUAGGUCUUUCUUUAGGUAAUACCUAGGUAUUGGGUGAAAGGGCUAGGGUAAGGUUUAAGGUUUUUGGUGUUAGGGUUAAAAUCACUGUCCAAAACCUUUCUAGGAACUUUUUUCCAACCUCUGGAGUUAAUUAGACCAAAAAAAGUGAAAAAUGAAAAAAAAAUGUUUGGGGUUUUAGGGCUUCCUUUAGAUAAUAUUGGGUAUUUGGUUACGGGCUAGGGUAAGGUUUAAGGGUUUUGGGGUUAGGCUUAAAAUCACUGUCCAAGACCUUUUUCGGAACAUGUUUUAGACUUCUUGGAGUUAACUACACCAAAAAAAAAGAAAAAUGUCAAAAAAAAAAUUGGGGGUUGUUAGGGUUUUUUUUAGGUCAUACCCAGUUAUUGGGUUACGGGGCUAGGGUUAAGUUUAAGCUUUUUGGUGUUAGGGUUAAACUUACUGUCCAAGACCCUUUUAGGAACAUGUUUCAGACCUUUUGGAGUUAGUUUGAAAUAAAAAAAAAAAUGAAAAAAAAAUUGUGGGGGUGUUAGGGCUUCUUUUAGGUAAUACCCGGGUAUUAGGUUAUGGGGCUAGGGUUAGGUUUAGGGUGUUGUGAUUAGGGUUAACAUCACUGUCCAAGACCUUUUUAGGAACACGUUUCAGACCUUUUGAAGUUAGUUAGAACCAAAAAUGUAAAAAUGAAUUUUUUUAACCUUACCAGGGGCUCAUACUUAUUAGAGCGUGGAUAUAGGGGGUUCCUUAUAGAAGUGGAUGUGUGUGUGUGUGUGUGUGUGUGUGUGUGUGUGUGUGUGUGUGUGUGUAUGUGUGUGUGUGGGGGGGGGGGACUCCAAAAAUUUUGAAACAUGUUCCUCAAUGGUUCUUGGACAGUGAUUUUAACCCCUCUCCCAAAACCCUAACCCUAACCCUAGACCCUUAACCUAAUACCAGGGUAUUACCUAAAGGUUGACAAUUUUCCUUUGUUUUUGUUCUAACGUACUCCAAAAGGUUUGAAACAUGUUACUAAAAAGGUGUUGUACAGAGAUUUUAACCCAAACCGCAAAACUGUAACCCUAACCCGACCCCGGUAAUCUAAAACCUGGGUGUUACCUAAAGAAAGUCCUAACAGCCCCCCAAAAAAUGUUGAUAUUUUUUUUAUUUCCAUCUAACUAAGUCCAACCGGUCUGAAACAUCUUCCUAAAAAGCUCUAGGACAGUGAUUUUAACCCUAACUCCAUAUCCCCAACCGUAGCCCUGUAACCUUAUACCCGGGUGUUACUUAAAGGAAGCCAUAACACCCCAAAAAAAAAAGUUUGACAUUUUUCCUUUUUAACCCUGACCUUAUAAUCCUAACCCUAGCACUUUAACCCAAUACCCAGGUGUUACAGAAAGGAAGCCUUGACACCCCCCAAAAAAGAUUGAAAUUUUUCCUUCGUUUUUGUUCUAAAGAACUCAAAAAGGUUUUGGACAAAGAUUUUAACUUUACCCGUAAAACCCUAACCCUAACCUGAGCCCCGUAUCCCGUAACCCAAUACCCGGGUAUUACCUAAAGAAAGCCCAAACACCCUCAAAAAAUUGAGGACAGGCUGCCGCGGGCCGGGGUUCCGCAAGCCGGCGACACGGCCGACACACUGAUUUCUGUGACACAAUAAAAAUAUUGGUUCAUUUCAAUCUCUGCUUCUGUGUAUCUGUUGCGUUUACAUCUAUGGCAAAGCAUGUGGACAUUUGUGUGACACGCCACUUACCCUUCGGCAGGCUGUCUGAGUCACCGCGGGUAGCAGCGACAAUCCCCCCCGCAGAGGCGCCCCCAAUAAUCGCCACCACCCGCUGCUCAAACGGCGUGAGGGUCUGCUCCCCCGGACCCCCACAUGUCUGGCCGGUACUCCUCCGGAGGGCAGCUGUACGCCACUUGACCUCCACCUUGAGGUCCGACCACUUUUUUUUAUCUCUGCGGGGGUGCAUGUCUCGGAACCCACCGCGUUCACCCUCUCGCAAACUUUCUCCCACUCCAAACGUUUUCGUUUUGCACUGACGCCACUGGACAGGCUGCCAAACAAAACACGCUGUUGCUCCUCCACUUCCGCCACCAGCUCCUCCACCUCCACCUCGCACGCCGUAUAUUUCGUUUUUCUUGUAAUUUUUUCUGCGUGCGAGGACAUUAUUAUUUAAAUAUGAUUUAUUUAUUUAAAUAAAUCUGCAUAUUUAUAGGUGGACAUAAUGGGGGCGGGCCCGGUCACUCCGACAUCUGCGCUCAAUUCCAAGCUGAUUGGGAUUUAUCAAGGAAACACACGUGGCUUUCAGCGCCCGCACACCUUGAUACAUACAAAUUUUCUUUUAGCGUGACGGACCUUGCCUCGUUUCCAGUAUGAGUCCCACGCAAGUGUUGAUACAUGAGGCCCCUGGUCAGUGAUUUUAACCCUGACCCUAUAAUCCUAACCUUAGCACUGUAACCUAAUACCCAGGUGUAACAGAAAGAAAGCCCCCUAAAAAGAGAUUGAAUUUUUUCCCCUCUUUUUGUUCUAAGGAACUCAUAAAGGUUUGAAACAUGUUUCUAGAGGUCCUGGACAGUGAUACCAAAUACCAUAACCAAAUACCCAGGUGUUACAGAAAGGGAGCCUUGCCCCCCCCCCCCCCCCCUUUUUUUUUUUUUUGUUCUAACAAACUCCAAAGGUUUGAAACAUGCUCCUAAAAAGGUCCUGGACAGUGAUUUUAACCCUGACCUUAUAAUCCUAACCUUAGCACUGUAACCGAAUAACCAGGUGUUACAGAAAGGUAGCCCUGACAUCCAAAAAAAACUGUCAUUUUUCCUUUUUCUAAAGAACACCAAAAGGUUUAUAACAUGUUCCUAACAAGCUCUAGGACAGUGAUUUUAACCCUAACUCCAUAUCCCUAACCUUAGCCCUGUAACUCAAUACCGGGUGUGUUCAGUGUAGUGACUGUAUGAGGGAAGAAGCUGUUCCUGAGUCUUUUUGUUCUUGUUUUGAUUGACCUGUAGCAUCUGCCCGAGGGCAGCAGGUCAAACAGGUGAAAGGCAGGGUGGGUGCAGUCUGUGAUGAUUGCCUGUGAUGAUUGCCUGAGCUUUGCUCAGGCAGCGGGAGGUGUGGAUGUCCCUCAGGGAGGGGAGGUGACAGCCGAUGAUCCUCUCUGCUGUCCUCACCACCCUCUGGAGCCCCUGCCGCUCUGCCUCAGUGCAGUGGGAGAACCACACUGUGUUGCAGUGCAGCAGGAUGCUCUGGAUGGUGGAUGUGUAGAAGGCUCUCAGCAGCUCCUCUCCAACAUUGUUCUUCCUGAGCAGUCUCAGGAAGUACAGGUGCUGCUGGGCCUUUUUGAUGACAGCUCUGGUGUUCUCAGUUCAAGAGGUCAGCUGAGAUGAUGGUGCCCAGGAGCUUGAAGCUGUGGACCCUCUCUACCCAGUCACCAUUUUUGCUGAGGGGGAGCAGCAGAGAUGUUCGUUACUGGAUAACUAAAUCACUCAAAGCAACCCUGAAUGAAAAGAAAUUAGCAUUUAACUCAGGAAACAAACAGGAACAUUCAAAACAGACUGACUAAAGAAAUAAAAACAGCCAAAAGAGCGUAUAAAGACAGGGUGGAGAGGCUUUUUAAAAACAGAAAGGCCAGGGAUGCUUGGCAGGGCUGAAAACCCUGCUGAUGUGGAGCACACAUUGAAGCGGACCGGACUACAUCUGUGGGCACCUGCUGAAAGUCUGCUGCAGCCAGCUUGCAGAAGUCUUCUGCUCAUUGUUCAACCGCUCUCUGGCUGAGCACUCCAUUAAUCAAUCAAUCAUCAAUCUGGAAGUCCUCCAUCAUCUGCCCUGUGGCGAAGUAGAGCAACCCUAGAACCAACGACAAUUUUCGACCUGUGGCUCUGACAUCAUUUGUCAUGAAGACCUUUGAAAGACUCAUCAUGGCCCAGCUGCAGGCUAAUGUAGAGCAGCACUCUGACCCACUGCAGUUUGCUUACCAGCCGCGCAGAGGGGUGGAUGAUGCUGUGCUCACCCUGCUGCAUGGUGCCAUCACCCACCUGGAAAAGCCCAAGUCCCACAUCAGCCUGGUCUUUGUGGACUUGUGGACUCUAGCGCAUUUAUCACCGUGCAACCACACCUCAUGGGACGCAAGCUGCUCCAGAUAAACGCUAACCCCCACCUCAUCCUCUGGGUCCUCUCCUUUCUCACAGGGAGAGAUCAGACGGUAAGGGUGAAUGGUCACCUCAACGCUAUUUGGACAAUAUCAACCAGCUCACCUCAAGGUUCGGUAUCUCUCCACUUCUCUUCACUCUGUACACUAACGACUGCAGGAGCACCACCCCAGGAAUAACCUACAUCAAGUACUCAGAUGACACAGUAACUGGACUCUUUCUCACUGUGGUGUAGGGAGAACUGUCUAGACCUUAAUGUAUCCAAGAUGAAAGAAAUUGUCAUUUACUUCCAUCAUGGCCACUCCACCACACCCUCACUCACAAUCAGCAAUGAAACAAUCGAAAAGGUCCCCUCAUAUAAAUAUCUUGGCUCCAUAAUAGACCAUAAACUUACAUUUUGACUCAAUACUGAAUACAUUUUUUCUUGCUAUUUUCUAUAAAUGUUUCAUUGAAUCUAUCCUCACAUUCAACAUCACUGCCUGGUUUGGCUCACUCACCCUUACUCACCGCAACACUUUUAAUAAAAUGAUCAAAAUCAGCAGCAAAAUCAUUGUUCAGGAAUAGCAGUCACUCACCACCAUCUACAACACCAGUCCUGAGGAAAGGCAACCAGAUCCCAGAUCUUCAGGGCGCAGGUACAGGUUGCUCUCACUGAGGACAAAGAGGGCCACCUCCAGCUUCCUUCCCACCUCCAUCCGCCUGUUAAACAGCUGAUUGCUACACAAUAUUGUAGAGGAGGACUAGUAUGAUUGACAUUUUGUUUUGAAUGUAUUCAUUGUUUUUAUUGUAUUUAUUAUGGACUCUAGAUUGUGAUCUGUGAAUGAACAUGUGCUAUGUUUUAUUUGUUUCUGCACUGGCGCUUUCUCUGCAAAUGAAGUUCCCAAUGGAUGAAUAAAGUUGAUUUCAAUUUGAAUUUUGAAUCAGCACUUUGUUUACUUCAUUAUCAGCUCUUUAUUAACUCCAAACCAUCUGUCUUCAUGGGUCACUCUUUCGAGGACAGCUGAAAAAAACUGAACCUUGCGGUACACCACAGGUGAUAGCAGAGGUAGAAGAUGUGUGAUUGCCUAUGGUGACUGCAAAGGUUCGCUCUAAAAGAUACGACUGAAACCAGCUAAGUGCAGUGCCCCUGAUACCCACCCAGUUUUAAGACUCUCAAUUAAAAUAGCAUGAUCGACUGUAUCAAAAGCUGCACUGAGAUCUAGAAGAAUUUAAAUUGAGCCCUCCCCUCUAUCUGCUGCUAAAAGAAGGUCAUUGGUCACAUGGAGGAGGGCAGUCUCAGUUCUGUGACCUGCUCUAAAACCAGACUAAAAUUUCUCAAAGAGGUUGUUUUCAGACAUAAAACCUAAAAACUGUUAAGACACCACCUGGUCUAAAAUUGUUAAAAUCAGAGGGGUCAAGGUUUGGCUUCUUUAAAAGGGGUUGGACCACAGCGUGUAUAUAAGAAGAGGGAAAUACUCCCUCUUCCAGAGAGCUAUUAAUAAUGGAUAAAAUGCUGGGCCCAACCGUGUUAAAAACUUCUUUGAGAAAUCUGGUGGGGAUAAAAUCAAGACUGCACGUAGCUGUUUUCAUGUGGGCUAAAAUAUCAAAUAAAAAGGUUAAGGACACUGGCUCAAAGCUGCUAAAACAGUGCUGAACUUCCCUACUUAUGAAUACAGAGAGACUGGGAGGAGCGAUUUGAUGUCUGAUAUCCAUAACCUUGUUAACAAAAUAAGUUAAAAACUCCUUGCAGGUGUCUUGAGAAGCAUCAGUAAAAUAAGAGGGAGAGGGGUUUGAAAGUGACUCUAAAACCUUAAAUUAAACUCUGGGGUUCGAAUAAUUAGCUAAAAUCUAAUCAGAGUAAAAUGCUGUUCUUGCAUCUUUAACUGCCGUCUGGUAUUUUCUCAUGGAGUCUCUCCAGAUUUCAAGGUAAACCACCAGACCAGUUUUCCUCUAUUUACAUUCAUUUCUUUGACAUAUUCUCUUGAGUUCAUGUGUGGACUCUGUAGGCCAUGGCUGGGGUUCUUUGUUUCAUCUUUUCUUUUUCAGAGGAGCUACAGAGUCCAGGAUGGUUCCACAUAUAGUGUUAAAAAGAGAGACAAGCUCUUCAGUGUUAAAAUCUGAAUUCAAAUCUGGGUUGAGGGCAGUUAAAGAUGCAGCGAUAAAAAGCCCCGAAAACUUGCUAGCAGACGAUGCAUUAAAAACCCUUCUGUAAACAGGAGUAUGAUCAGUGAAAGAAGGCUGGGAUAAAACCGUGGAGAAUAAAACCAGUUUGUGAUCUGACACACAGAUAUCCUUAGUUAAAAACUCCCCAGGACUAAGUCCGGUAAAUAAAACUAAAUCUAGGCAAUGUCCCUUUACAUGAGUUGGUUCCUGUAUUGCCUGGGUUAGAUUAAAAAAGUCCAGAGUUUCAAUAAAAUCAACAGUCAAGGGUUGUGAGGGACAACAGACGUACAUUAAAAUCACCCAAAAUAAGAAGUUUGUCAUAUUUACAAAUAAAAAGUGAUAGAAACUCUGAAAUCUCCUGAAUAAAAACAGCGUUGUGUUUGGGUGGUCUAUGCAUGAUUAAAUAUAAAACAGAGUCUUUCAGUUAACCAAUAAAAGCAAGGUGCUCAAAAGAAUUAAAAGUGCUGAAGGUGAUGGGGGUGCAUUUAAAAUCCUUUUUGUAUAUGACAGCCACCCCUCCUCCCCGGCCUGACUGCCGGGGCUGAUGGAGGUGAGCAAAAUCAGGGGGGGUGGCUUCGAUGAGAGCAAUAUAAUUGCCUGGAGUCAGCCAAGUUUCAGUUAGAAUGAAAAAGUCCAAGCUGUUUUGUGCAAUAAAAUUGUGGCAUAAAAAUGUUUUGUUGUUGAGUAAUCUUAUGUUUAUAAGUCCAAAGUUUGCAGGUUUGCUGUUAAAAGUAGGGCAAGGUAGCCGAGGAAGCAGGGGAAUGUAUAUGAAAUUGGAGGGGGUACAAUUUCUGGCAUGAGGGCAGGGUGGACGUGAGGAUGAGGUGUGAACUGGGAUUAAAGAUUCACUGAAGGUAGUGAAGUGAGGUGGCAGAGCGAGGUGUGGGUUGGCAGGUGAGUGGGCGGGACUUAUGAGAGUGCUUUGGGAUGACUAGAGGUUAUUGUGUGGAGGUAGGGGAAUGGCCUGUGUGGGAGAAAGUGGGCUGCUGAAUGCAGGCUGUCAGACAGGUGAGGAGUGGAUCAAGUACUGGUUGUUGCAUGGAAGCAUUUGGCUACCAAGCCUGUUGGGGUGGAUUCCAUCAUGUGUGAAAAGUGAAGCUUGGUUUAAACAGAUUAAAAUUGUCAAUAAAACAGAAGUUGUAGGUGGGGCAUGUGGACUGAAGCCAGGUAUGGAGGCUGAGAAUACUGCUAAAAUGUUUUGCUCCCCGACUGAGAGUGGGGAUCGGGCCAAAGAUAAAAAUGGACUUUCCAGUGUCCUUUAAAAUGUUAAAAAACAAGUUGAAAUCACUCUUUGUGAUUUCGGACUGUCUAUGGGAAGUGUCGUUUGAGCCGAUGUGGAGCACAAUCUUAGAGACGGAGAGGGUAGAGAGGGGAGUAAAUGGAGAAGUUUGUCCAGGAUGCAGGAAUGGUGGUGCCAGGUAAACAGUGAGUUAUGGCAUUGAAAAAUCUGAUGUACCUGGUUACGGACUCUCCGAGAAUGAGUGUAGUUGGGGGAAAGAGAGGAGGAGAUGAUGUGCGAGUGCUGGAGCCUGUAGAUGUUGAAUGCUCCACCUGCACUGAGGAUGGCAGUAGUUGAUGGCGGUGGGCAGGCGCAGAUGUAGCAGGUGGAGUGAGGGUGUUUGAGGCCCCACGGGAACCCUUCCAAGCAUCUGAAGACAGCCUCCCUGAGCAGCCUGCAGUGCAGCAUCUCGGUCAAGCCUGGUCUGUGCUGGUCAUCCCUUGAGCCGCCACGGAGAAGGAGGGAGCCCCCUUCCCUGGAACUGGGUACAGUAGAGAAGAUAGAGCUGGAGCAGCAACAGGAUCUGUGGCAGCCUCAUCCCUCAAGACUGAGAAACAGUUAGAGAGGGAGAGACGUGGUGGUGAAGGAGCUCUCCCUGCUGCGAAUGACCUCCGGCCGCGAUGCACCACCUCGGACAAGGUUGGUUGCACCAGCGGCUUCGGGGUAGAGCUGUGGGCAGGGUGCGCUGAGAGUCUCACUUCCAUGCCAGCGUCAGGAACACCCGACUGCCCGCCGGCAUUGUGCUGUGCCGCACACGAGCAGGCCGGAGGCUGCAGGGUCCUCAGCCAGCCCAUUGGGAGAGUGCAAGGAGGCCAUCCAGGGCAGAGUGGCAGCGGAGGCUAAAACCAGCUGUGGUGCCAAAGCCGAAGGCAAAAGGCCGGUAAUCCUGGAAGCCUGCAUCAGGAAUAUGUGUUUUGCUUGCGCUGAUGCUAUGGAUAUGAAGCCCUCCAGCUGCCUAUCCUUUUCAUGGAGGUCAUUCUGCAGAUGGCAAAGCUUUUCUUCCAACUGUGAGUUUUUAUCUUUGCAGUAAAUGCACAAAGCCAUUUCAAAUACCCACUCUUCUGGGUCUUGUAAGGAGUUGGUGCCAAAAAAAGAUGGUGGACAUGCCACUGUCCCAGUCCAAAGACUUAACAAACAUUAGGUUAGCAUUUAAACAAGAUAGAUUAUAUUUGUCCCACCUACAAUUACACAAUUCACUCAAUGUUAAUGGAAACAAAAUAUUCAGGCAGAAAUGUUUAAACCAUACAUAUAACAAGGAAAUGACAACAUAAAACACUUCCCCUCAAUUGGAAUGAGAUUCAGAUUAAGCUUAACAACAAUGUCCACUACCAACCUCUUUUGCCUCAUAGAUUAUGCAGCAUGGCUUAAGGUUGACUUACUUUGGCAAUGGCUGCUUCUUCAGGAGGGUCACACAUCGUGAAGUUCAGAAUGAUAGAAUCGUCAGAUGCUGCUAAGCAUGAUGAUGAUGAUUACAACAGAGAAGCAUUUGUGCAUUGAGGAAUAUAAGCAAAACAGAAGCAUAUUGGAUGGAAUUGGUAUUACUCCCAUCCCAAACUUUAAUAUGAACACAUUUGUGAAUGGUCAGUAAUUACCACAUUCUUUAUUGCACAACAUGAGUUGGAAAGUUCCACUGUCCUUUUUCUUCAAAGACCACUUUGUCAACUUCUGUGUCAGAUUGGUCAAAUAUUUUCAUACCUAGCUGCUGACUUUCUUGUAUGUUAAAUUUUAGGCACACUGGAGAAAGGAAGGAAAGAGAAAAGGAUGUUAAAGAAAUUGUAACAAGACUGAAAGACCAUUUCCAUCUGAUGAGAGUCAAAACCAUAACUAAGUGGAGUGAGCCUCAUGUCGUAACACAUUGCUGUUGAGUCAAAACUUAAGCCAAUAGGUAAUUACCAUGCAUUUAAUGGCCCAGCAGAAAAAAAAAACAAAUCAGGAAGUUGAGAAGGAAUGGUUUAUGUUGUCAUGUGUAUUAACAAAGUAAAAGUCAUGAUAUUCUUUUAUCAUGAACUCACUAACCUUCUUUCAGCAUAGCAACCUAACAUACUUCUGCUCCCCAAUGAAUGAAACACGCAGCAGAAUAUUCUAGUCAAUAAACAAAGGUAAAAAUGACAACCAAGAAAAAUUUGUUGGACAAAGAUUGUUACCUAUUAACAAGCUUACAAUGUUCCACAACCUGAGCCUACUUACCAACUAUGGUCCACGCUUUACACUCACUUGUGACAGCGUGAUUACUGUGAACAACAAGGCAAAGUUUUUUAUUUUAUCUUAACGAAAUGGCUUUAAAGUAAAAGUGCUGUUUGAAUAAAUGAUUUGUAAUUUGUUACAGGGAUAAUAAUGGCUCUUUGCCUUUCACCUAGCGUAUCUUGACUGAAAACCAUGAUAAGAGCCUUCAAUCUAGUGCCCCAGCUCACGUCUCUGUGGCACCGUGAACCAAAUGCGUCCCUUAACGCAUCCCUUAAUGCGUAAAUUCCAUUGACUGUGUAUAGAAUAAUAUACAGUGUAGUUAAAAUUUUACAUUCUGUAGGUGCAGCUUCUCAAGAAUGUCGACCUUCUGAACUGAAAGCAAGUUGCUAGUUGUAUGUGACCCGACAGACAUUCAACAGAGUGACAUGUCCUCAAUCUGUCAGAUCUGUGUUUAGGUGGAAAACAAUUAUUAAAUGAUGUUACGAACACCAGAAUGUGAAUGCUACUUACCCGACCAUGGCACGACUCCAAACUAACCUCCCAUAAUGUGCUGCCGGGAAGUUCAAGGCGUCACUCAGAAGAGUUAAAGUCUUCACCUCAUGCUUUCAAGAUUUUACGCUGACCUUUAACUCUACUCUUAGAGUGGGUCUACUCUCCAUGAAGCUGUUAAUACUCUAUCUAGGUUAAAACAGGUUGAGUCUGAAAUAUUGACACCCCACUUUUCACUGUGUGCCUGUUAACAUCAGUCAAUUAGCUGCACCUGUAUGCUUAGCGAGUGGCCAUUGGCUGAAAGCAUGUCAGUGUCUUUUAAUCUCAAAGUGCAGAUUACUUUACACUGUCAGCUGAGCUGUCAGUCUAUUGAAGCACAAAACCUAAUCCCCCUAUCAGGUAAAAAAGUGUGUAAUUACUCUACCUCAGCUCAACUCAAGAUGAAACACAAAUUACAGGAGGGUUAAAUAUGUAUAAGAUUAACAAGAUCAAACAGGCGGGCAAAAUAAAUAGUAAUAACAAAAUAAUGAUCUGUGUUAUUCUGCAGCUGUCCUAUUUAAAUGUCUGUAUGUGUCUCUGUUUGUGUACAUGUGCAGCCUGUUUGUGUGUUUGUGUGUGCUUCUGUGCCCCCCCCCCCAUAUUGCAUAACAGCUGCUGUUCUCUGCAGUCACUCUACUAAGUUACAUAACACAGUCUCAUGUUCAGAGUUUAAUCCAGCUUGAACACUCCAUGGUGGGUAUUCCAGCCUGUCCUCGCUCUGCACUGAGAGCAUCUCACACAUACACACACACACACGCACACACUCACACAGAGGUUAGAUUCACAAUAGCGUGUCUGAACUCUGCAGGUUAUCAUUGAUCUCUUUGUACAAACUGCAGAAUAAUCCACAGAAAACUAUCAGAGACCAAAUACUUAUUUCUAACAAAUUCUUUAAAAAGCAUUUGUAUUCAGGCACAAGAAAAACAGCCACCGUCGGAUGUGUAACGUCAAGGGAUGAGCGGGAAUACAGGACUGUCAUCACUGACUUUGUCAACUGGUGUGGCACAAACUACCUCCAGCUCAAUGCCAGUAAGACAAAGGAGAUGGUAGUGGAUUUCCGCAGGAGGAGGACACCUCAGACUUUUCCGGUGAACAUCCAGGGUCUGGACGUCAAGAUGGUGGAGUCCUAUAGAUUUCUGGGUGUCCACCUCAACAAUAAACUGGACUGGUCAACCAGCACAGACGUCCUGUACAAGAAGGGCCAAAGUCGUCUCCACCUGCUGAGGAGACUGAGGUCCUUUGGAAUGUGCAGGACUCUGCUCAGGACUUUCUAUGACUCUGUGGUAGCAUCUGCACUUUUCUAUGCAGUGGUCUGCUGGGGGGCAGGGAGCACCGAGAGGGACAGGAAGAGACUGAACAAACUGGUCAGGAGGGCCAGUUCUGUCCUGGACUUCUCCUUGGACUCCCUGGAGGAGGUGGGUGAGAGGAGGAUGUUAGCAAAGCUUGUAUCCAUCAUGGACAAUCCCUCUCACCCACUGCACCAGACUGUGGGGACCUUAAGCAGCUACUUCAGCAGCAGACUGAGACUCCCACCUUGCAAGACGAAGUGCUACCGCAGGUCAUUCCUCCCUUCUGCAAUAAGACUUUACAAUGAACUGUAAUAAAACUGGACUCACACCACCACUUUUUUACUGGCAUUUAAAUUGUGUAUAUUAUAUAUAGUUUUAUUUUUCUUCUCCCUUUUUCCUUUUCCUAAUUUUGUUUCUUAAUUAUUCAAUUUAUUUAAGCUCUUAAUAUUACGAUCUUUAUUUGUAAUAUUUAUCUGUAUUUUUAAAUGGUUCAAACAGACUUUUUCAUAUUGUGUGUGUGUGUCUGUCAGGCACAACCACACAACAGACCUCUGCUGGUGAGAGUGUGUUCACCUGUGUGUCUGUGUGUGUUCAUGUGUGCAUCAGGGAGAAACUCCGCUUUGCACAAUUUAUAGAGCAAUGUAAACAAGCAACCAUGUAGAGACAGAAAUUAGUUGCUGUCGUGUAAAUAAGAUAAACGACAACAAACUAUUUCGUUUUUUUAUUAAAUACAAGGGCAAGCCCGUAUCAGCGUGUUCUACAUGAAAGGUAUCCUUAUGACUUUUGUUAUCUAGAAAAAGAAAGAACUAAAUCUUAUUUUGAGUAUCACUGGUUGUUUUGAAGCCAGAAGCUCUAAGCAGUUUAGGAUUAUUUUUGUCAUAUUUUUUUGUAAACAUAACAUUGUAUUUCCAAAUAAAUUCAUUGGAUAGACAGUCAGUUCUUGUCUUAUAAGCAGCAGAGAAACUUAAACAUUUGGCAGAAAAAACGCAAAUGCAAUUACAAAUGAAAUCACUGUUGUCAACAUAUCAUUGCAUGUAACUGUGUUUCAAUCAGUGGGCGUUAACCUUUAUAGAACAGUAAAUUUGCAUUGUACUAAAAUGUGUUCAUUUUCAAAGGGCAUAAAUGCCCAUUGACAAGGAAACAGGUGCAUCCCAUUUUUUUUCAAGAUUAACAGUAUUGAUAUUGAAUAUAACUUUUGUUCUGCUAGAUCUCUCUAUCAGGGGUUGAUAAAGUUUAGUACUUGGCAUUCUGUGCAUUAGAAAAAACUGUGCUUUUAAGUAUUAUUUGUUUUUCUACUGUCUGUUCAGCGUCCUCCAACAAGGACAGGUGGUGGUGGGGUUUAUAAUGUUCACAAUGGUAUUUUAUUAGUUGUUGGUUUAUCUAAGGUUGAAGUAAUGGCUGUUAUGUUAUUUUCUUUUCAGUGAUGUUCCUUGUUACAUGUUCAUUGCUAGAUUUAUGGAAAAAACAUCAACCAAUCUUGCGUAUCCAUAAGCAAAAUAAUGGAUAACUAAAGAAGACUUACACUUACUCAACAUAAAUAAGAAGUGCAGCACCAAAAAAAAAGGAUUUUUACGCCUAUUUUUAAUUUUACUCAAAUACAAAUACAAUCUCCCCCCCCCUCCCCCCAACAAAUACAAAUACAAAUACCAUCUGUGUGGCACUCCCCUAUUUAUUACCAUCACCCCUGAACUUUAAAUGGUAACGACAGGGGGAGAGGACCUGCUGCCUGGUCUAGAGAUCCUGGUACAUAAACUGCUCUGAGUGAGGAUGGCAUGUGAAGGCCCAAAGCAAGGGCUCCUGGACCAACUCAAGACACUGUCCCUUUGGGACUCUGUGAGCAUCUUGCUAUUCCACCAUAGAAGGUGGGCUAACAAAUAUGACUUUGUUAAGGGAUAGGAACACUUUACAUAGCAGUCCCUCUUUGGCUGGAGGUUGACAGCAUUCAGCCACUACUGCAGCUAAGAUUAACCCCAGCAGUACCUGAAAGUGAACCAGCUUCAGGCAUCAGCCUGCUAGAAAGGUGUCCAAAGUCUCCAGAAUCCAGGCUACCCUUUGAGGGGUAAAGGAUGCCCUCAUUGUAAGGGAAUUCAGACAGACCCAAAAAAGAUUGUUUCUUUCAUUGCUCGAGGUUGCUUUUUGAAGUUUACCUCAAAGCCAAGGGAUGUAACAUGGGCGAGGACAGAAAAACCAGCAGACAAUCCUCAGGACACAAAGCACCUGCACUAUAAUGUGACAGAUAACUGGUUUUGGCAUGCACACUUCCUGGUCCUAGAAGGGCUGAGAAAAGCAAAGAGACUUUCAAAAGUGGACUGGAGGAACUUCCACUGCUGCUACAAAAUAAGGACAUAAUAAUAAUAAUAAUAAUAAUCAUCAUCAUCAUCAUCAUCAUAAUAAUCAUAAUGCAUCAGAUUUUAGAGCCCUUUAUCAGAGACCCUCAAAGCACUUUACAUUGGAUACGUCAUUCAUUCGCUCACACAGUCACACCCUGGUGGUGGUAAACUACUUUAGUAGUCACAUCUACCCUUGGGCAGACUGACGGAAACAUGGCUGCCAGUUUGCACCUACAGUCUCUCCGACCACCAGCACACAGCACUCACAAUCAUACACCAGUGGAGGACAUACACUGGGAGCAAGGUGGGUCAAGUGUCUUGCCCAAGGACACAACGGACAGACUAGGGAUAGGAGGGAAUUGAAUCACCAACCUUCCAGUUAUUGGACGACCACCUUACCUCCUGAGCUACUGCUGCUCUUUGAGAUCAAUAACCACUCCCUUGGUUUCACCAACUCCGUGAUAUGCUUUGUGUGUUGCAUCUCGAAAGGCAAUAUGUCAAAGCAAUUAUUUAGGCAUCCUAAAUCUAAAUUGGGCGAUGUCCCCAUCUUUUUUUGGGCACCAGAAAAUAAGUGGAGUAAAAGCCAUUGUGUCAUUUGCAGGGACUGAAGUUUCCCAUAACUUUUCGAAAAGUGUUGCAAUGGCAGAUUGGAAUGAGUGCCUCUCCCUUGCAAGACGCUGCCCUACCAUCCCCUGGUGUCUAAAUGCACGCUGCGCACAAGCUGUAGUAUGCAGAGACUUUUCAGCUUUAUCAAACACACUUCGAACAAUCAAACACAAGGCACUCGCUCAAUAAUGUGACAGAUUACUGGUUUUGGCAUGCAAACUGGUCUCAGCUUACAAAAAAGGCAAGAGGAAGAGGCAGCUGCCCAGAUGCUGGUAUCUGAAGGGUCAGCCCUUUAAAGUCAGUCAUAUGAGUCUGUUGAUAUUGUGGUCUUGAUGAUAGGAAAAAUGAUUGCAGUGUCUAUUUUUCUGUGUUUACCACAAAGGUUGGUAAAUGUAGAGCAACGUGUUCAUGGUGUAAAAGAACCAUUGAAGAGAAGACUGGGACAAUGUUGAGCUUUAACUGACACCAGUCCAGGAUGCACCCAGAGAAGUGAGUAGAUGGCGAUGCUAUUGUAACCUAACCAACACAACAUAACAAUUCAAGUAUUUUUGAAAGAUUACUUCUGUCAGAAUAAUUUGUAUAAAUGUAUAUAGAAGUAAUCAUUUUACUCAUGUUCUUAUGUAAGAGUUUACUAAAAGUAUGAACUGUUUUGACCUCUUGUUACACAUCAUAUAAGAGUGUUUUCUAACUUCUCUCUCCAAUAGCUUUAUUACACAGCACAUGAAUGUUUCUUAACUUCUCUGCGACCUUGUUUCUCCUAUCAGCAGGUGUGUGUGUGAUGUAGCCUCCACUGUGAAUCGUGGGAAGUAAUGAGGAGGACUAUCUCUGCCCAUUCUCCUCGCGAGUAAGAAAUCUAAACCAUUGUCUUUCUCUUCUAUAUGUGUUUUCAGUCAUUUUUUGCAGGUUUUAGACCCAACAACUUCUAACAGAAUGCAAUCAGCAACUUAGGGCUCUAUUUUCGUGCCCGCCAACGGCACGGCUGACGAUGCAUGGUGCACCCCAUGCAGUGGUAUUUCCAUCUGGCAGAGCCCGGUGCACAGCCAGUUUGGUAUUUUCAUAGACUGAGGCACACAGAGGUGUACCAAGGUGGGUGUGGUGGCGGGGCAAGGGGAGGUGUCGACAGAAUCACCUAGCGCAGUGACAUAUUUGUGCUCGCCGCCGGCGUAGAAAGUAUGCUGAAAGCUUGCCGAUUCAAACCUAGUCAGCUUUCAGUGUGUAUUUUGGUAGACCAGCAGCGUAGUGUGCAUACGUCGCUGAUGCCUCACAGGCAGGUUUCCACAGUGUCAGGCACUUUUCAGUGCAAUAAAUAGUCAACAACAACCAAUAUUUAGUGCAACUUUCUCAGUCAGAACAUACACUUAGAUCUAUAUAAAUAUAUUCUGAUCUAUUUCUUCUCUGAUGAGCACAUUUGGCACGUGUUUGGACACUCAACCUGACCAGAAGUGAACAAGAUAUUUAAUUUGUCUACCCCUUUUUCUUUCUUCCCUGCUCAGCUCAAUCCAGACAUGUCUCCCCUGCUGCUGCGGUGGCAAGGCUGACCAGGGGCCUCAUGUAUCAACACUUGCGUGGAACUCAUACCAGAAACGAGCGCACGCAAGGUCCGUCACGCUGUAAAAAAUCCGUAUGUAUCAAUGUGUGCGGGCGCCGAAAUCCACGUGUGUUUCCUUGAUAAAUCCCAAUCAGCGUGGAAUUGAGCGCAGAUGUCGGAGUGACUGGGCCCGUCCCCGUUACGCCCUCCUAUAAAUAUGCAGAUUUAUUUAAAUAGGGUCUCCCUGUCCUCGCACGCAGACAAAAUGACAAGUAAAACUACAUUUACGGCGUGCGAGGUGGAGGUGCUGGUAGGGGAGGUGGAGGAGCGACAGCGUGUUUUGUUUGGCAGCCUGUCCAGUGGCGUCAGUGCAAAACAAAAACGCUUGGAGUGGGAGAAAGUUUGCGAGAGGGUGAAUGCGGUGGGUUCCGAGACACGCA
Xyrichtys novacula (pearly razorfish) is the source of this 92857-nucleotide non-coding RNA. The record is from the annotation of a GenBank genome assembly. NCBI's taxonomy places the organism in Eukaryota, Metazoa, Chordata, Actinopteri, Labriformes, Labridae.